CCAUUUAAAUUAAGGAAGAAGAAGCCACCAGACCGAUCGAUCGACAGAGAAAAAAAAAAAGAAAGAAAAAUGCCAAAGUUCACUCUUGCUAAUUCCUUUCGUUUUGGCAGCAAAAGAGAAACCGUCUCUAACUUUCAUUCUGAAUCUAUUGAGACGAUACUACAGAAGCUGACUAAAGAUUGGCUUGGGCACUUUGCUCGACAAGCGCAGAUCCAGGCCGAUCUGAUUGGGUGGAAGACGAUGAUGGUGAAGAUUAAGGAGGUCCUAGAUGAUGCCAUGGAGAAGCAGACGAAGGAGGAGCCAGUGAAGAUAUGGCUAGGCAAACUUCAGCACCUGGCUUGUGAUGUUGAUUACUUGUUGGAUGAGUUUCAAACAGAAGCUUUCCAGAGGAUGUUGCUGCAAGAUGCUGAUGCGAUGUCUAAAGUAAAGGAGGUCAAUGCUCGAUUGCAAGAUAUUGCAUGGCAAAUAAACGUACUAGGUUUGAAAGAAAGUUCCGGAGGGAAGUCUACAAAUGUCAGGCAAAGAUUUCCCACGACCCUGUCGGUGAGUGAAGCUACCUUAUAAAUAUUGAAAUUCAAACAGAAAAAUUUUACAGCAAACUGACAGAAAUAGUGAUAAAUCGGCAUCAAUUUACUCAGUUAAUUAAAAAUUAAGACAAUAGAUGAUGAUUUGUCACUGUUCUUAUUAUUUUCUCGAUCUCCUUAGUAAUUUUUCACCAAUGUAAAUGGUAGGGAAAAAGAUAAAGAAGAGAUAUUGAACCGUGCAUGCUACAAAAAUAAAGACUACAUACAAAUGCUAAUUCAAAAUGUUUUCUUUUGUUCUGAAGCUAAUCUCAGCGGCAGUAAGAGGUGGAAGUCGAGAUCGUGGUCCUACAAUCUUUAGUCCACUAAUCGAGAAAGAGGACUUGGCUUUUUUGAAAAAAGAAGAUUGUUUUGCUUCUUUGGAGAAAAUAAGAUCAUGUUGGAAUGGAGAAGUUUACAAAGCCGAGCUACCAGGAAGCAGUGGUAGGGUGAUUACUAUUAAGAAGGUUAUCCAACCCCUAAAGAGUGAAGCAGAGUUGAUUAAACAAGAUAGUGAACCACUGCACCAUAAAAUGAUCCAAAUUCAGUCUGAGAUUAUAACUGCAGGUCAAGUGAGGCAUCGGAAUAUUGUUCCUUUGCUGGCUCGUAUUGUCCGGCCUGACUGCGAUUUACUUGUCUACGAAUUCAGGAGGAAUGGAAGUUUACAAGACAUUCUAUAUGAUGUCUCACAAGGAAGAAGAGAAUUAGAUUGGCUAGCUAGACACAGGAUUGCGCGAGGAAUAGCUUCUGGGCUUGAGUAUCUGCAUAUGUCCCACAGGCCUCGUAUUAUCCAUAGAGAUAUUCAGCCAGCGAACGUGCUUAUAGACGAUGAUAUGGAAGCCAGGAUUUCUGAAUUUGGUCUUGCAAAGCAAAUUCCUAAUGGUUGGACACGAACCACAACUUGGAGUCUGGCGGGAACGGUGGGAUACAUAGCCCCAGAGUGUCACCAGACGGUAGCACUCUCUGACAAGUGUGAUAUAUACAGCUUUGGGGUGUUGCUAGCUGUUUUAAUGAUGGGAAAAUUUCCAUCCGAUGAUUUUUUCCAGCAUACCAAAGAGAUGAGUUUGGUUCAAUGGAUGAAAAAUGUCAUGACUUCUGAGAACCCUAGCCGGACUAUCGAUUCGAAGCUCAUCGGCAAUGGGUAUGAGAAGCAAAUGCUUCUUGUUUUGAAGAUUGCUUGUUUUUGCACUUUGGAUGAUCCAGAGGAGAGACCUAACAGUAAGGAUGUUAGGUGCAUGUUGUCUCAGAUUCAGCACUAAUUAAGGAUGUGGAUUUUUUCUGAAAAUGUACAAGAGCAUAACAACGUCACUUGUGAUGAACAAUGUAUGCUCUCUAAUUAAGUUGUACAAUUGCGAUCCCCUCUGAGUUUUUAGUUAUCUGAUCGAUACAGAGUGGUUCAGGUCAUUAUACAAAGUAGAAACCAUUUCUGAAAUGCGGCAUAUUUUCUAUGUUUCAGCAGUCAUACGUUUCUGGCAACACGCCAAGCCUUUCACUUUGCAUAAGAAAAAUAGCAAGAACAACUCAAUAUCGGUACUUAGUCCCUUCCAUGAGCAUAUUCUAACACGUAUUCUGAGAAAAGGGAAAGUUGCAGGCAAGUGCGUUUUAGAAAAAAAAAAAAAAAAAAAAGUUUCCUUCAAAAAGCAACUAACCGUGUUUCACAUUUCGCUUCUGAUCGUGUCUCCAUUUUUUAUUUACAAACCAGUUCAAAAGAGCUUUCAAAAAUUCAGAAUCAUGAAAAAAAAAAAAUAUUGUCUGGCCAGUGGGAACACUUAAGGCCUUUCAAACAGCACGUUGUAAAAAGUAAAUCAAAGCACAAAUAUGAAAGGCUAAAAUAUUGGAAAGUGUUCUCCAGUUGUGAGAAGGGAGAUCAGAGAUACCACAACUGGGGCUAGAUAUUGGAAAGCAGAAAAGUAUCUCAAAGGGCAUGGGACCUUAUGUUUUGAAUGUUGCAACUAGAGGAUGCAUCUAAGCCAUCCAGCCCACUUUCAUGCUCAAUACAUCAAAGCCCAAUACAGAGUCGUGACUACAGCCCAACAGAGAGGAAAUGUAAAAUGACGGUCAGGAGAAAACAAUACCAGAUGGGGAGCUAGAGAGGUUCCGUACUUAUAUGUUAACGCCUUGAUGGACUUGGAAAACCGAAUGCACUGUAUUGCUAGACAUACACACCUAAUUCACUGAAAGUGGCUAAUAAAUACAGAGAAUAAUCCAAAGCUAGAUAUUUUUCCACAAUGUAGCUCAACGGACUGCAAGUUGGGUAGCAACCUUUCCGUUUAUUUAUUUGUUUGGAGAAGUACUGCCAUAUUUCAUCCGAAAAAUGUAAGUCUAGUGUGAUUAAUAAUAUUUACCCUUCUCUUCAAAAAACAAAAAAACAUUAAGUAGAGGUGUACCAGCACCCUGUUCAAAUCAAACUUGUUUUGGGCUUAUGGCACAGCCUAAAAUAACUAGGCUCAGUGGGGAAAACGGAAAACCGAAGUCAUUUUCAAAUAUUCAGAAAAAGAAAUUUGGUCUCACACCAAAUGUUUGAAAGUCCUCAAUAGCAUUAAAAAUGUAGUACCGUGCUUACUCUCAGAAAAGCCGCACAAUGAACCAUGAAAUUCCACCAUAUUCUAUGAUUUUAUAAUCAGGAUCAUUAUAUAGUCCUACAACAUAAGUCAUACAAAAAUACAUUUAUUAGCUUUGAUUAAUUAGAAACAGAGAAAAACAUAAUAGAUCAACAUGAACCCACCACCAGAUAAACAAUAAUGUUGUGCGACUGCAAUUACUUAGUACAUCCUCAAUGACCAACUAUUUCACAUACUGCAGUCCCUUUUGCCCGUUUGAUUUUAUUGAAGUCCACUGCCUACAUACAUAUACAUACAUACAUACAUAUAUAUAUAUAGUUAUUCUGAGGUGUGGCCGCUCUCUUUUUUUUUUAAAAAUAUAGACGCAUUAUUAAACCGUGUGGGUUAAUAGAGUCAAUUUUCAAUGCACUAUAAAAUUGUAUGGUUUAAUAACAUAUUUGUACUGACUCUAUUAAACUUUAUUGUUUAACAGCAUAUCUGGAUUUUUUUUAAAAAAAAAGAUGCCCACACUAGAGAAGGAUUGUGUCUGUGUAUGUGAGACAUUUUAACAUAAACUAUAUACAAAAGACAUUUUAACAUAAAUUUUUUACAUAUUUUUAUUAGCAUUUUAUAAAUUUUUUAAUAUAUUGUCUUAUAUAUGGUAACUCAAUUCCUACUUUAUUCAUGUGAAUGGGUUAGAACCUCAAAUGUAUAUAUCUCACGUCAAUAAAUUUUACCAAUAAAGUUAACUAGUAGUGUUAGCCUAAAGGGCUACACAUAAUAUAAUUUUGAUGAUAACAAACAUAUGUAAUAAGUGAUUUAAUAGAUAUUGUAUUUCACAUUUUCACUAGUUUUUGAAGGGUAAUAUUUAUGCAAGUGAAUUUUUUUUCUUCCUCUUCCUCUUUUUACUUUAUGCCUCCUCACGCUCUUUCCCCCUCCACAUUUUCUAUUCUUUCUUCUCCUAUUUUUUUUCUUUCUUCCCCCUUCCCUUUCUUUUUCUAUUCUCUUUUCUUCCCCCCCCUUUUUAUUUUCUUUCUUCUUUUCUUUUUCCCUCUUUCCUUUCUUUUUUUUUCCCCCCCUUCUACCCUUUUCCCCCACUUUUUUCCCCCCNNNNNNNNNNNNNNNNNNNNNNNNNNNNNNNNNNNNNNNNNNNNNNNNNNNNNNNNNNNNNNNNNNNNNNNNNNNNNNNNNNNNNNNNNNNNNNNNNNNNNNNNNNNNNNNNNNNNNNNNNNNNNNNNNNNNNNNNNNNNNNNNNNNNNNNNNNNNNNNNNNNNNNNNNNNNNNNNNNNNNNNNNNNNNNNNNNNNNNNNNNNNNNNNNNNNNNNNNNNNNNNNNNNNNNNNNNNNNNNNNNNNNNNNNNNNNNNNNNNNNNNNNNNNNNNNNNNNNNNNNNNNNNNNNNNNNNNNNNNNNNNNNNNNNNNNNNNNNNNNNNNNNNNNNNNNNNNNNNNNNNNNNNNNNNNNNNNNNNNNNNNNNNNNNNNNNNNNNNNNNNNNNNNNNNNNNNNNNNNNNNNNNNNNNNNNNNNNNNNNNNNNNNNNNNNNNNNNNNNNNNNNNNNNNNNNNNNNNNNNNNNNNNNNNNNNNNNNNNNNNNNNNNNNNNNNNNNNNNNNNNNNNNNNNNNNNNNNNNNNNNNNNNNNNNNNNNNNNNNNNNNNNNNNNNNNNNNNNNNNNNNNNNNNNNNNNNNNNNNNNNNNNNNNNNNNNNNNNNNNNNNNNNNNNNNNNNNNNNNNNNNNNNNNNNNNNNNNNNNNNNNNNNNNNNNNNNNNNNNNNNNNNNNNNNNNNNNNNNNNNNNNNNNNNNNNNNNNNNNNNNNNNNNNNNNNNNNNNNNNNNNNNNNNNNNNNNNNNNNNNNNNNNNNNNNNNNNNNNNNNNNNNNNNNNNNNNNNNNNNNNNNNNNNNNNNNNNNNNNNNNNNNNNNNNNNNNNNNNNNNNNNNNNNNNNNNNNNNNNNNNNNNNNNNNNNNNNNNNNNNNNNNNNNNNNNNNNNNNNNNNNNNNNNNNNNNNNNNNNNNNNNNNNNNNNNNNNNNNNNNNNNNNNNNNNNNNNNNNNNNNNNNNNNNNNNNNNNNNNNNNNNNNNNNNNNNNNNNNNNNNNNNNNNNNNNNNNNNNNNNNNNNNNNNNNNNNNNNNNNNNNNNNNNNNNNNNNNNNNNNNNNNNNNNNNNNNNNNNNNNNNNNNNNNNNNNNNNNNNNNNNNNNNNNNNNNNNNNNNNNNNNNNNNNNNNNNNNNNNNNNNNNNNNNNNNNNNNNNNNNNNNNNNNNNNNNNNNNNNNNNNNNNNNNNNNNNNNNNNNNNNNNNNNNNNNNNNNNNNNNNNNNNNNNNNNNNNNNNNNNNNNNNNNNNNNNNNNNNNNNNNNNNNNNNNNNNNNNNNNNNNNNNNNNNNNNNNNNNNNNNNNNNNNNNNNNNNNNNNNNNNNNNNNNNNNNNNNNNNNNNNNNNNNNNNNNNNNNNNNNNNNNNNNNNNNNNNNNNNNNNNNNNNNNNNNNNNNNNNNNNNNNNNNNNNNNNNNNNNNNNNNNNNNNNNNNNNNNNNNNNNNNNNNNNNNNNNNNNNNNNNNNNNNNNNNNNNNNNNNNNNNNNNNNNNNNNNNNNNNNNNNNNNNNNNNNNNNNNNNNNNNNNNNNNNNNNNNNNNNNNNNNNNNNNNNNNNNNNNNNNNNNNNNNNNNNNNNNNNNNNNNNNNNNNNNNNNNNNNNNNNNNNNNNNNNNNNNNNNNNNNNNNNNNNNNNNNNNNNNNNNNNNNNNNNNNNNNNNNNNNNNNNNNNNNNNNNNNNNNNNNNNNNNNNNNNNNNNNNNNNNNNNNNNNNNNNNNNNNNNNNNNNNNNNNNNNNNNNNNNNNNNNNNNNNNNNNNNNNNNNNNNNNNNNNNNNNNNNNNNNNNNNNNNNNNNNNNNNNNNNNNNNNNNNNNNNNNNNNNNNNNNNNNNNNNNNNNNNNNNNNNNNNNNNNNNNNNNNNNNNNNNNNNNNNNNNNNNNNNNNNNNNNNNNNNNNNNNNNNNNNNNNNNNNNNNNNNNNNCAAGAAAUUAAUUCUUUUGUUGAGCUCUAAACUUUAUUCUUGAUUUCGCCGUUGUCCGUUGAGUGUCUUGAGCUUGAUUUCACUUGAUUCACUUGCAUAAAUAUUACCCUUCAAAAACUAGUGAAAAUGUGAAAUACAAUAUCUAUUAAAUCACUUAAUACAUAUAUUUGUUAUCAUCAAAAUUACAUUACGUGUAGCCCUUUAGGCUAACAAUCUCUCCCUUUUUGAUGAUGACAAACAUUUCAUGUACUUUGACAUUUAUACUCCCCCUUAAUACAUGGCAUAUAUAAUUAAACAUAUAAAUUAAAUUCAAAACAAAAACUCCACCUGAAUAUUUCAAAAUUAUGCACAAAUACUUUAAGAUCAAAAUACAUAUUAUACGUCUUCAUAUUCAAAAUACAUGACUUCGAUUACUUUUUAUAAACUAAGAGGUUUUAUUUCUAUAAGAUAAAGUACCUUGUGGUUUUGAGUAAUUUGGACUUAAAUGUAAACUUUUGAAAUCUUUGAUUUUAAUAAGUAUUAUUAUUGAAUUUCAGAGUUGGACCUUGUUACGAACAUUUGAAAUGUUUUUGGGCCAUACUAUAAUUUAUGAAUAUUUUGGACUAAAGUGAAAGGUUUUUGAGAACUUUGAAAAAUAUGGGUAUUAUGUUGAAAAGGACCUUUUUGUGAAAUAAUAAUAUCUUUGGGGCCAUAUCAUAAUUUCAGAAAGUUUGGGAAAGACAACUAUUCUUAGGAAAUUCUAUAAUUAGACCUAUUUACAAAGUUUUAUGACGUUUUGGGUCGUAGUAUAAUUAUAGAAAGUUUUAGGCCAAAGUAUAUUUUUAGUGAGCAUUGUUACUGUAGCAAAAUUCAAAAAAAAUAACGGUAAUAUUACUGUUCAUGAGCGGCUAGCGGGAUAAAUCAAGCGUCUAACCGCGUGGGUGCUGAAAUUUGCCUAUAACGACUAGUUUUCAGGCUUUAACUAUAAAAACUCAACUCCAACUUCAUUUUAAGAACUAAUGCAAGCAAAAAUACGAUCAUAUAACAUAUAUUGAGCUUCCAUUUCGCAAAUCAUCAUUUAUUGAAUCAUUAUUGAGCUAUAAUUUGUUAUCCACUCUUAAAGAGAGUUUCAUUGUUGUGAUUUUCAUUUCUCAUCAAAUUGUGAGUGUACAAGUGUGAGAAACACUUGGGGUGAAGAGAUUGGGGAUAUAAUCUCUUGUUGUAAAAGUCUAUUGACACAUUGGAAGUCAAUUGUAAACAUUUGAAGCCUUGGGAGGUUUGAAUAGUAAAAUCCUCAAGCCGGGUGAGCUUGGAGGCGUGGACGUAGGCGGGGAUUGCCGAACCACGUAAAAAUCCUUGUGUUUGUUUUCUCUUCCCUUAUUCUUUUAAUAUUAUGCUUGAUUGAAUUUAUGAUUUUGGAUUUGAUUAAGGCAAUAGAUUAAAUUGUUGUGCGAAUUGUAUUGCAUAUUUUUAAAAACCCAAUUCACCCCCCUUCUUGGGUUGCAUAACUUGCAUUUCAUUUGGUAUCAGAGCAAAGUGCUCUUAUGUAGACUUAACCGUCUAGAGUUAAAGAUCCAUGGCAACCCAUAAUGACUCAACUUUUAGGGAAGGACAAUCCACAAUUAGACCACCGUUCUUUGACGGUAAUGACUACCCAUAUUGGAAAACUAGGAUGAGAAUUUAUUUACAAGCUUUAGAUUAUGAAAUUUGGGAAAUUGUUUGUGAUGGUCCAUUUAUGCCUUUGACUAAAAACGAAGUUAGGGAAGAUAUUCCAAAACCUUCACGGGAAUGGAAUGAAUUGAAAAAGAGAAAAGCUUCUCUAAACUCCAAAGCUAUGAAUGUCUUGUUUUGUGCACUAGAUAAUAAAGAAUUUCAUAGAGUAUCUAGUUGUGAAAGUGCUAAUGAAAUUUGGUACAAACUUGAAGUUGUUUAUGAAAGCACGAAUCAAGUGAAAGGGUCUAAAAUUAGUAGGUAUACUCGACAAUAUGAAUUGUUUCAAAUGGAACAAAAUGAGAGUGUGUAUUCUAUGUAUACUAGAUUUACGGACAUAGUGAACACUCUAGGAACCCUAGGAAAGACCUUUUCAAAUAGCUAGAAAGUUAAGAAAAUCAUUAGGUCGCUACCUAAGGAAUGGAGACAAAAAAGGACUGCCAUUAAGGAAGCCAAAAUUUUAAAUAUUUUACCUAUUGAUGAUUUAAUUGGUUCUCUUAUUUCUUAUGAGGAAGACUUGACAGCCAAAAGAGGCAAUGAGGAGAAGAAGAAAAGCAUUGCUCUCAAAGCCUCGAAACAUGAGAGUGAUGAGGAAAGCAAGCUGGAUGAGGAGGAGAUGGAUAUGCUGGCUAGGAGGUUUAGAAAACUUUUUAAGAAAUCCGGUGAGCGAAGAAAAUUUAGAGAUCUCAAGAACCGAAAGGAGAAGAAGAAAGUAAUCAAAUGUUAUGAGUGCAAGAAGCCUGAUCAUAUAAGAACGAAAUGCCCUCUUCUCAACAAGCUCAAGAAGAAAGCAAUGGUAGCCACAUGGGAUGAUAGCGAUGAGGAAACAAGUGAUGAUGAAGAGCAUCAAGAAAUGAAAAAUCUAGCUCUCAUGGAAAUUGGAGAUGAAUCGGAUGAUGAACUUGAUAAGGUAAAUGAUCUCUCUACUUAUGAUGAAUUAUAUGAUGCUUUUAAAGAAUUGCAUGAUAAUUGGAUAAAAAUUGGUAAAAAGAAUGCAUGUCUUAAAAAGAAAAUGGUAAAGCUCACAAAUGAAAAUGAAUCUCUAAGUGUAAAGAUUACAUGCCUAGAAUUAGAGAAUAAAACAUUGCAUGAUAGAGUUGCAUUAUCAAAUGAGAAACCUAACACUUCACAUGAGCAUCUAGAAUCAUAUGUAGAUGACUUGAAAAAUGAAAAUGAUGCUUUACAAAAAUGUAAUGAUUCAUUAAAUGAAAAGAUUAAAGAACUAGAGUUAGAUAAUAAAAUGUUGCAUGAUAGAAUUGCAUCAUUUAAAGGUAAACAAAGUAUUUCAUAUGAGCAUGAAAAAUCACAUGUUGAUGAAUUGAUGAAAGAAAAUGAAGUGCUUAAGAAAAAGAGUAAUGAGCUCAACGAAAUUGUGUUAAAAUUCACAAGUGGUCAAAAGAACUUAGAAAAAUUACUAAGCACUCAAAAAUGUGUGUUUGAGAAAGGAGGACUUGGGUAUAAACCUAACUUGAAACAAAAAUAUUAUAAAAAUUAUUUUGUUAAGGCUACCUCCACAAGUGAUUGUAAGAUUGUUUUGUCAUUAUUGUAAUGGAAAUGGUCAUAUGAGUUUUAGAUGUCCAAUUAAGAGAAAUGUAUAUUAUGGAGUCAAGUGUAUUUGGGUUCCAAAAGGAACCAAAUCUAACACUCAAGGACCCAAGAGUAUUUGGGUACCAAAAUGCACAACUUGAAUAUUUUCUUUGUAGGUACCACAAUCAAGGAAUGGCAAAGAGUUCCUUGAUAAAAGCUUAUGAGGAUAAUCAUUUGAUCAUGGUGUAAGCAAAAAUGAUGAGAUAAUAUGAUUUAAUUGUUUUGGUAAUAAUUAUUGCCUUAUUGAUUAUAAGUGAUGGUCUUUUAAUCUUAGUAAGUAUCUAAUAAUUCAUCUGGUAUCAUAACAUUAAGUGCAUUAACAUGAAGUGGAUAAGUUUAUUUUGCAUAUUUAUUAUAUUGAGUGGAUCAUGAAAAAUGGAUAGUAGCUUGAAUUUGUGAAAGUAUGCUUGUAUGUUUACAUGAUUGAAUUAUCAUUGUGUUUAACAUUGAGUGUUUUAUCAUGAUGGAUUUGUUUGAUUUUAAUGAUUAUGUAAUGCCUAAGUAUGAUAAAUGAGUAAUAUGCUUGAAUUAUUAAUCUUUGAAUACUUAUAUGUUUCAUGAUUGAGUAAAAUAUAUACAUGAUGGAUGAAUUAUAUGUGUGAAUUAAUCAUGUCUUAAAUGUUUAUAAUUUCAACCAUAAAGUGUUAUUGUAUCUCAUAAUUGUGAUGGAUAUGCAUGAUGAAUAUGUUAUAAAUUUGAGUUUUAUGAUUUUUUGGAUGUUUAAAAUCAUGAUUCAUGCAUUAAAUUGGCUCUUGAGAUGUUUCGGUAUCACGAAAUGGUCUUGGGAUUGCUCAAAUUUCAGCCGGACAGCAAAUUGGUGCAGGGGAGCAGAAACCAGGCGGCUAGCCGCCUGAAUCAAGCGGCUAGCCGCUUGAAAUCUGCUCAAACCCGAGAGCAAGUGGCUAGCCGCUUGCCCCCAAGCGGUUAGCCGCUUGGUCACGGGUUUAAGAGAUUUUCCCCCUAUUUUUCAUGUGUUCUUUAACCUCUCUCCAUUCUCUCUCAAAGCCGAACAUAUCCCCUCCAUUUCCACUUAAUAUUUCUUCAUUUCUCACUCUUUUUCAUGGCAAGAUCAAAUCUUUCAAACCGUUACCCAUGUAUUUAACCUCUCAUUAAACACUUCUCAAUCAUCAUUUCUUCACUUGUUCUUCAUCAUUUCAUCAUCAUCUCUCACGCGUGAACAGUACUUCUCCAUUUCUCUCUCAAAUUUCUUCAUCUUUCACUCAUUUUCUUGUUAAAAUCAAUCAUCCAAAUCAUUAUUCAUCCAUUACUCCUUCAAUUUUCAUUCUCAAAACUUCAUUUCAUCAACUCUCCACAUAAAACCCAAAAUAAAAAACCUAACUCUACCCUGUUUCUCUCUCUUCAUUUUCAAGCUUCCUUUAGCCCAUUUUUUAUCCAAUCUACAUCAUAUAUUAGCUUUAUUCAUCUCUAGGAUCGAUUUUCUUGGCUCAAACAAAUCCAUUUCACUCAAUUUUUUGUAAACCCGAAAUUGGAUCUUUAAGCUUGUUUUUGUUCCAACAAUGGUGGGUGGUGAAAAAUCCAAGAGCAAACAAGUUGCCAAGAGAUGCAAGGACGAUUAUGGAGAUAAUACGGAGUUCAUAUCAACUCACUUUCAGCAUCUACCUCUUCGGAAACGGUUUCACGACAAUUUUAUGUCGAGGUCGGUUAUCGCUCCCUAUUUUGUUAAUCUUCGUAAUUUGAAGAAUUUAGAAAUUUGUGACAAAUCUCUUAGUUAUUUUCUCAUUGCUAUGGGCUGAAAAAAUGUUUUAGUUAUUAAGGAGCAAUACUAUGAAAAUUUAGUUAAGGUGUUUUAUUCGAAUAUGAUUAUGGGAUCCUCGGAUAUAAUUGUUGCAAGUGUUGGGGGAAUUCAUAUUGAAUUUGAUGAUUGAUGAUUAUAUGUGUGUCGCUUGUUGUUGGUUUGUUAUAAUUGUUUCAGCUUAUAUGGAAGUGUUUUUAAUCAUGUUGUAUAUUUAAGGAUUUGUUCAUUUUAAGGGGAGACUCUGCCGAAAUUUUUGCUCGCACAAAAUUGGUAAUAUCUUUAUCGAAUUAUUUUUUAUGAAGGGGGAGAUAAAUAUGAUAUGUUUUUGGAUAAUAUCAUUUUGGUUAAAUUUUUUAAUUGGCCAUAUAUUUAGGAGGAGCAUACAAUAUGAUUUUGGAUAAUAUGCAUUUUGAGCAUUCUUUUGAUGGCAUGAUGGUUCAUGAUCAUUUUAUGGUUAAUUGGAUGUUUGGUUAUUAUAUGUUUCUUGAUUAACCAUUCACAUAUUAUCGAUCUUAGCAUGAAUUUCUAGUAAUUUUGAUGAUGAACGGGGAGAAGUCAUGUAUUUUGAAUAUGAAGACAUAUAAUAUGUAUUUUGAUCUUAAAGUAUUUGUGCAUAAUUUUGAAAUAUUUAGGGGGAGUUUUUGUUUUGAAUUUAAUUUAUAUGUUUAAUUAUAUAUGCCAUGUAUUAAGGGGGAGUAUAAAUGUCAAAAUACAUGAGAUGUUUGUCAUCAUCAAAAAGGGGAAGAUUGUUAGCCUAAAGGGCUACACAUAAUGUAAUUUUGAUGAUAACAAACAUAUGUAUUAAGUGAUUUAAUAGAUAUUGUAUUUCACAUUUUCACUAGUUUUUGAAGGGUAAUAUUUAUGGAAGUGAAUCAAGUGAAAUCAAGCUCAAGACACUCAACGGACAACGGCGAAAUCAAGAAUAAAGUUUAGAGCUCAACGGACAAAUUAAUGCAAUAAAUUCUUGUAAAGCCGGUAUGAUUUAAUUGAUGCAUGAUUUAUCAUUUGAGAAGCUCAAGAGAUUAAUUUAAUUAAUUACUUUUUAUAAACUAAGAGGUUUUAUUUCUAUAAGAUAAAGUACCUUGUUACGAACAUUUGAAAUGUUUUUGGGCCAUACUAUAAUUUAUGAAUAUUUUGGACUAAAGUGAAAGGUUUUUGAGAACUUUGAAAAAUAUGGGUAUUAUGUUGAAAAGGACCUUUUUGCGAAAUAAUAAUAUCUUUGGGACCAUAUCAUAAUUUCAAAAAGUUUGGGAAAGACAACUAUUCUUAGGAAAUUCUGAAAUUGGACCUAUUUGUAAAGUUUUAUGAUGUUUUGGGCCGUAAUAUAAUUAUAGAAAGUUUUGGGCCAAAGUAUAUUUUUAGUGAACAUUGUUGCUGUAGCAAAAUUAAAAAAAAUAACGGUAAUAUCACUAUUCAUGAGCGGCUAGCCGGAUAAAUCAAGUGUCUAACCGCUUGGGUACUGGAAUUUGCCUAUAAUGGCUAGUUUUCGGGCUUUAACUAUAAAAACUCAACUCCAACUUCAUUUUAAGAACUAAUGCAAGUAAAAAUAAGAUCAUAUAACAUAUAUUGAGCUUCCAUUUCGCAAAUCAUCAUUUAUUGAAUCAUUAUUGAGCUAUAAUUUGUUAUCCACUCUUAAAGAGAGUUUCAUUGUUGUGAUUUUCAUUUCUCAUCAAAUUGUGAGUGUACAAGUGUGAGAAACACUUGGGGUGAAGAGAUUGGAGAUAUAAUCUCUUGUUGUAAAGGUCUAUUGACACAUUAGAAGUCAAUUGUAAACAUUUGAAGCCUUGGGAGGCUUGGAUAGUGAAAUCCUCAAGCCGGGUGAGCUUGGAGGCGUGGAAGUAGGCGGGGAUUGCCGAACCACGUAAAAAUCUUUGUGUUUGUUUUCUCUUCCCUUACUCUUUGAAUAUUAUGCUUGAUUGAAUUUAUGAUUUUGGAUUUGAUUAAGGCAAUAGAUUAAAUUGUUGUGCGAAUUGUAUUGCAUAUUUUUAAAAACCCAAUUCACCCCCCCUCUUGGGUUGCAUAACUUGCAUUUCAAGUAGUAGUGUUCACAAUUGUUUGUUGAUAGGUGGGCUUUGAUAUUUAAAAAAAAUUAAAAAUUAGUAAAAACUACAUCAAUAAAACAAAUUUUCUUAGUUUUCCUUGUUGAACAUAAAUACGUACACUAACUGACAAUGAAUUGUGUAACUCCUUUUCUUCUAAGUUCUUUUUUUUAUAUAUAAUAUAUAUAUAUAUAUAUAUAUAUAUAUAUAUAUAUAUAUAUAUAUAUAUAUAUAUAUAUAAAAUAAAAACAAUGAGAUUUUAAGAGAGUUAGUAUUUAACUCUCUUAAACUGCAUGGUUUUAUAGUUCAUUAAAAAACUAACUCUUUUAAACCGCACAAUUUAAAGUGUGUCCGCAUUAAAAAAAAUACGGACUUCCGCACCUAUAUAUAUAUUAGAAAUGUUCCAAUCCUGAAUUUUAAAGUGUGGGUGUUGUGAAAAUUUUAAUAUACUCGCAAGCGCACGAAUCUAGAAAUAGAGUAGUGGUAACGAGGUCGAUCCCACAGGGAUUGUUAUAAAUUGAAAAGUCUAAUUUAAAUCUAAAAUUAAUAUUAAUUCUAACCUAGUUGACCAAAUUGAGUUUCUAAGAAAAUUAAACCAAUUAAACUAAGGAAGCAAUUAAAAUAAAGGAGAAUUCAAUAAGAUAAGAAUUACCAAGGUUUCAGAAUCCACCACUAUUCAACUAGUAAUUAUCUAAUUAUUAAUUAAUCCCCAAUUUUAGAGUGACAACUCGAAAUCAAUCUAUGUCAUCUCAUGGAUAUAACAAUUAAGCCCAAGUAAUUAAAUCUAAUGUAGGUUCUUUUUCUGCUUAAUAAUAUGACAUCUAAGCAUCCCAUGUAAACAUAUUGAAUAACAAAGAGUCAAAGUUUUCCUAAGCACUCUAUGUAAACAAUUUAAUGAAAGACAUAGAAUCAAAGAUAAUCAUGUAUAAACUUUAUAAAUCCAAGCAUAGAUUUAAUCGAAUAUUAAUCAUAACAAUCAAUAAUGCAUGACAGAAUUGAUGAAAAGAUUUUAAUAACAUCCAAUUAAUCAUGUGAAAUAAAAAUCAUAAUCAUUAAAGAACAUAUAUAGGGAAUUAAAUAAAUAAAAAGAUAAUUAUUUCAUUGAAUAGAGUUUCAUCCUUAACCUCAGUAUAAGAAAAUUAGCUAGACAUACUUGAAUUGAGAGCAACACAAGAAAUAAAAUUAGCCAUGGAAGCUGAAAUAUUGCUACUGUCGAUUGCUCUCUUCCAGCUCUUUUGUUUCCGUCCUCUGGCGGCUCCCCUCUCCAAAAGCCAAAACUCCCUUUUAUAAUCUUUAAAAUGGACCCCACCUCUUAAAUCCUAAAGCCAAAAGGCUUGGCCUUUUACUUGAUUUGCUCUCUCACACGUCUUGGGCACUUAGAAUUGCUAAAGGACUCCUUUUUCCAAUUAUAAAAGCCAAGUGUGGGUCCUUUCUUAAAGCUAAAUCAAUUUCUCUCCUUUGUCCACAUGUACAUAAUGAAUUAAUUUGUUGAAUUCAGUUCCUUGGCUUGAUUUUCGCAUGCAUGUAUGUCUAAUUGCUUCCAAAAAUCAAUUAAUCAUUAAUGCUUACAAAUUGAACUCCUUUAUGCUCUUUUUAUCCAUAAUCUCCAAUUAAUUCCCUAUUCAAUAAAAUAAUUUAAUUAAUUAAAAAUAACAAAUAAAAAUGACUAGCAAUUAAAUAAUUAAGGGUAAAAUAUGUAUAUAAAUUAUGCUCAUCAGUGGGAAUGUUCAAAAAAAUGUAUAAACUGUGCGGUUUAAACGCUUUAAGUUUUUAAGCCUUUAAAGUCCUGCGGUUUUAAAGAUUUCUUGGACUUUUCCCGCACUUUAAGAUCUCGGACUCUCUCUCUCUCUCUCUCUCUCUCUCUCUCUCUCUCUCUAUAUAUAUAUAUAUAUAUAUAUAUAUAUAUUCUUUUUUACCACUUUCUCUCACACUGUUUUCCUUGCGUUUGAUUUUCUUCUCCUUUCUUUAUCUCAAACCUGAACUUUGGUAAUAAUAAGAAUCUAUAUAUGUACAUGAUGGAUCUGUAAGCCCUUAAUGAGAAUAUAUAUGUGUUCUUUUAUCUAUUAAUAACAUCUUUAUUUUGUUAAAAUGAAGAUAUACUCAUUAACAAGUUAUUCUAUAUACAUAUCUAAUAUAUGUAAGACUUAAUUGAUUGUGCAAAUUAUUAGUUGUUGGAAUUUCAAACAAACCACAAGUACUUUAGUAUUUACUCUGCUAAUAAUUGGGCUAGGAAAAUAUAUUGCUUUCCUUCCAAAUAUAAGGAAAAGAAUCCACAGAUUCAUAAAAAAUUAUAAAAAUAUAUAGAUUGAAAACAACCUUCACAUUAUAUUGAAUUGGAAGUCAAAUAAGCCGGCGCCUUGUGUAAACCUUUCAUGAGAAAUUCUAGAAUACAUCAAAGGCACCAUGUUAGUCAUACAAUAAGCAAAUAAUGUUAUGACAUGUAUGCAUUUAUUUUGAAAAAUCAUUAUGCAAGUGAUGGUCAUAUUAAACUCAAUUACACAUGUCAUGCAUGCAUCAAUUGAUUGUAAUACAGGUAUUCUAGAAUUUCUUUGCUUUCAUACCGAGUUUUUAAAUUUUUUGUAAAUCUGCAAUCUAAUGAUGCUAUAAAUCAAUAAUAAUGUAUUUGUCUUGUAAAUGAAAAGUGGGACCAUAAUUAAAUGUUUCCUCCACAAAAAUGGUGCUCCUCUCGGUGUUAAACAAGGAAAAGCAAUAGGAAAUCUCCACGAAGCAAGUCUAGCUCAUGCUCACUAGAAGAUUUUCUUAAGUUAUGAAGAUUUGAACAGAGAAGUCCAGCGAAUAUUCCUCUAAGUCAAUCUGAAGAAUUGACUUGAUCAGAGUCAAGUCUCAAAUUUUCUCCUAAAAAUAAGGGUUUGAGCUCUAUCCUCUCAACGGUUAUCCCACAGUUUAGGGGGCUAAGGACUCUGACAUUUAUUAAAGCUUCCAAAAAUUUAAACCAAGUGAUCUUUUCUCUCUCUACCUCAAAAUUCUUUUUGAGAAAAUAGCAUUGGGAGUUCAUUCUUUCUUUCUUCUUUUCAUUUUUAAAGCCUUUCGAGUAUACUAGUUAUAAUCAAUGCUCAACAACUUAAUACACAUUAAUCCAUUAAACCUAAAGAACUGACUUGAGUAUUGAAGGAUUUAAUGCGAACAAGAUCCCCAACUUUCCUCUAAUCAUUUAUUGUGAAUGUAGAUAUUUUUUUGGGAAGUACUCGUGAUCGCCUGUGUUUGCUCGAGUGAAUAGGGAGUUUAUGGUCAAGAUCAUCUAUCCCAUCAUUAUAAAUUUUAAGUGUUGACAUUGGCAUCUAGUUAUUGCUCAACACGAUCAUAUUUCAGCAUCGACAAUAUUGAUUUCAAAUAUAGUAUUGUUUUUAUAUUAUUUAUAGUAUAAUUCAAAGUCUUUAUUAAUAAUUUAAUAAAAAUUUAAUUUUAGGGAUCCUAAUAUUACUUGAGUUAAUUGAUGCAUCAUUCAUCAAUUAGAUAGUAAAAUAAUAUUAUAUAAUAAUUAUGCAUUUAUCAUCCAAUAAAUGAGUAGAAAAUAUAAAAGAAAUUAUAGUUCUUAGCCCAAAUCUCUACCUUGUAGGCCAUGAUUUUGUGGUAUCUUAUAAUAGAGAUGGCAAAAAUACUUGGGCCUGGCCUCGCCUGGCUUGUAAAGGGCAGGCCAGGCUCGCGGGCUUUAGGCUUGGCCUGCAACAAAUGGGCAUGGUCAUGGGCUAAAAAUUUAAAAGUCCACAAUAGAUGGGCCUGGAUAUGGGCUCAUGGGAAAAGCACGAGCUUUAUUUUUUAUAAAUAAAAUUUUUUAGUUUAUAUAUUGUGUUGCUUUAUACUUUAAAUUUUAUAUAUUUUAUAUUUUUUGUAUUUGAUUAUUAGUCUAUUAUAUAUUGUACAUAUUCUUUUUAAAAUUUUUAUCUAAGCCCAUGCCCGGCCGUCUAAGUGUGGAUGGUUUGGAGAGUUUGAGCAUGCUGUCAAUAACUUAGGCCUAAGCAUGAGCUUCAAAAAGCCCGGCCCAGACCCUUAAAUUGCCAUCCCUAGUUAUAUGUCUUAAAGAUUUGGGGUUGCAACCCUUAAACCUAUACAUAGGGCCCUCCCCAUCCCCACCAUGAACCAUUUCACCAAUGAAUUUUCAUGAAUUACCACUCUCAAAACAAGCGUAAAGGCAAAGGAAUUUUCAUCAAUUAUCAAUUUAAGAAAUUGGUAAAAAAAUUAAGUAAUUUUAAAAUAUAAAACACUCAUCAUUAACCUAAAAUACUAUAUUUUAUAAAAUACAUAUAAAACAAAAUAAUAAUAAUAAUAAAACAAAAUACGGAUGUUACAUUUUGUGCUCUAUAGCAUUGUCCACUAAUAGGAUCACAAUACCUCCAUUCUUUCUAUUUGUAGGCAACAAAUCUUCUUCUCUACUUUGUUAAAAUAAGCUUAACACUAUCUUCCAAAGCCCAACUCAUAGAAGCUUCUAUGAGUGAGUAUAAAAAAAAAAAUUGUGGUGUGCGAUAUUAUUAGCGAUAGGUGUAGUCGGUGAAAUGUAUGGUUAUUAAUUAUUUGUAAUUUUUUAUUUGAAUGGUUUAGAUUUGUUCUCAUGUACUAAAAAUACCUCCUGUAUCAUUUGGUAAAGCAUCAAGUGAAGAGUGAAGAAUUAGAAAAGAGAAAAAAGAGUGAACCAUGAGUGUUGUAGUAUAUCUCUUGUAAAAUUUCAAUAAAGUCCUUUAGGUUUAAUCAACUUUACAAUUGCCCAAAUUGUUUUAGUUUUGUGUAGUUUAGUCCUCCACAGUUUUCAACAAUUGGUAUUAGAGUGUGAUUGGUCGAGGACCACUACAUCAGUGAUGCCAGAAGUUCAUGACAAUUGAGAACUAUCGUGGAGAAGUUGUAAGAGUAUAAUGUCGACGAUCGAGGAUAAUUUGGCGGAGUUGUAUUGAAUCAUGAAGAGUUUGAAACUCUUUAAGUUCGUUGGUGAAGAUCGAGCUUACUUGGCAUUGUCAAAAUCUUGCAAAUACAACUGAUGACCUUUAAGUUUACGGAGAAGUCAAGAAGCUCAACAACAAAAAUAAAAAUACAUAGACAACAUUAAUAGUCUUAUUCAUAAGGCCAAGACCUCUUGGGAAUUGUUUAUGGUAAUGAUCGGAAACCACCAACCUCUUGGAAAUCGUUUUUCUAUUGUCACAUUUUUUUUGUGAAAUUGAUAGUAACUCAUUCUUCAGAAGUUGUAGCCACAUUCCAUUCUUCUUUGACAAAAUAGUUGCGAAAGUGUCCUGAGCUUCCUUAGGGGCUUUAGCCUUUCUUUUGUGUUGUACAAUCUUUUCUUUAGUUAUAAUAUUAUAAUCAGUAUGGCCUUCCCAACUUUAAUGUUCCACUUUUUUAAAGUGGCAUCCUCAGUUGGUGGUUUUACAUCGUUAUCACAAAUGUUCUCCUAGAGGUCUUGGCCUUAUAAGUAGGACUCUAUCAAUGUUGCCGAUAUAUUAAAAUUUUUGUUGUUGAGCUCCUGGACUCCUCUAACUACUUGAAGGUCAUCGAUCGUGUUUGUAAGACUUGGAAAUUGCCAAGCAAGCUCGAUCUUCACCAAUGAAUUUGUAGAGUUUCAAACAACUCACAAAUCAACGAAGCCCCAUCAAACGAUCCUCGAUCAUCCUAGCUGCACUCUUAUAGCUUCUCCAUGAUAGUCCUUGACUAUUAGGGAUGACAAUUAAAUUUGGAUCCGGCCCGGAUCCAGAUAUGGAAAUUUGGGGUCCGCAUGGAUCUGAAUUCGGAUUUGGAUGCAAGUGCAUCUAAAAACCGGAUAUCCGGAUUCGGAUGCGGAUAAAUUUUAUUUUAAACUAAAAAUAUAUAUUAAAAAAUAAAUUUUAUUUGUGAAUUUAUGAAGUUGUUGUAUAUUAUUCAUAUUGAAUUAUUAAUUUUUAGAUUAUGAUUUAAUUUUAUUUGAUAUUAUUAGGUAAACUAUUGAUUUUAUUUUAAAUUAAAAACAUAAUAAAAAAUGAAAUAAAAAAUAAAUUUUAUUUAUAGAUUUAUGAGAUUAUUGUCUGUUAUUCAUGUUCAAUUAUUAAUUGUUCAAUUAUGAUUGGAUUUUAUUUGAUAUUAUUAGGUAAAUUAUUGAGUUUUUAAAUUAUAUAUUAAAUUAUUGAAUUUUAAUUUUUGUGGAUCUAGAUGUCCGAAAUAUCAGCCUGCAUCCAUUGCAAAUGUUACCCGUUUUCGGAUUGCAUAUUUUUUUGCAGAUCCGAAUAUAGAAAUAUGAAUUUGGAUCCGGAUUUUGCCAACCUUAUUGACUAUUGUGAAAUUCCCACAACAUUACUACAGUGAUCUCCAACCAACUGCUCUCUAAUACCAAUUGCGGAAGACUAAACUGCAAAAAAAUAAAACUAUUUGUUUAUAAUCUACUAAAUCUAAAGGACUUUAUCAAUAGUCUAUAAGAAAUAUACUAUAACACCCACUGUUUUCUUUUAUUUCUCUCUUCUAAUUCUUCACUCUCCACUUCAAAUUUAAACAAAUAGUACAAGGGAGUAUUUAUAGUAUAUGAGAACAAAUCUAAACCAUUCAAAUAAAAAAUUACAAAAAAUUAAUAGUCAUACAUUUCCACACUUAUCACCAAUAAUAUCACCUACCACUAAUUUUUUUUUCAAUACUCAUGGAGCCUUCUAUAAAUUAGGCUUAUUAAUUUUGGAUUUGGAAGAUGGUGUUGCACUUAUUUUAACAUCUCAGUCAACGUAAUAAACUCAGAACUCAACGAUUUCCAAUGUUCUGAUCUUGUCCAAGAAACUUCAUAUUCUGCCAACGAUUUCCAGUAUUCUGAUCUUAUUGAAAAUCUCAAGGCCUAUGGCGAACAUCAUUGGCAUAGGUGGAAGGCAAUCUUGAAACAAGAUUAUUUCAACAAUCCUUGGGCAUAUAUCUCUAUUAUUGCAGCAGUUGUUCCCCUUAAACUCACUGCCAUACAAGCAAUUUGUUCUAUUGUAGAAUUAUGGGGUUCGGAAAAUGGUUUGCUGGAUCUUCAUGUUUCAAGUAGGUAAUAUGUGUUUAUUAUAUCCACCGUAUUAUGUAAUCAUUUUUUGCUUUAUUCUAUAUACCGACAAUUUGUAAAUACCUUGUGAAUGAAGCUCUCGAACAAAGAAGAAUUAUCAAAUUCAAAGAAUUAAAAAAUUAAAUGAGUGAUUAAUUUAUUUCUUUAUAUCUUCAUGAGAAAGAGAGAGAAAAAAAUGGAAACAAAGAAAUUGGAAAAAAAUACUGAGAAUCAAAGGACAAUGAUUCAGUGUUGAGCUGAGUUUUUACUAAGCACUGAAUCAAUAUUUGUUAGGUAAGAGAAAUUAAAAAAUAAAAAUAAAAUAAAUCUUAACCAUUAAUUCUUUACUUAACAAAAAAUAAGCUCAAUAUUGAAUCCUAACCUAGAAUCAAAAUCGAUAGUAUUUGUGAAAAUAACAAUAAUUGAUUUCUAAAUAUGAGGUUGGCAGUUUUUUAAACAUUUUUUUUGCCUAUAGUUUUUUUAACACUUAUGAUGUUGACAAUCAUAAAGCAUAUUGACAAUUAUAUGGGCACAAAAAGUAACAGUGAUAUUGUUGGUUAAUUUUAUAAGCAAUUAAUAUCAAUGCCAAUGUGCAAGUAUACACAACAAGUAAUAAAGUGAUUAGUAUUCAAGAUCGUCUCCACAAGGAUUGAUGUUACUCAAAAUGCUAAAGCAAUCACAAUAGUGCAACUCAACUUAAAAUCGAAAUAAACAAUUAACAAGCAAAGUCUAUCGUAAUCAAUUAUUGAAACAAGAAUUAAAUAAAAUAAUACCGUAAUGAGAUAACUAGGUUAAGUGUGUCCAAGAUUCUAUUAAAAUUAUGGUAGUUGAAUGAUCAAACUCUCCUUAUGGGGUGACUGUUGUUUAUCAAGUUAGCAUAAGUUGUUAUAACAAGUGCUGCAGCACUGGGCAGAAUAAAUCUGCAUCCUCAGCUAUCGCAUGUUGGACGUCUCAUACCUUUAAAUCUAUUAACAAUGACCAGUUGCUAAUUUAUCUAUGAUACGACAUUAUAACAUUUAAUCUCUCCACCCUACAAGGUGAACACCUAUGUCUAGUGUACCACAAAUCUUAACUUCAAGUAUUGCCCUUAUGGGAUUUAAGAUAACUUAAUCCAGGAAACUUGACUUAAGAUCAAGUAAUACUCUAAUAAUAUCCGUUAAGACAUGCCCUUUUGCUGCUCUAUCUUAACUGAAACUAUUAUAUGGGUGGUCAACCGAAAUAACAGUUAUAUUCAUAAAAACUACUAGAGUAUAAUGCUACAGCAAUGCCAUAACAACAUAUAAGAACAGUCAAGAACCCAUUGGAUUGUUUGUCACUCAACUACAAGUAAAUUUAGUUCAUAAUCUGAUUGAAAAAAGUAAACAGAAAUAUAUUGACCCCGGAAUACAUCCAAACAACUAAAGGAAGAAUAGAAAUAUAAGUUGAGCACGAUGAAAGACAAAUAAUUAUGCACGGUUCUUUAAUGUUGUCGAACAGCACUCCUCAAUCUUGAUCUGCUUCUUCUUGCCUUUGUAAUUGUUUUUUAUGAUAAUUCCUUGCCGCCUUUCUUAUGUGAUGCACGCCUCCUUUUAUAUUGCAAAUUAGGGUAAAAACCAAAGCCCAUGAGAGUGCAUGCAUUUUAAAUUAGGAAACAUGCAGAUCAAGAUUUUAUGACUGACUCGCGCUUUAAGCUUUCUCUCGUAUUGCUCCCAAAUUGCUGCAGCACUGGUUGCUCUAACAUCCGCAACAGCACUGCAUUAUUCCCGAUUGUUCUUUUCUUCUUUUGUGGCCAUCUUCUUUCAUCCUCUUGCUCAUUUAAUGUCUCAGUAUCCCCUCAUGAAUUUAAAACCUACAAUUAUGCACCUGUUUUUAGCACAAAUUACUCUGAUUUAAGCAAAACUUAUUAAGACCCAACUAAAAUGAAUGUUUAUGCAAAAGGUAACCAAAAUGUAAUAAAAACACCUUAUUUGCUCUCUAAAUGAUCUUGAUUCAAGUCUAGAAUUGAUGUAAUAACUCUCAUUUCCUAGAGUUAUCACACCCCCAAACUUAAACUAUUACUUGUCCUCAAGUAAUGACAUAUACAACACUUCACACAAACAAUCAUUCACACAAAUUUAGCUCUUUUAUCAACUUUGCAAGGAUUCUUCCACAUUCAGAUCACAUUCUUAAUCAUGCAAGAUGACCAUAGUAAAUUAGUUCUAGACUUAAGCUUCUUUCUAUCCAUAGUGUGUGUGUGCUCUUUCGAUUGAAUUCUAGAUAUGCUAUAGCAUCACCAAGGAAUUGAAUGAAUUUCAGUAGUGAGUACACUUCAUUCAUAAAUGGGGUAAUCAUAACUUUCACAUACUCAACUGUGAUCAUUUUAGGAUUGACAAACUAGGGAAUAUUUGACCUCCUCACUGUAACAUUUAUCUUUCAUGUGAAUGUCAAUCAAUUGUAAUGAUGACACCCAAUUACUCAAACCAUGCCCAGAUUAGAGUUGUUGCAGCAGUAACUGUAAUGUAAUCUUAUCUAGAAGUAUCUUUUACUCAAGGCUGAACAUGGGGCUUAUGAGCAGACCUGGCUACUCAAUGCCUUAGACAGAGGAUUUUUUUUUAUAUAUAUGUUACAGCAUUGCUCAUAACUCUCGCUACCUUUGAACACAAAUCUGCAUAUGGGGUAUAUACUCAGAUCUGGUUACUCAGCACCUUGAGCCAUUGGAACAGAUUGUAUUUCAUAGAUAUCACAGUUAUUCAAACUUGCUUCCCCCCCCCCCCCAAACUUGGGAUCUUUUCUAUUCUUUUGGCUUUACUCUAACAGUCUCAUACAAUUCAACCAAAGUCUAAGUGUCGGGAUAGAAUUUCACUUUCAUCUAUAACUAUCUCUACUUGGCAUAUAAAUAUUGAAUAGCACUCAAUUUAUCUUCAUUAGAUUUUUAAAUCCAUACACAAAUAUUAGAUAAUAGAGCUCCACACCACACAAACAUAAACACAUGCAUACAAAAUAUAAACAUAUGCAUUCGGGAACACAACCCCCCCAAACUUGAGAGGUGAUGUGUCCUCACAAGCAAACAGAACAAAGGCACACAAACGGACAAGGAUAUGAAAAACCUUAGAAAAUACCACACAAAUUGACAAACAGAAGGUAGAUUUUUUUUUUUGUAAUGAAAACUAGUAAGGAAAGAAAACUCCCCUGGGGUGGGGACUGCAUCACAUGAUGGGAUGCUAUCAGCGCUUCUUGAAUGCACUGCACAACUUAUCCUUUGGUGAAGCGUGGGGGGAAGUAACUGGCAAUGUCUUUGUCUUUUUCUUCACGGGACUGAUGAUAGGAGUUGAGGCUGGGGUUGCUGGAGCAGUGCCUUUCGACGUACUGCCUUUUCUUUCGCUGGAUUGCCGCGGACUGGUGCGAAUAGGCUGGCUAGGAGUUUGUUGUAGCAGUAACAAAUUGAAGCUAAUGUUCCUGAGAGUAAAAUGAGAAAAAGAGGGUAAGAAUUAGGAGAGGUGUACUUGCGAAGGAGAUGGGUAAUAGUAUCGUAGAGCACUAAGCACAGUGACUCAUUUUUAUAGUGGACUUUAAUUGAAGAUAAAUAAGGUAACUAGAGAUAAUUGAGGGAAUAAAAUAUUUUGAAUUAAAUGUGCAAAUCCCAAAAUCAUCGGCCAAUGAAAUUAAAGCUUUAAUUUCGGAGAUUUGUUUCCGCAAUUUCUAUCUAUAUCCAUGCGUCCAUCUGUCACGAUUUUGUCUCCAACGGUAAUUGAAAGGCUCCAGCUUUUAAUUUACUGUAACGGUAAAAUUAGUUGCUGCAGCACCCAUUCGCUUACUUUAACAACGAAUACAUGCUCCAUACUAAAGCUUCUGACACGUGGUUCACCUCUGCAUUCUAUCACCAUGCACUCUCACUUGUCAACAUGGAAUUCAAUUGUCACACAUACUUCUCACAAACUAGAAUUAAUUCUAAAAUUAUUAAAAGAAAUAAAUAGAUUAAAUUAAAGCGAAAAUAAAGAAUGCAAUAAUGUAAAAGGAUAAAAGUAAAUGGCUAACAUAGAAAAAUAGAAUUAAAUAAGAUGGUAAAGAGGAAGAGCUGUCUACAAAACCAAAGAAUAUCAAAGUUGGUUUGAAGUGGCUGUCUCCCCAAUGGGUUGCCUCUCAUGAAGCGCUUAAUUUAAGGUCCUUCAACCUGACCUUCUUUCCUUGGUCAAUAGUUGAGUUCUUCAAGGAGUAACACCUCAUUUGAACAAUCUGCUACUGGAUGUAUGUAGUGCUUAAUCUUGUGGCCAUUAACCUUGAAUUCCUGACCUGUUUGUUCAUCUAGAAGAUCAACAGCUCCAUAAGGAUAAAAUUUGAGUAGCUUAAAUGGGCCAGACCAUCGUGACUUGAGCUUUCCCAGAAAUAAUCGUAGUCUUGUAUUGUGGAGCAACACUGAUUGACCAGGGUUGAAUUUCUUGUACUGAAUAUGCUUGUCGUGCCAUUUUUUUGUCCUCUCUUUAUAGAUUCUUGCAUUUUCAUAUGAAAAUAGCCGUAAUUCAUCAAGCUCACAAAGUUGAAGCUUCCUUUGCUCUGCUGCAGCAUGAAUAUCCCAAUUUAAUUUCUUCAGUGCCCAGUACGCUUUAUGUUCUAACUCUAGUGGCAAAUGACAAGCCUUGCCAUAAACAAUUCGGUAAGGGGACAUGUUGAGUGGAGUUUUAUAUGCUGUUCUGUAAGCCCAUAAAGAGUCAUGUAAGUGUAAAGACCAAUCCUUCCUUGUUGGGAUUACCACUUUUUCUAAGAUCUUUUUAAUUUCUCUGUUGGACACUUCAGCCUAACCAUUGGAUUGUGGGUGAUAUGUUGUAGUUAUCUUGUGUCUGACUCCAUAUUUUACCAUUGCUACAGCAAAGACUUUGUUGCAAAAAUGUGUACCCUCGUCACUAAUAAUUGCUCUAGGAGUGCCAAAUCUGGAAAAAAUAUUUUUCUGAAGAAAAGCCACCACUGUCUUAGCAUCAUUGGUAGGUAAUGCUACAGCUUCUACCCACUUGGAGACAUAAUCCACAGCAACAAGGAUAUAUAAGUUCCCAAAGGAUGGGGGAAAAGGUCCCAUGAAAUCUAUUCCUCAGACAUACAAUACUUCCACUUCCAGGAUGUUGGUCAAUGGCAUUUCAUGUCUUCCAAUUAUGUUCCUUGUCCUUUGACACCUGUCACAACAUUUAACAAAUUCAUAAGCAUCUCUGAAAAUAGUUGGCCAGAAAUAACCUGAUUGUAAUACUUUGGCAGCUGUUCUGUGACCACCAAAAUGUCCUCCAUAUGCUGCAGCAUGACAUGACUCCAGUAUGUGGGGGAUCUCUCCUUCUACAGCACAUCUUCGUAUUACUUGAUCUAGGCACAACUUAUAUAGAUGUGGGUCAUCCCAUUGGUAACUUCUAACAUCAUGAAGAAAUUUCUUUUUCUCUUGAAACUUCAACUCAGGUGGUAAUAACCCACUUACUAAAUAGUUAGCAAAGUCUGCAUACCAUGGAGAUUCUUGCUGCUGCAGCAUCUGUGCUUGUUGUACCACCAACAGCUGUUCAUCAGGAAAAGUUUCAAUGAUGUCUUUCCUUGUCAAUGUGCUUGUGUCUGCUUCCAGCCUUGACAGGUGGUCUGCUACUUGAUUCUCAGUCCCCUUUCUAUCUUUAAUUUUCAGAUCAAAUUCUUGUAGCAAUAAGAUCCAUCUGAUUAAUCUUGGCUUGGCAUCUUUCUUUGAAAUCAAGUAUUUGAUGGCUGCAUAGUCCGUAUAUACAGUCACUCUAGUACCCACCAAGUAGGCUUUGAAUUUGUCAAAAGUAAAUAAUACUACUAGAAAUUCUUUCUCUGUAGUGGUGUAAUUGAUUUAAGUUUGAGUAAGAGUUUUACUUGCAUAGUAUAUGGAGUGAAAAACUUUAUCCCUUUUUUGUCCUAGUACUGCUCCCACAGAAUGGUCACUGGCAUCACACAUCAAUUCAAAUGGUAAAGUCUAGUCUGGAGAUAUGAUGACUGGAGUAGUGAUCAGAGCUUUCUUUAAUUCUCCAAAUGCUUGAUGACACUCUUUGUCAAAGUGAAAGGGCUUAUCGUGUUCCAGCAAUGAGCACAAUGGUUUAGCCACCCUGGAAAAAUCCUUAAUGAAUCUUCUGUAAAAUCCAGCAUGUCCCAAAAAACUCCUGAUACCCUUUACUGAAGUUGGAGGUGGCAAUUUAUCUAUUACUUCUAUCUUGGUUUUGUCUACCUCAAUGCCAUUCUUGGAUAUCUUAUGACCCAACACUAUUCCUUCUUGCACCAUGAAAUUGUAUUUUUCCCAAUUGAGUACUAAGUUGAUCAUCUCACAUCUUUUAAGAACUUCUUCCAGGUUGUGUAAGCCAUCAUUGUAUGUUUUUCCAAAGACUGAGAAGUUAUCCAUGAAAACUUCUAAAGUCUGCUCUACCAUAUCAGAAAAUAUAGACAUCAUGCAUCUCUGAAAGGUUGCUGGAGCAUUACAUAACCCAAAGAGCAUUCUUCUGAAGGCAAAUGUUUCAUAGGGACAAGUAAAUAUAGUUUUCUCCUGAUCCUCAGGAGCUAUAGCAAUCUGGUUGUAGCCUGAAUACCCAUCUAAGAAACAAUAGUAUUGUUUUCCAGCAAGUCUGUCUAACAUCUGGUCUAUGAAUGUCAGUGGAAAAUGGUCUUUCCUUGUGGCUUUGUUUAGCUUCCUGUAAUCCAUACAUACUCUACAGCCAGUCACUGUCCUUGUAGGAAUAAGUUCAUUCUUCUCAUUAACUAUUACUGUUAUGCCUCCCUUCUUCGGAACACAUUGAACUAGGCUCACCCAUGAACUGUCUGAUAUUGGGUAUAUGAUUCCAGCAUCCAACCAUUUGAUGAUUUCCUUCUUCACCACUUUUUUCAUAAUAGGAUUCAACCUUCUCUGGUGCUCAACCGAAUUACUGGAGCAAUCUUCUAACAAGAUUUUAUGCAUGCAUAUUGAUGGGUUUAUCCCCUUUAUGUCAGCUAUAGUCCAUCCAAUUGCUUUUCUCUACUUUCUAAGUAAAUCUACUAGACUAUGUUCUUGACCUGCAUCCAAAGUAGAAGAGAUAAUUACAGGGAGUGUGUUAUUUUUACCAAGAUAAGCAUACUUCAAAUGUGAAGGUAACAGUUUUAAUUCAAGACUAUGAGGUGAUUCAAUAGAUGGUAAAGUUGUUUUUACUUCCCUUUCUGAAAGAUUCAGAUGUUCAAUAAACCUGUUGUGCCUAUCAUAUUGCUUUGCUUCCAUCCAAUUUGACUGAAUUGCUGCAACAUCUUCCUCUUCUACAUCAUCAAAGGUAGUGACUUUGUCAACUGAAUUACUGCAGCAUUUGUUCAUUCUGUCUGCUACAACAAAAUCCACUACACUCAGGAAAUUGCAGUCUUCUACUUCAUCAGGGUUUCUCAUAGCCUCUAGUACAUUAAAUGUAACUUGCUGAUCAUUUACUCUCAUGGUGAGCUCUCCUUUUUGCACAUCUAUCAGGGUCUUUCCAGUUGCUAGAAAAGGUCUUCCAAGUAUAAUGGGUACUUCUUUAUCAGCUUCAAAAUCCGGUGCAAUGAAAUCCACUAGAAAGAUGAAUUUGUCAACCUUCACCAGUACAUCUUCUAUUUUUCCUUCAGGGUAUGUGAUAACUCUAGAAAAUGAGAGUUAUUACAUCAAUUUUAGACUUGAAUCAAGAUCAUUUAGAGAACAAAUAAGGUGUUUUUAUUACAUUUUGAUUACAUUUUGCUUAAACAUUCAUUUUAGUUGAGUAUUAAUAAGUUUUGCUUGAAUCAUAGUAAUUUGUGCUAAAAACAUAUGCAUAAUUGUAGGUUCUUGGAAAGUCUUAAUUCAUGAGGGGAUGUUGAGACAUUAGAUGAGCAAGAGGAGGAAAGAAGACGGCCAUAAAAGAAGAAAAGCACAAUCGGGAGCAAUGCAGUGAUGUUACGGAUGUUAGAGCAACUCGUGCUGUAGCAAUCUGGAAGUAAAUGCGGGAGAAAACUUAGGUGCGGGUCAGCACAUGUUUCCUAAUUUAACGCAUGCACGCUCAUGGGCUUGUGUUUAAUCUAAUUUGCAAUAUAAAAGGGAGGCAAUACCACAAAAAAAGGUUGCAAGGGAAUUAUCAUUAGAAUAAUUACAAAGGAACGAAGAAGAAGAAUAUCAUAAUUUAAGAGUGUUGUUUCGGCAACAUUGGGGAAUCGUGCAGAAUUACUUGGCUUUGAUUUUCACUGUGUCCAACUUAUAUUUAUCUUCUUCCUUUAAUUGUUUUGAUGUAUUCCGAGAUCAAUAUAUUUAUGUUUAUUUUUCUCAUCCAGAUUAUGAACUAAAUUUACUUGUAGUUGAGUGGCAAAUAAUCCAAUAGGUUCUUGACUGUUCUUAUAUGUUGUUAUGGUAUUGCUGUAGCAUUUUACUCUAAUAGUUUUUAUGAAUAUAACUGUUAUUUCGGUUGACCACUCAUUUAAUAGUUUUAGUUAAGAUAGAGCAGCAAAAGGGCAUGUCUUAGUGAAUAUUAUUAGAGUAUUACUUGUUCUUAAGUCAAGUUUCCUGGAUUAGGUUAUCUUGAAUCCCAUAAAGGCAAUACUUGAAGUUAAGAUUUGUGACACUCUAGACAUAGGUGUUCACCUUGUAGAGUAGAGAGAUUAAAGGAUAUAAUGUCGUACCAUAAAUAUAUAAGCAACUGGUCAUUAUUAGUAGAUUUAAAGGUAUGAGACUUCCAACAUGCGAUAGCUGAGGAUGCAGAUUUAUUCUGCCCAAUGCUGCAGCACUUAUUGUAACAACUGGUGCUAAUUUGGUAAACAACAGUCACCCCAUUAGGAGAGUUUGAUCAUUCAACUACUAUAUUCUCAAUUGAAUCUUAGACAUAUUUAACUUAGUUUAUUUCAUUACAGUAUUGUUUUAUUUCCAUCUUUCGCAAUUAUUAAUUACGAUAGAAUUAUUUGACAAUUGUUUGUUUUGGUCUUUAGUUGAUUUGCACUAUUGUGAUUGUUUUAGCAUUUUGAGUAACAUCAAUCCCUGUGGAGACGAUUUUGAAUACUCAUCACUUUAUUACUUGUUGUGUAUACUUUUACAUUGGCAUUGAUAAUAAUUGAUUAUAAAAAUCAAUCAACAGUAUGCAUGAGAUCUGUCAGCUAAUUGCAGAGUGACUGUUGUUGGUCUGCAUUCCCCUACUCCCAACUGCUUAAAUACAAACAAUGGCAUCAGAUUAAUGCUAGCUCCCAAGUCACAAAGUGCUCUGCCAGCAUACCUAGUUCCUAUAGAGCAGGGUAUUGUAAAAUUCCCUGGAUCUUUCACUUUUGUUGGAAUUUUACUCUGGAGCAUAUGACUGCUCUCCUGUGUUAAAACAACAGUUUCAAACUUUCCCAGCCUUCUUUUCCUUACUAAGAUAUCUUUUAGAAACUUCACAUAAUUUGGCAUUUGCUCCAAAGCUUCCACAAAAGGUAUAUUUAUGUGCAAUUGCUUCAGCACUUCCAGAAACUUACUGAAAUGCUUGUCUUGUUUUUGCUUCUGGAACCUUUGUGGGAAAGGUGGUGGAUGUCUAAACUGCUGGGUGGCUUCAGAAGAUAUCACACUUUGUUUGUUUGGUUUGGUGCAGGUUGUGACUACUGGUGUUGCAACUUCUUUUUCAGCAUGUUCUGGUUGAAUUUCCUCUGCAGUUGCUGUAGCUUGGUCCAUGUAAUCAGUGCCUUGAUGGGGAGUUUGUUGUAGCAUGCUUCAAUUUUGGAGUGGUUUUUGUGCUGAAUUGCCUUCCAUUCCAUUUUUAGUCACAUCAACUGAGAUAUCAACAUUCUUUACAGAUCUCAAAUUAAUUACUUUACAGUGUUCUUUGCUCUCUCUCCUAGGGUCUUCUGUGUUGCUAGGUAAGCUUCCUUGAGUUCUGCUGCUCAUUGCUGUGGCUAGUUGUCCAAUUUGGUUUUCCAGGUUUCUCAAGGAUACAACUUGACUCUGCACAAUUGCUUCAUUCUUUGCAAUAUACUCCUUAAUCAGUGCUUCCAGUGAAGUGAUUGGAUCCUGACUGAUAUGCUUUUGCCCUUGACUCUGCUGAUGAAAACUAGGUGGUUGUGUGUUUCUAUUUUGUCCAUUUAAUGCUGGAGCAUUUCGAUUCUGACUGCUCCAUGAGAAAUUUGGGUGUUGUUUCCAGCCAGGGUUGUAAGUUUUCGAAUAUGGGUUGUUCUGAGGUUGUCGAUUGAAGUUACCCACAUAAUUUACUGAAGCUGGAUUUCCAGGACAAUUAUCAAAAUCAUGUUCUUCACCACAAUAUACACAACAAAGUUCAGUAACUUGCUUCACUGUUGCUGGUGCAUAUAUCAUGGCCUUUACCAUGUUAGUCAAUGAAGUUACUUGUGCUGAUAAGGCUGUAAUUGCAUCUAUAUUAUGUACCCCUACUGCUCCUCUUGCUGCUGGUUGCCUGGCUGAAGGCCACUGAUAAUUAUUAUUAGCAAUUCUUUCCAGAAUUUCAUAAGCUUCAGUGUAAGAUUUGGAUAACAGGGCUCCAUUUGCUGAAGCAUCCACCAUCAACAUUGUACUUGAAUUCAACCCAUUGUAGAAAGUUUCCAAUUGAAUGCAACAAGGAAUACCAUGAUGAGGACACCUUCUGAGCAAUUCCUUGAACUUUUCCCAAGCCUCGUACAAACUCUCAUAUUCAAGUUGAUGGAAUGAAGUAAUCUCAUUUCGCAAUUUUGCAUUCUUUAUCGGUGGGAAAUAUUUCAUUAGGAAUUUAUCAGCUAAUUCAUUUCAUGUAGUGAUGGAAUCAGAUGGUAAUAAAUUUAACCAUGCUCUUGCUCGAUCUCUUAAGGAAUAAGGAAAGAGCCUCAGCCUUAAGGCAUCUUGUGCUGCUCCAGCAAUCUUGAAAGCAUCGCUUACUUCCAAGAAUAAUUUAAGAGGGAGGUGAGGAUUGUUGAGUGUUAGAAAAUGUAUAUUUAUACGGUACGGUACUAUUCACGUGUAAGGUACUGUCUACGUUACUGUUCACGAUACUGUUCACGAUACUGUUCACAUAGACGGAUCGAUGAUGUGGCAUUGACCGAUGAUGUGGCAUUGACUAAUGAGGUGUCACGAUCCUGUUGGACUAAAAUUUUAUGUACUGUUGAUGGUGACGUGGCAACAUAUCAGUGGACCAAAAAUCUUGCGUACGGUACAUGCAUCACACAUGAUUAUUUUCAACCAAACCGCGUCACUGUUCAACCCGGGUCAAACUGUGUUACUGUUCAUCCGCGUGGUCAAACCGCGUACUGUUGACUGAUGACGUGGCGCAAUUCUGAGCAUCCAAACUGUUUUUAAUCCGAUGGCCACGAUUUACUUAAUGUAUCUAUAAAAAAGGGGCCUCCCCCCCUAAUUUGAUAGCUCUGAAUCCAUUUUUGGACUCCAUUUUCUGUAAUUCCUUCUCCAUCUUAUAUUUUCUAUGUAUUUUAAUAAAUUCCUAUUUUACCCAUAGUUCAAUUAUGAGUAGCUAAUUUUCUUUCAAGCUUGGGUUGAAGGUGAAGUCUCAACAUGUGUCAUGGGCUUUAUUUGGUAAAUUUAUUUUCUUUUCCCCUCUAAUUUUUGUGGAUGAUUUGACUUUUCGUCGACAAAUAAUAAUAAUCUUGUCUAGAUACCGCCCUGGUUACACCGGCUCCCUAGUACAAGGUUAUUAUUAUUUGGCACGAUAAGCCCUUAGCAUCAUAUUGAUUAGAGUGUGGUUCAUGAGGUGUGGAUUCCCCCCUCAUGAUUUAAUUGGUAUUCAUAAGGAAUAUUUAGCUCAUGAUGCAUGUUGAUACGGAUCCAGAUACCCAAGUACGUCAAUUUAAUAGAUUUUUACUUCAAUUUAUUCUUGCCAUUUCAAUUCCAAUUUUAGGAUAAUCCAAAUCACUUUCACCAAAAAUCCAACUACCCUCAUACAAAAUAAAUUCUACACGCAAUUAAAAUUCAACUCCUCGUGAGAUCGACACUCGUCACCAUUGAUCUAUACUACAAUAGAUUCGUGCACUUGCGAGUUCAAUAAAAUUUGCACAACAAGUUUUUGGCGCCGUUGCCGGGGAGGUAAGUUAUUUUAAUUUGUAAAAUUAAUUUUUGUCAAUAAUUUCUUUUAUUUGUUUUCUUGUAUUUUUUUUCUUAUUAAAAAAAAAGAAAAAAAAAAGUGAAUCUACAUUUAAAGGUUAGUAUUUCUUUUCUUUUUCUCUUCUUUAAAAUUCUGUAAUUUAAUUUUUAAUUUAUUUUUCUUUGUACAUUUUUUUUUGGUUUAUCUUAUUAAUAUUUUUUAGUUAAUUUAUUUCACGUAUUUUUUUAGUGUGUUUUUAUAGAAAGAUUGUAACAGCGUGAUAAGGUUAGUACCGUAAUUUCUCAUUUUUCUUUAUUUUUAUUCGUUUUGUUCCCAUUUAUUUUUUUGCUCUUUGCAUGUAUGGUCGUAGGUUAUUAUUUCCUAAUCUUGAGCCUAUAGACCUUGAACUAGAAAAAACACUUCGCACACACAAGUACGUUAAAAAUAAAUUUAGAAUGGAUUUACAAGCACUACAGGAGAGGCCAUUUAAGGACUACUUCAGUCCUUUAGCUAAUUUGAGCACAUCAUGCAUAAGAUACCCAAAUGUAGCUGCUAGGAGUUUUGAACUAAAACCUAGUGUACUAAAUUGUCUCCCAACAUUCUAUGGCCUAGAAAAUAAGGACCCAUAGAAUCAUUUGAAUGAUUUUCAUGCUAUUUGUCAAACAUUUAAAUAUGAAAAUUUUUCAGAUGAUGAUGUAAAACUUAGACUAUUCCCAUUUUCUUUAAAGGAUAGAGCUCGUUCAUGGCUUAAUACAUUGCCUGCCAAUAGCAUUUCAUCAUGGGAACAAAUGGUAACAAAAUUUUUGAAUAAAUAUUUUCCUGUGCAUAAAACCAAUGCUAUUCGCAGGGAAAUUUCAGAGUUUACCCAGAGAGAAGACGAGCAGUUUUCGAAACAUGAGAGCGAUUCAAUGGGCUACUCUUGAAGUGUCCACAUCAUGAAUAUGAGAAAUGGCAUCAAUGUCAAUACUUUUUUGAGGGAUUAUUGCCGAAUGUGCAAGAAUGACUAAUGGCAACAAGUGGAGGAGAGCUAAUGUCAAAAAGUGCAUCAGAGAUUUGGAAAUUCUUCCAGCGACAAGCGGAUAAUUCCCAACAGCGGAGUCGGUCACUCAGGAAUACUAAAAGAAUCAAAGGAGUGAACGAGGUUCACAUUGGCGAGUCAAGUUCAGAAAUUAAAGAAGUCAAAGCUAUAAUUGAAGGUCUCUCUCAACAAAUAGCAUCGUUAUCGACUGCUAAAUCAACAGAACCACAUGACCAUGACUCAUACUCAGAUCAAGCCAAUGCCAUAGGUGUAAUGAGAAAACCAUCUAAUUACAACCCAUACUCCAACACAUAUAACCCUGGAUGGAGAGACCACCCCAAUUUUCAUGGUCUCAAGGAUUCCAACAGAAUGGACCAGCAGCUCCAGCUCCACCAAUGCAACCAAUUCCUCAAAAUCCUCAAGCCUCACAGCCCCCAUUUAGACCAUUCAAUCAGAACCAGAACUACUCUCAACUCAGACCAUGGGAGGAUUCAUUCCAGAAUCUCAAGAAUGUUACUCACUCUAUGAUUGAGCAACUAAAUCGCACCAUUGAUGGACUACGAAAUGAGUUGAGAGCAAGCUUCAACUCACAAUCCCAAUCAGUUUCAAGCCUCGAGAAGAUGAUGGGACAGCUUGCUUCUUCAGUUCAGACCUUGACAAUGACUGUUGAGAAAGGCAAGUUUCCAAGUCAAGCAGUGUCUAACCCUAAAGGCGUGCAUGAAGUAAGUACCAGUUCACCACAGCAGCAUAGAGAGGUCAAAGCUGUCAUGACCUUGCAAAAAGGAAAAGAAAUCGACAACAAAGUGGAGAUGCCGGUAACAAAAGAAAAUCAAAUUGUACCUGUGAAUGCUGAGGACUCACCACCGGAAGAGAAAGAAGAAACCAACCCACAAGAAUAUGUUCCCAAAGCUCCAUUUCCUCAAAGGUUAGCUAAAGGAAAGAAGAGAAAAUCCACAGGUGAGAUUCUUGAAAUCUUUAAACAGGUAAGUGUUAACAUCCCUUUGCUUGACGUUAUUAAACAAGUUUCAUCUUAUGCCAAGUUUUUUAAAGACCUUUGUACUAAAAAGAGAAACAUUCAUGUUCAAAAAAAGGCAUUUUUAACAGAAAACGUUAGUUCUAUCCUUCAACACAAGAUUCCGCUAAAAUGCAAAGACCCAAGCUCCCCCACUAUCUCAUGUAGCAUAGGGAACCACACAAUUGAGAAUGCUUUAUUGGAUUUAGGAGCUAGUGUAAAUCUGUUGCCUUACUCAGUAUUUUUGAAACUUGGACUUGGAGAAUUACACCCAACUCCAGUGGUGUUACAGCUUGCAGAUCGGUCCACAAAAAUACCUCGUGGUAUUGUGGAGGACGUGCUUAUCCAGGUAGACAAGUUUUAUUUUCCUGCUGAUUUCAUUGUAAUUGACACUCAACCAAUCCAGGAUUCAAGGAAGCACAUCCCCAUUAUUCUAGGCCGACCUUUUUUGGCAACUGCGGAUGCUCACAUUCAAUGCAGGACUAGAAAUAUGCAGUUGUCCUUCGGCAACAUGACUAUGGAGCUGAACAUCUUCAACAUUGCCAAACAACCUCACAAUGCAGAUGAUGGAAUUGUUGAUGUGGAUUUAAUAGAAACAAUAGUUGAUAAUACUUUUCUUUUAAACCUUAGUGAUGAUCCUUUACAAACAUGUUUAACUCACUUUGGUUUGGAUUUUGAUAUUGACAGAUCGGUCGAUGAGGUCAAUGCCCUACUUGACUCAGCACCAUCCAUGGACACUAAUAAAUGGAAGUCAAGAGUUGAACAACUAGCACCAUCAGAAAAGAAACUCAUCCCAUCAUCAGAAUCACCACCGAAACUCGAGCUCAAACCAUUACCCAACACUUUUGAAUAUGCAUUUUUGGGAGAAGAAAGUACUCUACCGGUAAUCAUCUCAUCAUCCCUAAAUGACGAACAAAAAGGUAAGUUGUUGGAUGUUUUAAAAGAGCACAAAGGAGCAUUAGGAUGGACCAUAGCAGACAUUAAAGGUAUAAACCCAGUAGACUGCAUGCAUUACAUUCAUCUUGAUGAAAAUGCUAAACCUACUAGGGAAAUGCAACGUCGGUUAAAUCCUAACAUGAAAGAAGUUAUUAGAACUGAAGUCCUUAAACUAUUAGACGCAGGUAUCAUUUACCCAAUUUCUGAUAGUUCAUGGGUCAGUCAUGUACAAGUUGUCCCUAAAAAGUCAAGAGUCACAGUAGUUACCAAUGCUGAUAAUGAAUUGAUACCAACUAGAGUAACUACAGGAUGGCGUGUAUGCAUUGAUUAUAGAAAAUUGAAUUCUGUCACACGUAAAGACCAUUUUCCUUUACCAUUUAUUGAUCAAAUGCUUGAUAGAUUAGCAGGCCAUGAAUUUUAUUGCUUUCUAGAUGGUUACUCAGGAUAUAAUCAGAUUCCCAUAGCACCAAAAGAUCAAGAGAAGACCACUUUCACUUGCCCUUUUGGCACUUUUGCAUAUAGGAGGAUACCAUUUGGAUUAUGUAAUGCACCUGCUACAUUUCAACGAUGCAUGUUAAGCAUUUUUUCUGAUAUGGUUGAACGAUUCCUUGAAGUCUUUAUGGAUGAUUUUUCUAUCUUUGGUGACUCGUUUGAUCAAUGUUUACAUCAUCUAACACUAGUUCUGCAGAGAUGUAUCGAGAAAAACUUGGUUUUAAAUUGGGAGAAGUGCCAUUUUAUGGUAAAACAAGGUAUUGUUCUCGGUCACAUCAUUUCAAGCAAAGGUAUUGAGGUUGACAAAGCUAAGGUGGAUCUCAUUUCUAAACUUCCUCCACCCAAAACAGUCAGAGAAGUAAGAUCUUUCCUUGGGCAUGCUGGUUUCUAUAGACGUUUCAUUAAAGAUUUUAGCAAAGUUUCUAGACCCUUAUGCAAUCUACUUGCUAAGGAUGCACCUUUUAUCUUUAAUGAUUCAUAUCUUGUGGCGUUUGAAAAAUUACAACAGUUGUUGACAUCAUCACCCAUCAUUCAAGCCCCAAACUGGAGCUUACCAUUUGAACUCAUGUGUGAUGCAUCUGAUUAUGCAGUAGGAGCAGUAUUAGGACAAAGAGUUGAUCGAAUUCCCCAUGUUAUUUACUAUGCUAGUAUGACAUUGAAUGAUGCACAGUUGAACUAUUCAACUACUGAAAAAGAAAUGCUAGCAGUAGUGUUUGCAUUGGAAAAAUUUCGAUCUUAUUUCAUUGGUUGUAAAAUAAUUGUGUUCACAGAUCAUGCUGCUCUUAAAUAUCUUCUCACAAAGAAAGAUGCAAAAGCUAGACUAAUUCGUUGAGUGUUACUGUUGCAGGAGUUCGACUUGGAAUUUAAAGAUAAGAAAUGCACAGAGAAUGUUGUGGCGGACCAUCUCUCUCGCCUCCAUUUUGAUACAAUUAUGGAACCAUUACCAUUGAAUGAGUCAUUUCCAGAUGAACAAUUAAUGAAUGUGGAAGUAUUACCAUGGUAUGCUGAUAUAGUUAAUUAUCUUGUUACAGGUAAACUUCCAUAGCAUUGGACUAAGCAAGACAAGGCUAAAUUCUUUGCAGAAAUAAAGAAUUUCUUUUAGGAUGACCCGUACUUGUUCAAGUAUUGUGCAGAUCAAAUUGUUAGACGAUGUGUCCCAGAAAGUGAAAUUCAAAAUAUCCUUUCAUUCUGCCAUGAACAAGCUUGUGGAGGUCAUUUCAGCGCUAAGAAAACAGCAACUAAAGUUUUACAAUGUGGUUUCUAUUGGCCAACUAUAUUUCGAGAUGCUUACGCUUUCUAUUCUUCAUGUGAUAGGUGUCAACGAAUGGAGAGCAUUACACGAAGGAACAUGAUGCCAUUAAAUCCAAUUUUAGUGGUUGAAAUUUUUUACGUAUGGGUAUCGACUUCAUGGGACCAUUUCCCCCAUCUUUUGGCCAUCAAUACAUAUUGGUUGCUAUUAACUACGUAUCAAAAUGGGUAGAAGCAAUUCCAUGCAGAACCAAUGAUCACAAGGUGGUAAUAGGAUUUUUGAAAAGCAACAUUGUUUCACGCUUUGGAUUCGCUCGAGCUAUAAUCAGUGAUGGUGGUGCCCACUUUUGUAAUAAAGCAUUCAAGGCUCUUUUGACAAAGUAUUCAAUCACUCACAAAGUGGCGACCCCAUAUCAUCCGUAAACCAGUGGCCAAGUUGAGAUCUCCAAUCGAGAAAUAAAGCACAUAUUAGAAAAGACGGUGAGGCCGGACAGAAAAGAUUGGUCAUUAAGACUUGAUGAUGCAUUAUGGGCAUAUAGAACGUCUUUCAAGACCCCGAUUGGGAUGUCACCCUAUAGGCUAGUGUAUAGAAAAGCUUGCCACCUACCUGUGGAACUCAAGUAUCGUGCAUAUUGGGCCAUCAAGAAAUUCAAUUUUGACAUGCAGCAAGCCAGCUCAGAAAGAAGAUUACAGCUGGCAAAACUUGAAGAAAUUCGCAAUGAUGCAUACGAAAAUGCCAAGAUUUACAAGCAACGAAUGAAAGUCUUCCAUGACAAGCAAAUUAUGAGAAAAUCUUUCACUCCAGGUCAGAAAGUGCUUUUGUUUAAUUCUCGCUUGCACCUAUUCCCAGGUAAGUUACGCUCUCGAUGGUCUGGUCCCUUUAUUGUUCAUAUUGUUUUUCCACAUGGGGAAUUGAAAUUAAGGACCCAAAGAACGGUGUCACAUUUAAAGUUAAUGGUCAAAAUUAAACCAUAUCUAGAGUACCAACCACAUGGAGAAGACACCAAAAUAAAUUUGAGUGACCCACCAGAUUUGAAUUAGAUUUUUUUUCUUUUCGGUGGUUUGAUUUUUCUUUCUUUCUUUUUAUUAUUCUUUUGCUAAUUGAAAUUAUUUUUGCAUAAGUGUGUUUGUUUUACCAUUAAGUUUUCUCUUAUCAUUGUUAAUCAAGAGUACCUUACUUAGACCGUUCCUCCUGAACAUUCUUAAACCACUUCAACGUGUUAAAACUCAUCUCAAAAGGCAGAUUCAAUUUUGUAAAACACAUCGUAUUUAGGCUCUGCAACCACCAGAGUUAGUAUCCUAUGUAGAGGGUUUAGAAAGCCAACUCAGAGACAUUGAGAGAAGUGUUUACGACAUCCAAUUGGAGCUUGAGGUAAAUUCAAUAAGAGGACGAUUUUAAUUUUCUUUGUGUGUUUUAAUUUAUUUUUCUGUUUGUGUGCUUUAGUUUGUUACCUCGGUGAAGUGGCAGAUAACGGUACUCCAUGACAAUCAAGUCGGUUACUUCAAUUUUCCCAUAAUAACUGAUAUUCUGAGGUGAAGGUAUAGACAGAAAUGAGAUUCUAGCGAAGCUUCACAAGUGAUUCCCUUCACUUCCUCAGAAUGCCCUCCUUAAUCUAUAAAGCCCGAUCCGAACGCAUGCGAUUGCUCAUGAGGAAUAACAUACCUGUGGACAUCCGUUGGUUAAUCGAGGCUAAAGUACGAUUGGCAGGUGAGUUACCUCCAAAAUUUAUUGCAUACAUGCCUGGUUGUGGUAAAGGAAAUUAUGCAAGAAAACGACGAGCUCGAAGAAUUUCUGUUGCUUGUCAUAAGUGUGCCAGAAUGAGUUGCGAUAAAAACCCAUGUUCUUUAGGAAUGGUGUCUGAUAAUAGGGAAGAUAAGAUUCAAUUCAUUAGGGAUGGCUUGAAUAAGGAGUCAUUGGAUGAUAUUUUUUUGUCUCUUGAAACGCAUCCCAGUGGAUAUGUGCAAGGAGCGAUUCUCCAAUUAUGGCCAUACACGAUAUAGUCUCGGGAAUCUGGCUGUAAACGACCCUGUUUGUCAGUUUAUAAAAAAACUGGAUGGGAAGCCCAUCCUCGACCCAUAGAGGGCGUUCAAGCCGUUUCUGGACGUAAAACCAGAGGAAGAUGUGAGCCACAGUCGCAACUACCUGUAAAUAUCUUUUUACUUCACUGUUAUUUUCUUUCACUGUUGUUUUAUCUUUUCCAUUAUUGUCUUUAAUAAUUUUAUCAUUGUUUCUUUUUCUUUUUACUGUUUCCUUUUUGACUCGCGAGCCAUGUGCUUUACGUGUUAUUUAACACUGACAUGCCACCUCAUACACAGUUGUGACCCACUGUCACCAAGAUUCUUAAAUAUGACUUUUUGUUAAGCACUCACAAAUUGUUUUUGAGAAAUAUUCCAAUGGCAGCUACUCCCAAUAGACAAUUCAAGAACGUUUGUGUGCUUUCUAGAUUUACCUAUGGCAAACAUAAAGAGUUCGUUGAUGCAGCCAUAGAUCUUGGUCGAAGCAUAGCAGAGAGAAAAUUACACUUGGUGUAUGGAGGAGGUAACCGAGGGUUAUCAAAAUUGGUCUCAGAAGCUGCUUUUGUCAGAGGAAGCCAAGUGUUAGGCAUCAUCCCAAGAGCUCUAAAACCUUUAGGCAGUUUGUCUGACUCAUCGACUGGAGAAGAGUUAGUCGUCUCAGGUAUGCAAAAAAGAAUAACUGAAAUGCUUAAUCAUGCUGAUGCUUUUGUUUUCCUUCCAGGAGAUCUUACAACAUUAGAGGCACUUAUCACACUAGCAUCUUGGGCCCAUCUGCACAUUCACCAGAAACCCAUCGGUUUGUUAAAUGUCAAUAACUUUUAUGAUGGCUUCAUCGCAUUUCUUAACCAUGCAAUAAAAAACUAUUUCGUUCCUUCCAAUGCGAAAAAGCUUUUUAUUUGUGCUCACACUGCUAAUGAGCUACUUGAUAUGUUACAAGCUUAUAGACCGGAGCCAGACCCUUGGACCUUUGUGUUGGAGCGUCCAAAUAAUGAUGGUAACAGUAGCCGCAGUAAGAAGUACAAAUUAGAUUUAACUCUCCGCCUGUAAAUAUUUUCUUCUGUGUUACACCACUCAGGUGAUGUCUUCUAAACUCUACUUCUUUCCUUUAAACAUUGAGGACAAUGUUUCGUUCUAGUUGGGGGGAGGGAAUAGUCGACAAUUGUGGAAUUUUGGUUAAGUUUUUACUAAUUUUUUGUUGUAGAAACUAACUAUUGCUAACUUUUUGUGUUGAAGAUGGCUGAAUAUGGAGUGUAGUGACUCUAGAAACGCAUCUUCAUCGUUUGAAAAAAAAAUUCAAAAAAAAUUUCAGACAUUUUCUGUUACUUUAUUAAGUUUUGAUGUUCAUUUUUCUUCUUCCUUUUAAUUUCUCCUUUAUAAAUAUACAUUUUCAAAUAUUUGAGUCGAAGAUGGCUGAAUAUGGAGUGUAGUGCCUCUAGAAACGCAUCUUCUUAGUUAAAAAUAAAAAAAAAAUUUUUAUCAUUUUAAGUGUAACUUUUCUAAUUAAUUUUUCUGCAUCAUUUUCACAUUUCUGCAUGCAUAUUUUCCUUUCAUGUUUAGAAUAGGUUGGGGGGUAGAAUGUUGUUUAAAAAAAAAAUUAGUGAUUUGUUUUAACAUUGGAUGACAUGAUUAAUUUCAAGUUUUAGUAUUUGUAUUAUCUUUGGUCUUAAGUGAUGUUACGCUAUGUUUGCUACUUUACAUGUUGAUGUCGGAGACAAAUAUGAGUUGCUUGAAGGAAUGAACAUGUCAUAAAAUGAGAGUUACAAUUGGGAGCAAUGCAGUACAUCUUCUAUUUUUCCUUCAGGGUAUGUGAUAACUCUAAAAAAUGAGAGUUAUUAUAUCAAUUUUAGACUUGAAUCAAGAUCAUUUAGAGAACAAAUAAGGUGUUUUUAUUACAUUUUGAUUACAUUUUGCUUAAACAUUCAUUUUAGUUGAGUAUUAAUAAGUUUUGCUUGAAUCAUAGUAAUUUGUGCUAAAAACAUAUGCAUAAUUGUAGGUUCUUGGAAAGUCUUAAUUCAUGAGGGAAUGUUGAGAUAUUAGAUGAGCAAGAGGAGGAAAGAAGACGGCCAUAAAAGAAGAAAAGCACAAUCGGGAGCAAUGCAGUGUUGUUGCGGAUGUUAGAGCAACUCGUGCUGUAGCAAUCUGGAAGUAAAUGCGGGAGAAAACUUAGGUGCGGGUCAGCACAUGUUUCCUAAUUUAACGCGUGCACGCUCAUGGGCUUGUGUUUAACCUAAUUUGCAAUAUAAAAGGGAGGCAAUACCACAAAAAAAGGCUGCAAGGGAAUUAUCAUUAGAAUAAUUACAAAGGAACGAAGAAGAAGAAGAUCAGAAUUUAAGAGUGUUGUUUCGGCAACAUUGGGGAAUCGUGCAGAAUUACUUGGCUUUGAUUUUCACCGUGUCCAACUUAUAUUUAUCUUCUUCCUUUAAUUGUUUUGAUGUAUUCCGAGAUCAAUAUAUUUAUGUUUAUUUUUCUCAUCCAGAUUAUGAACUAAAUUUACUUGUAGUUGAGUGACAAAUAAUCCAAUGGGUUCUUGACUGUUCUUAUAUGUUGUUAUGGUAUUGUUGUAGCAUUUUACUCUAAUAGUUUUUAUUAAUAUAACUGUUAUUUCGGUUGACCACCCAUUUAAUAGUUUUAGUUAAGAUAGAGCAGCAAAAGGGCAUGUCUUAGCGAACAUUAUUAGAGUAUUACUUGUUCUUAAGUCAAGUUUCCUGGAUUAGGUUAUCUUGAAUCCCAUAAGGGCAAUACUUGAAGUUAAGAUUUGUGACACUCUAGACAUAGGUGUUCACCUUGUAGGGUAGAGAGAUUAAAGGAUAUAAUGUCGUACCAUAAAUAUAUAAGCAACUGGUCAUUAUUAGUAGAUUUAAAGGUAUGAGACUUCCAACAUGCGAUAGCUGAGGAUGCAGACUUAUUCUGCCCAAUGCUGCAGCACUUAUUGUAACAACUGGUGCUAAUUUGGUAAACAACAGUCACCCCAUUAGGAGAGUUUGAUCAUUCAACUACUAUAUUCUCAAUUGAAUCUUAGACAUAUUUAACUUAGUUUAUUUCAUUACAGUAUUGUUUUAUUUCCAUCUUUCGCAAUUAUUAAUUAUGAUAGAAUUAUUUGACAAUUGUUUGUUUUGGUCUUUAGUUGAUUUGCACUAUUGUGAUUGUUUUAGCAUUUUGAGUAACAUCAAUCCCUGUGGAGACGAUCUUGAAUACUCAUCACUUUAUUACUUGUUGUGUAUACUUGCACAUUGGCAUUGAUAAUAAUUGAUUACAAAAAUCAAUCAACAGUAUGCAUGAGAUCUGUCAGCUAAUUGCAGAGUGACUGUUGUUGGUCUGCAUUCCCCUACUCCCAACUGCUUAAAUACAAACAAUGGCAUCAGAUUAAUGCUAGCUCCCAAGUCACAAAGUGCUCUGCCAGCAUACCUAGUUCCUAUAGAGCAGGGUAUUGUAAAAUUCCCUGGAUCUUUCACUUUUGUUGGAAUUUUACUCUGGAGCAUAUGACUGCUCUCCUGUGUUAAAACAACAGUUUCAAACUCUCCCAGCCUUCUUUUCCUUACUAAGAUAUCUUUUAGAAACUUCACAUAAUUUGGCAUUUGCUCCAAAGCUUCCACAAAAGGUAUAUUUAUGUGCAAUUGCUUCAGCACUUCCAGAAAUUUACUGAAAUGCUUGUCUUGUUUUUGCUUCUGGAAACUUUGUGGGAAAGGUGGUGGAUGUCUAAACUGCUGGGUGGCUUCAGGAGAUGUCACACUUUGUUUGUUUGGUUUGGUGCAGGUUGUGACUACUGGUGUUGCAACUUCUUUUUCAGCAUGUUCUGGUUGAAUUUCCUUUGCAGUUGCUGUAGCUUGGUCCAUGUAAUCAGUGCCUUGAUGGGGAGUUUGUUGUAGCAUGCUUCAAUUUUGGAGUGGUUUUUGUGCUGAAUUGCCUUCCAUUCCAUUUUUGGUCACAUCAACUGAGAUAUCAACAUUCUUUCCAGAUCUCAAAUUAAUUACUUUACAGUGUUCUUUGCUCUCUCUCCUAGGGUCUUCUGUGUUGCUAGGUAAGCUUCCUUGAGUUCUGCUGCUCAUUGCUGUGGCUAGUUGUCCAAUUUGGUUUUCCAGGUUUCUCAAGGAUACAGCUUGACUCUGCACAAUUGCUUCAUUCUUUGCAAUAUACUUCUUAAUCAGUGCUUCCAGUGAAGUGAUUGGAUCCUGACUGAUAUGUUUUUGCCCUUGACUCUGCUGAUGAAAACUAGGUGGUUGUGUGUUUUUAUUUUGUCCAUUUAAUGCUGGAGCAUUUCGAUUCUGACUGCUCCAUGAGAAAUUUGGGUGUUGUUUCCAGCCAGGGUUGUAAGUUUUCGAAUAUGGGUUGUUCUGAGGUUGUCGAUUGAAGUUACCCACAUAAUUUACUGAAGCUGGAUUUCCAGGACAAUUAUCAAAAUCAUGUUCUUCACCACAGUAUACAUAAGAAAGUUCAGUAACUUGCUUCACUGUUGCUGGAGCAUAUGUCAUGGCCUUUACCAUGUUAGUCAAUGAAGUUCCUUGUGAUGAUAAGGCUGUAAUUGCAUCUAUGUUAUGUACCCCUACUGCUCCUCUUGCUGCUGGUUCCUGGCUGAAGGCCAAUGAUAAUUAUUAUUAGCAAUUCUUUCCAGAAUUUCAUAAGCUUCAGUGUAAGAUUUGGAUAACAGGGCUCCAUUUGCUGAAGCAUCCACCAUCAACCUUGUACUCGAAUUUAACCCAUUGUAGAAAGUUUCCAAUUAAAUGCAACAAGGAAUACCAUGAUGAUGACACCUUCCGAGCAAUUCCUUGAACUUUUCCCAAGCCUCGUACAAACUCUCAUAUUCAAGUUGAUGGAAUGAAGUAAUCUCAAUUCGAAAUUUUGCAUUCUUUAUCGGUGGGAAAUAUUUCAUUAAGAAUUUAUCAGCUAAUUCAUUCCAUGUAGUGAUGGAAUCAGAUGGUAAUGAAUUUAACCAUGCUCUUGCUCGAUCUCUUAAGGAAUAAGGAAAGAGCCUCAGCCUUAAGGCAUCUUGUGCUGCUCCAGCAAUCUUGAAAGCAUCGCUUACUUCCAAGAAUAAUUUAAGAGGGAGGUGAGGAUUGUUGAGUGUUAGAAAAUGUAUAUUUAUAAAGGAGAAAAACGUCAUUUUACACUUCAAAUUUUACUAACACCCUUACUUUUAUGUAUUUAACCUUCUUUUGAUUUAAUUCCGUGUGUUUUAUUUUAAUUAAGUAUUUUAUGUAUUUUAGGGGCAUCAUAGUCAUUUCACAAUAAACGAGAGAUCAGACGGAAAAACGGACAUCACUUUUGAACUCAAGACGGUCAAAAACCUUAGGAGGAGCAUAAAAUGAAAAAUGGCACUGUUCACAUAUACGGUACUAUUUACAUGUACGGUAUUGUCUACGUUACUGUUCACGAUACUGUUCACAUAGACGGAUCGAUGAUGUGGCAUUGACAUAUGAUGUGGCAUUGACUGAUGAGGUGUCACGAUCCUAUUGGACUAAAAUUUUAUGUAUUGUUGAUGGUGACGUGGCAACAUAUCAGUGGACCAAAAAUCUCGCUUACGGUACAUGCAUCACAUAGGAUUAUUUUCAACAAAACUGCGUCACUGUUCAACCCGGGUCAAACCGUGUUACUGUUCAUCCGCGUGGUCAAACCGCGUACUGUUGACUGAUGACGUGGCGCAAUCCUGAGCGUCCAAACUGUUUUUAAUCCGAUGGCCACAAUUUACUCAAUGUAUCUAUAAAAAAAGGGACUUCCCCCCCCCCUAAUUUGAUAGCUCUGAAUCCAUUUUUGGACUCCAUUUUCUGUAAUUCCUUCUCCAUCUUGUAUUUUCUAUGUAUUUUAAUAAAUUCUCAUUUUGCCCAUAGUUCAAUUAUGAGUAGCUAAUUUUCUUUCAAGCUUGGGUUGAAGGUGAAGUCUCAACAUGUGUCAUGGGCUUUAUUUGGUAAAUUUAUUUUCUUUUCCCCUUUAGUUUUUGUGGAUGAUUUGACUUUUCGUCGACAAAUAAUAAUAAUCUUGUCUAGAUACCGCCCUGGUUACACCGGCUCCCUAGUACAAGGUUAUUAUUAUUUAGCACGAUAAGCCCUUAGCACCGUAUUGAUUAGAGUGUUGUUCUUGAGGUGUGGAUUCCCCCCUCAUGAUUUAAUUGGUAUUAAUAAGGAAUAUUUAGCCCAUGAUGCAUGUUGAUACGAAUCCAGAUACUCAAGUACGUCAAUUUAAUAGAUUUUCACUUCAAUUUAUUCUUGCCAUUUCAAUUCCAAUUUUAGGAUAAUCCAAAUCACUUUCACCAAAAAUCCAACUACCCUCAUACAAAAUUAAUUCUACACACAAUUAAAAUUCACCUCCUCGUGGGAUCGACACUCGUCACCAUUGAUCUAUACUACAAUAGAUUCGUGCACUUGCGAGUUCAAUAAAAUUUGCACAACAAGGAUCCUCAUUUGGUAAUCCAUUGAAUUGACCAACUGUUUGCAACAUUUGAAACAUCACUAGCUUCAACUCAAAAUUUGCAGCUUCUACUUCAGGUCUGAUGAUGCCAGGGUGUACAACUUGAGGAGUUAACACAGCAUAAUCUCUUAUAGCUCUGUCUCUGUCAUCAGCCAUGUAAAUAAUAUUGUUGCCUGGUUGUCUCCCGUUAGCAUGUUCAUUCUGCUCUUCUUGAAUAUUGACUGGUUGUACGGGCCCGUGAGGAUUCAAAUUUCCUGCAUCCUGCAAAUUAUUCAUGCUUGAAGCAAUUUCUGAAUUCCUUUGUUCUCUUCGCAAUCUCCUAACAGUCCUUUCAAUUUCAGGAUCGAAUUGGAAUACCACAGAUCUGUCUUUGCGCAUGCUUGUACCAAUCUGCCAAUAAAUAGAAUGAAUCAAAUUAAAUUUGGCGCUAUCAAGAUUUACUUCACACUUUAAAAAUAAACAAUCAAUCCCCGGCAACUGCGCCAAAAACUUGUUGGUUAAUUUUAUAAGCAAUUAAUAUCAAUGCCAAUGUGCAAGUAUACACAACAAGUAAUAAAUUUAUUAGUAUUCAAGAUCGUCUCCACAGGGAUUAAUGUUACUCAAAAUGCUAAAGCAAUCACAAUAGUGCAACUCAAUUUAAAAUCGAAAUAAACAAUUAACAAGCAAAGUCUAUCGUAAUCAAUUAUUGAAACAAGAAUUAAAUAAAACAAUACCGUAAUGAGAUAACUAGGUUAAGUGUGUCCAAGAUUCUAUUGAAAUUAUGGUAGUUGAAUUAUCAAACUCUCCUUAUGGGAUGACUGUUGUUUAUCAAGUUAGCAUCAGUUGUUAUAACAAGUGCUGCAGCACUGGGCAGAAUAAAUCUGCAUCCUCAGCUAUCGAUGUUGGACGUCUCAUACUUUUAAAUCUAUUAACAAUGACCAGUUGCUAAUAUAUCUAUGAUACGGCAUUAUAACCUUUAAUCUCUCCACCCUACAAGGUGAACACCUAUGUCUAGUGUGUCACAAAUCUUAACUUCAAGUAUUGCCCUUAUGGGAUUUAAGAUAACUUAAUCUAGGAAACUUGACUUAAGAUCAAGUAAUACUCUAAUAAUAUCCGCUAAGACAUGCCCUUUUGCUGCUCUAUCUUAACUGAAACUAUUAUAUGGGUGGUCAACCGAAAUAACAGUUAUAUUUAUAAAAACUACUAGAGUAUAAUGCUACAGCAAUGCCAUAACAACAUAUAAGAACAGUCAAGAACCCAUUGGAUUGUUUGUCACUCAACUACAAGUAAAUUUAGUUCAUAAUCUAAUUGAGAAAAGUAAACAUAAAUAUAUUGACCCCGGAAUACAUCCAAACAACUAAAGGAAGAAGAGAAAUAUAAGUUGAGCACGAUGAAAGACAAAUAAUUCUGCACGGUUCUUUAAUGUUGUCGAACAACACUCCUCAAUCUUGAUCUGCUUCUUCUUGCCUUUAUAAUUGUUUUUUAUGAUAAUUUCUUGCUGCCUUUUUUAUGUGAUGCACGCCUUCUUUUAUAUUGCAAAUUAGGGUAAAAACCAAAGCCCAUGAGCGUACAUGCGUUUUAAAUUAGGAAACAUGCAGAUCGCGAUUUUAUGGCUGACCCGCGCUUUAAGCUUUCUCCCGUAUUACUCCCAGAUUGCUGCAGCACUGGUUGCACUAACAUCCGCAACAGCACUGCAUUAUUCCCGAUUAUUCUUUUCUUUUUUUGUAGCCAUCUUCUUUCAUCCUCUUGCUCAUCUAAUGUCUCAGUAUCCCCUCAUGAAUUUAAAACCUACAAUUAUGCACCUGUUUUUAGCACAAAUUACUCUGAUUUAAACAAAACUUAUUAAGACCUAACUAAAAUGAAUGAUUAUGCAAAAGGUAACCAAAAUGUAAUAAAAACACCUUAUUUGCUCUCUAAAUGAUCUUGAUUCAAGUCUAGAAUUGAUGUAAUAAUUCUCAUUUCCUAGAGUUAUAUCAGAUAUAUACAUAAAAUAGCAUAUCAUCACUAAAAACAAAAAUAAAAUAAAAUAAAAUAAACUACGUGAUUAAAAAAAUUCAUUCUUAUUUUUAUGCAUUAAAAAUCCAAUAUAUUAUUUUCUACAGGAACAAUAUAUCGUUUCUUGACAGGCUUGCAACAUUCAAGAGUAUUAUGAUUUGCUUUCGUCGAUGCACAACGUAAGCAAACAAACAAGCGCUUCAUUGUAUCCUUGAGGUGUAUUUGCUUAACCCAUGUGCAUCACUUAAUUGGUGGGGCCAAAUAACAUCUUAAGGAAAGCGACAUUUGUAAUGUGUCUUAAAGUACACGUUAUUUUCUGUAAUUUACCUAUUAUUAUUAUUUUUAUUAUUUUCUUCCUACAUACAGAGUUGUAAACACAUUACUUUACACAACAAAGUUUUCACCAUUAUUGUUGUAUUUCUCUACAUUUUUCAUUCCCCACAAAUACAUACCACCAACAAUCUUAAGACAUUAUUUCUACAACAGUGGCACAAAGUUUCACACAUAACUUUAUUCGUUGGCAGAAAAAGUUGCAUUUCUUGUUGGCAAGCCUCAAUGUGGUCUAUGUUCUCACAACACCAAAGCCCCAAGGACGUGAGGAUGAGACAUUACCAAAAACCAGAGUGUGGCAGAAGUGGGAGCAAGAUGACUACAUGUGCAAGGGACACAUUUGCAAUGCAUGCCAUGUCUGAUACUUUGUUUGAUCAAUACCAUAACAAAUCCACAACAAAAGAAAUAUGGAACUCAUUAGAAGCUAAGUACAUGAUGGAAAAUGCCACAAGUAAGAAAUUCUUGGCUUCUAAAUUUUUUAAUUAUAAAAUGGUCGAUAAUAGACUUGUGGUUGAACAAUAUAAUGAGAUUUUGCAUAUUUUUAAUCAAUUCAACCAACACAACAUGAAAAUGGAUGAGUCUAUUAUUGUCUCUUCAAUUAUUGAUAAAUUUCCUCCCUCUUAGAAAGACUAUAAGAAAAGUCUUAAACACAUCAAAAAGGAAAUUAGUCUGGAAGGCUUAGGCCAAAGUCUUCGCAUUGAAGAGAAACUCAAGCUUAAUAGUCUUGAGGACUAGGCUGCUAUGUCCUUUAAAAUUAAUGUUGUAGAGGAAAGGAAGGAGUAUAAGCAUUUUAAUCACCUUAAGAAUAACCAAAAGAGAAAGUUUGAUUCCAAAGAGAAUAAAGUAAUAAGAAGAAAAAGAAGGGUACAUGCCACCACUGCAGAAAACCUGGCCACUUCAAAAGAGAUUGUCGACUUCUGAAGAAGCAAAAAGAAGUUUCGAACACAAAUUUUGUGGCCAUGAUAUCUAAGAUUAAUGUUCUUAAAUAUGAUAAUGCAUGGUAGAUAGAUUCUGGUGCAACCAAGCAUGUAUGCAAAGAUCAUAGCCUUUUCAAAUCCUAUAAAGCAAUGGAUGAUAGAAGUGUUCUUUACAUGGGAAAUUCCUCCACUGCAAUAGUUAAAGGAAAAGGCAAUGUGCAACUAGAGUUUACUUCUGGAAGAACCUUAACUCUUAUUUAUGUUUAUCAUGUUCCUGAAGUUAGGAAAAAUCUUGUAUCUGGUAGCCUUCUUAAUAAGUUUGGCUUCAAACUUGUUUUUGAGUCAAACAAAUUUAUAUUAUCUAAGGGUGGUACAUUUGUUGGGAAAGGAUACAAAUAUGAGGAAAUGUAUAAACUCAAUAUCAAUAAUAUGAAUGUUUCUUCUGCUUAUAUGGUUGACUCAUUAUCUUUGUGGCAUAAUUGUUUAGGACAUGUGAAUAUUAGAAGAUUGAAUGAUAUGGCUAAUUUAGAAUUAAUUCCUAAGCAUGAAAAUAGUAUGCAUAAAAAAUGUAAAGUUUAUGCACAGACUAAAAUCACAAGAACUCUUUUUCCAAAAUUGAAAAAUGAUCUUCUUUAUUGCAUUUAAUUCACAGUGAUGUAUGUGAUAUGCAUAGUAUUCCUACUAAAAGUGGCAAAAAAAUACUUUGUAACAUUUAUUGAUGAUGUUUCAAAAUAUUGCUAUGUGUAUUUAUUAUAUUCUAAAGAUUAAGUGUUAGAUAAAUUUAAAAUUUAUAAAAAUGAAGUUGAGAAUUUUUGUGACACUAAAAUUAAACGUCUUACGAGUGAUAAAGGAGGUGAAUAUGUUUUUUCUGAAUUUUGUGAAUUUGUUGGAGUUGUAUAUGAAACUAGCACUGCAUAUACUCCACAACAAAAUGAUGUAACUGAAAAGAAAAAUAGGACAUUAAUAAAAAUGGUAAAUGCUAUGUUUUUUAAUGCUGAGCUUGGUAAAAGUUUUUGGGGUGAAGCUAUUUUAACUGCAUGUCAUAUUUUAAAUAGAGUGCCUAAUAAGAAAAAAAAAUGACCCCUUAUGAAUUAUGAAAAAAGAGAAAGUUUAAUCUUUCUUAUCUAAGAGUUUGAGGUUGUCGAGUCAUUGUAAGACUACCUGAAUCUAAGAUAAAGAAAUUAGGAGAAAAGGGCAUUGAAUGCAUAUUCUUGGGGUAUGUUGAGCAUAGUAAAGUUUAUAGGUUUCUUGUAACAUAACUUAAUAGCUUUGUUGAGAUCAAUACUAUAGUGGAAUCUAGAGAUGCAAUAUUAUAUAAAAAUAGAUUUUUCGCUAUACCAAAAAGUAUUGAUUCUCAAGAAAAUGAUAAACAAAUAGCAAUUGGUCAAAAGUGUGAUGAUAAUAAUGAGCAAAAUCAAUUGAAAAGAAGUAAAAGAAUAAGCAAUAUAAAAUCCUUUAGACCAGAUUUUAUACUCUAUUUAGUUGAAGAGACAAUAGACUCACAAUCAAAACAAACCAUGAUCACACCUACUAUAUAGUCUGAUCCCCUCACCUACGAGGAGGCAAUAAAGUCUCAAGAUGCUGCUUUUUAAAAAGAGACCAUUAAUGAUAAAAUGCACUCUAUUAUGGGCAAUAAGACUUGGAAAUUAGUUGAUUUAUCAUUUGUCUCUAAUCCUAUAGGUUGUAACUGGGUUUUCAAAAAGAAUAAGAAAGUUUAUGAAACAAUUGAAGGAUUUAAAGUAAUACUAAUAGCGAAAGGCUUACACAAAAAGAAGGCCUUGAUUAUUUCGAUACUUAUGCACCUGUUGCAAGAAUUGCUACUAUUAGAGUCUUGAUUGCUUUGACUUCAAUUUAUCAUUUUGAAAUCUAUCAAAUGGAUGUAAAAAUAACUUUCUUAAAUGGAGAAUUAUAUGAAGAAAUUUAAAUAAAACAACCAAAAGGGUUUUUCAUGCUAGGACAAGAACAUAAAGUUUGUAAACUAGUCAAGUCUUUAUAUGGCCUUAAACAAGCUCCAAAGCAGUGGCAUGAAAAGUUUGACAAAGUGAUUAUUUCAAAUGGAUUUAAUAUUCAUGAGUUUGAUAAAUGUGUAUAUAGCAGAUUCAAUGGAAAUAAAGGUGUGAUUAUUUGUUUAUAUGUAGAUUGUCAUGUUAAUUUUUGGUACUGAUAAUAAGAGUAUUAAACUCACUAAAUCAUUAUUGUCAUCUAAUUUUGAUAUGAAAGACAUUGGGCUUGUGGAUUUAAUUUUGGGGAUUAAAAUUAUCAAAAAUAAGCAUGGCCUAGUAUUGACCCAAUCACAUUAUAUUGAGAAAAUUUUAAAGAAAUUUAAUUAUUAUGAUUGUAAGCCUAUGUCAACACCUUUUACUUCAAACAUAAGAUUGUACCUUAACACCAGCAGAGCAGUAUCCCAAUUAGAAUAUAUGUGUGUUAUUGGGUGUCUUAUGUAUGUGGUGACUUGUACUAGGCCUAACAUUACUUUCGUUGUGGAAAGGCUGAGUAGAUAUACUAGUAAUCCAAGCCAAGCACACUGGCAAGCAGUGUACAAAAUUGUAAAAUACUUAAAACAUACAAUAGAUUAUGGUAUAUGUUACACUGGAUAUCCUUCAGUUUUAGAAGAAUUUUCAGAUGCUAGUUGGAUUACUGAUCAAAAUGAUCAUAUAUCCACAAGUAGUUGGAUUUUUAAUAUUGGUGGAGGAGUUAUUUCAUAGGGCUCAAAGAAGCAAACUUGUAUAGCAGACUCCAUCAUGACUGCAGAACUUGUAGCUUUGGCUUCAUGUUGCAAGGAAGCUGAAUGGUUAAGGAAUUUGCUUAUAGAAAUUCCUAUUUGGCCUAAACCAAUGCCUCAUGUAUCCAUUCACUGUGAUAGUGAGACAACUUUGUCAAGGGCAUAUAGUCAAAUCUAUAAUAGAAAGUCUAGGCACAUUGGUCUAAAAUAUAGUUAUGUGAGACAAUUAUUUACAGAUGGAGUAAUCAUAAUUGACUUUGUGAAAUCAUGCCAAAAUUUUUCAGACCCCUUAACUAAAGGUCUUGCAAGGGAUAUUGUAUUAAAAACUUCUAAAGGGAUGGGACCGAAGCCAGCAUCAUCUUAUCAACAAUUAUGGAAACUCAACCCAACACUUGAAAUAUCAAGAUCUUGGGUCAAUGAGCAAAAGUAUAUCAUAUUUUGUGAUAGCCACAAGCACUAUAAUAUUUUAAAAUGUGUUCCAAAGGUCAGUGCUUGAUACCUAUAAUAUAUAGGAAAUGUUAAGCUACUUAGCUUUUAAUUGACUUAUAAAUGUUUUAGUUACAGGGACAUUCUAAAUAAAUCUACCUAUGCGAGUGUAGGAGGUGGUGCCGCUUCCUAUGUAACUUGGCUGGUUACUAAAGUGCUCAUGAAAACAAGAUAUAGACACGGGGCUAAUCCAAGUGUCGGCUAAAGAAUACUGAGAAUUUGAAAAGUUAUGUGUGAGAUAUAUCUGAUUAGUAUAUUAAGGUUGUUGGUUCAAAGCUUGCCUACCAUGCCACCUUAAUUAACUUUGAUGUGUUGUCACUAAGUGAAGGUUCAAGUCCAAAAGACACCUUCAUCUGUGCAUAAAUUUUCCAAGCAUGUGCGAGAUAAUUUUUCAAAAUUCAUUUAUUUUGAAAAUUGUGGGGGAUUAUUGGAAAAAAUUUCAAAAUAAAUGGUGUUUUAUUGUAAAGACAUGUCUAAAUAAAAAAAAAUGUCUUACUGUAAAGACAUGUCUAAAUGAAUGAUGUCUUAUUGUAAGGACAUGUCCAAUUAAUUGUGCCUUAUAGAAAAUAUAUCUUUUCACUUAAAGAUAUAACUUUUCACAGUGAUAUUUCACUUAGAUAUGCAUCAUUUCAUGGUGACAUUUCAUUUGAAAUGGUGAUGGUUUAUUUUGAACCAUUGAUUAAAAUUAAAUCUUGAUCCAAUGACCCAGAAUAAAGGGGUAUCAUGAAAGAUGACAACCCGAAUGAAGAGACACAAGUAUGUUUAUAAAUAGAGGUCAUGCUUAAACCAUUUAGACAUAAAAAUAAUGAUCACACACCAUUCUUUUCUUAGCCCUCUUUUCUAGAACGAAUUUCAACAUAAAAUUCAUAUUUUUGUGCAUUAAAAAUCUAAUAUAUUGUAUUCUGCACGAAUAAUAUAUUGUUUCUUGGCAAACUUGCAACAUUCAAGAGUAUUCUGCUUUGCUUUCGUCGAUGCACAACGCAAGUAAACAAACAAGUGCUUCAUUGUAUCCUGGAGGCGUAUUUGCUUAACCCAUGUGCAUCACUCAGUUGGUGGGGGCAAAUAACGUCUUAAGGAAAGUAACAUUUGUAACAUGCCUUGAAGUAUAUAAUAUUUUCUACAGUUUACCAAUUAUUAUUAUUUUAUUCCUACAUAAAGAGUUGUAAACACAUUACUUUAUAUAAUAAAAUUCUACUAUUAUUAUUAUAUUUAUCUACAUUUUCCAUUCCCCACAAUUGCAUACCACCAACAAUCCAUAAAGAAUAACACAGAGUCAUUAGAAGAACCAAAAAACUUUACUACUAGACAAAAAAAUUUUGUCUUUUUUAGUAAAUUUUGUGCUAUUGUUGGUACAUAUAGCAUUAUUCAAAACAUAUAUGCACGUGAUGUUGCAUCAUUAUACAUCACUGAUGCAACAUAACAUAUUGACCAAUCUACCGCUUUUUUAUAUUAAAAUAACAGCACUAUAUUUGCCAUUAGGGGUGUUCGUGGAUCGAAUUUUACGGAUUGGAUAUCAAUCCAUAUCCGAUCCAUGAUUUUGCAGAUUAUAAUUUUUCAAUCUAAUCCAAUCCACGGAUUGAUAAAAUUCAAUCCAAAUCCAAUCCAUACAUCUGCGGAUUGGAUACGGAUUUGACUCAAUCCAUAUCCAAUCCAUACGUCUGCGGAUCGGAUGCGGAUUUGACUCAAUCCAUAUCCAAUCCACCAUUUUAUGCAUUAGUUUUUGAAUUAAAAAUUUUUAGUUCUCUCCAACUAAUGAAAUAAAAAAAAUUAAUAUAAAAAUAAUUUUGCUACCAAUUAAAUUUAAAAUUGAAUAAAAUUUAAAUAAAUUAAUUAUUUAAAUAAAGCUAAAAUAAUACAUUUAAAGUUUCAAAAUAUAACACAUCAAGACUAAUUAUUCAAAUAAAGCUACAAUAAUAUGUUCAAAGUUUCAAAAUAUAACACACCAAGCUUAAUUGUUCAAAUAAAGUUACAAUAAUACGUUAAUAUAACACCAAAAUUAAUUGUUCAAAUAAAGCCACAAUUAAUUGAAAUGACGAAGUUUCGGAAAUCAAACACAGUCUGAUCCUUUACCAGGGCUGUUGUGCCUGUCGAAAAGUGGUGAUUAUGGAGCCGUCCACGAUGGGAACCAGGAGAAGCCGUACGGGUGGCGAUCUUGAAGGUUGUGAUAGUGAAAUUGUUCAACUGGAACCAGUGAAUGUGAAGUGGCUCGGUGGACUUGGGAAAGAAGAUGGCUUGCUCUCGCCGGAAUCGCACGGCCGAUGUCCUUAAAAUCCGUGUCAAGAGUGUAUCCAACCAGUAUUGAGUGUUGCUAGUGUGUGUGACGGCGGGGAAGUUUAUGGUUUUUUGUUUGCAAAUUGUUGGUGACUUGACGUCAUGUUACUUUUCUUUUGGGUGACUUUGCAAAUUGUUGGUGACUUGGCGUUAUGUUACUUUGCUUUUACCAGUGCGUGUGACUUUGCUUUUAUUUUGUUUUACAAUUUUUACAAGUUAUAUUUGUAUAUUUGAUUAUUUAAUUAUUUUUCAUUUUAUAUUAUUAUUGGGUAAUGACUAAGAUAUGUUAUAGUGCUUAUGUAAUCAUGUAAUGUCACAUUUAUAAUUUUUUUAAUUAAAUUUAUAAUAAUUUUUUUAAUUUUAUAUAUAUAUAUUUUUUUUUUAUUUUUUUUUUUUUUGCGGAUUCACGGAUUUCUGCGGAUUUACAGAAGUAAAUCCAUAUCCAAUCCAUCGACUGCGGAUUUUUAAAUUUUCAAUCCAUAUUCAAUCCACCAAUCCACGGAUCGGAUUUAAACGGAUCGGAUUGAACGGAUCGGACGGAUUGAACGGAUCGGAUUGGAUUCUGAAUACCCUUAUUUGCCAUGGGUCAAACCCUAAAACCUUACAAAAAACGACGCAUUUUGUGAAUUUUUUUUUGUUUAAAUUUUAACCAAUAUGACGUCGUUUUGCUUCAAGCCUCCCCCACGAAUGGUUUUCCCUUCCUCUUCAUUUCACCACUCAACCCCAACGAUAUAACCGGCCUGCAGAACCCUUAAAUUGUUAUUCUUUCCUUCAAUCCGAUGGGAUUUGGUUUAGAUUAAGCAAAAGCAAAAGCUUGAACAAGGUAAGGUACUAUCUUCUUUGGCUACGAAGAUGUACAUAAACAAAAAGAAUUGAGUUGCAGCAUCUACCCUUGAAAAUUGAGUUUUAAUUCUACGUGGCUUCUUUGGCAACGGAUUAUUUUCAAAGCUUGAAUUUUGCUUGAAUUUUGUUGUUUUAAUUUGCGAAGCCAUUGCCGUUGCUGUUAAAUUGGGUUAAUAUAAUGGGUAAUAAGCUUAUGCUGCGAUGUUUUUUGCUUGAACCCUAAGCUGUUUCAAAUUGAAUCUUGAGUUGUGAGUUGCGGAUUACGAAUGGCAAUUUCAGGUGCGGAUUGUGGAUUGCAAAUGGAAAUUUCAAGCUGUGGCUGGAGCUAGAUUGAAGAAGGAAAGGGGAAAUAUUUGGCUGUGGCUGGAGCUGGUGGUUGGAGCUCGAUCAAUGAAGGAAAGGGGAAAUAUUUGGCUAUGGCUGGAGCUUGUGGCUAGAGCUCGAUCGACGAAGGAAAUGAAAGAGAAAAUAUUUGGCUGCGGCUGGACCUCAAUCAACGAAGGAAAGGCAAGGGAAAAUACUUGGGUGGAGCUCCAUCGACAAAGAAUAAGAGAAAUAUUUGGCAAGCGAAAACGGCAUUGUUUUUGGCUUUAAUAAAACGCUACGUUUAAAUUUUGGGGUUUGACCCGGGGCAAGUAUCAUUUUCGUUAAAAUAAACCAGCCUACGAAGACUUUGAUGUUACCACAGAAAAAUGUGAAAGAAAGCGAGGGUUCGGAAAAUUAAUAUUGAUAAAAUAAUAAUAUAGAGCGGAUCUGAACAUGGAAAGCAUGCAUAUUAAACAACAAAAGGAGAGCCAGAUCCAACGGUGGCUACAAUAAUAACUCCUGUUUUAGGCACACAGGCCAUUCAUAUGCAAUCCCAAGUUGGUCGAGUACUCAAGUUCUUGACUGGUCUCAAUUUCUUCUUAAGCAAGAUCUGGGUUCUCACGAAUUUGCUUCCUCAACUUCUUCAUCCAGGUCACUGUGUGUUGAUACUUGAACAUUGCCCAUGUGUUUGUUUGAAAAAUUUUAUUCUACGUAUUUGUUUUAGGUUUGUUUGUAUUGCCAUCUAACGGUACUGAGCAAUGAAAUUUAGACCGAAAUUUUUGACGAAAAACUGGAAAAUAUAUAUAUUAGAAGUUCUCCGAAGAAUAAACUAUGCACGAACAUUAAAAAAAAUUGUAAAAUUAUGUUUCUUAGAGGUUUUAAACUUCGGUUAUGUGCCACGAGUCAUGGACCACAAGAAGCUGAUUCUUGGCUGCUUUUUGUUUAUUUUUAUUUUACUUGAAUAGACUAAAAGCGUCUGAAGAAUUUUUAACAAAAUAAAAUCAACAAUAAUCGAUUUUAUUUUUGAAUUUGCUUCUUUAUCUUCUUCAUCCAGGUCACUGUGUAGAAAUCAAUAAUGAAAAUGUUCAAUUUCUUGAAAUAUAUGUUCUAAUGUUGUUCGAUAUUUUAUUUCCCGAUAAACAUAAUAUGGUCACAGGGUCCAGCUACAUUGCUUCGGGGGUUUGGUGCCCCAUUUUUUGUCUUUUUCAAAUUCACCGUUGGAUGCAACGCAAGACUUGCAUAAUGGCUUAGAUAUGAUUUUAGGUUAUUAACAUUAAAGGCCCCUCUUGUUCAUGAAAAAAAAAAAUCAAACGUUUUAUAAUUAUGACAUAAAAGUCCAUAAUAUAUAUAUAUAUAUAUUACACUAUUGAACUAGAUUUCCAACUAAAUGACUUAUUCUUACAUGUAUUAAUAUCUAUUAAAUUAAAAAAUUUACUUAUUAAUUAACAAAUUAACUAGUUUAUUAUAUAGUUAAACUAUGUAUAUUAUUUACGAACCAUAAUUAAUGAUAAAUAUAAAUUUAUUUUUUUUAAUUUAACAUAACGACAACCGAUUUCCUCUCACCCAUAUGACCAAGGUUCAAACCCCAUAAUCUUUUUUAUUUCAACACAAGAGAUUUUACUAGCUCAAGUAAAUGUAAUAUACAAAAUAUGAAAAUAAAUUUAAUUUGAUAUUCUAUGUAGUUAAUUUUUUUUGGUAACAUAAGAUUUAUUUAACAUACUAUCAAUUAUUUAAUUAUGUAGUAUAAAUAUGUUAAUUUACUAAUAAUAAUAAAGUUUUAGUUUAUGAAUUUUUAAAAUAAUUUUUGUUUGUUUGAUCAAUAUGUUUGUAUUUUUGGUUGAUUUUUUGUCCUUAAAUAAAAGAAUAAAUUUAAUUGCACACUUAAAUAAAUUAAUAUUUGUUACUCCACACCAACAAUUUAAAUAGUUAUUAGCACAUGUCCAUAUAGUUGAGAUCUUUCAUUAACUUAACUAAGAGAAGGGUAAAAAAAUUCUAAACAAUUACUCUAUUUGAAAAUAAUUUAAAUACUUCCUUAGUUUUCUUUUAUUUAAAAUAAUUUAAAUAUUUCAAAAAAUUUUCUUUUAAUUUACUAGUGUUUGUGUGUAUAAAGAGAAUAAGUGUUUGAAUUCUAAAUAAAUCAUGGCUUCCAAAAGCAUUAAUGUAAUUGAAAAUCUUUAGGUGCAUGAUUAAUGUGUGAAAAUUUAAAAGCUUUUAGUUUUUUUGUUUUUAUAACUAAUAACAGGACUUCAUUGUAAUUGACCUUGAAAAAGACAAAAGAAAGAGGUAUCAAACCAAUUUUGCAACGUAGCUACGCCCUAUGGUCACAACGUUUCCGGUAAGCAUAAGGUUCGCCCAGCAACUGAAAAAAAUAAUUAAUAAUCAAAUUUUAAAUAAAGAAACACUUCAAAAAAUAGAAUAGAAGAAACACAUAAUUUUUGUCAUUAAACACUUUCAAGCACUUCCUCCGUCCUUGAUAAAACAAGUAUAUAACAUUUUUAUGUGUAAGAUUAAUUAGUAUAAAGAAGAUCAAUUUACAAUUUAAAGGAAAUAAAUUAAAGUUGAAUGAGUUCAAAGACUAAAAUCAGAACUCAUUUAUCUAGAUUCUAGGGCUCCAACUACCGUGCACCUAGUGCAUGGUGCUCCUAUUUUGUCCAUAUGUGAGUUGGCCAUUAGAUCUAAUACCGAACUUGCUUCAAGGGAAUGAAUGUGUUUUCUUUUAUUUUUAACAUUGAUGUCCUUAUAGUUUUUUAAAAAAGUAAAAUAAUCAAUGAUUGGACACAUAAUUUUAAAUUGUUUUAAAUUUUUAUAUUUUUAUCAAUUGAUUUAAUUUUAUUAUUAAAAAUUAAUGAUAGUAUAAGGACAAUAACUUGCAAAACCUUUUAAUACAUAUAAUCUUUUUUUAUUUUUUUGAAAACAACAUAAAAUCUAUUCAAUCGAUAAUAAAUAAUUUAAAUAUAUAAUUAAAAUUUAACUUAAUAAUAAUAUGACUAAAUAACAAUUUAAAAAAUUCAAAAUAAUUAACUAUAGUUUAGUAUUCAAAUAUAAAUAAUAGGAAUGACUCUAAAUGUAAAUAUUAGAAACAUAUUGGACUUAGGUGUUAAAAUCUUAAAGCUUCUAUUUUUUUUUUACUUUUCAAAAAAUAAGAGGGACCUAAAAUAAUUUACUAAAAAUUAGGGGUUCCAAUAACCAUGCCCUCGGGGCACCAUAGCUUCGUCCACAUUUCUAGUAUCUAUAAUAUAAUAAUAAUUUUGAAGGAUAUUUUAAUAAUUAAAAAAAUUAAAUUUGGUGGAUAAUUUAGUGGGUCUAAAUACCAACCCUUUUCUCUUAGGGGUAUAUUCAUCUGUGUACCUGCUACUAGCGCAAAGCAAUUCCCCAAAAGCUUGAGGACCUUUGAACAAAAUUUCUGUAGAUCCGCUGAUUCUAAGUACUAGAAGAAUUUCCAGGAUGCCUUUUAUUGCCUUUUUAGGCAGGUGCAUUUUAGUCAAUCACAAGUACUUGUUUGAUAAUUCCCUGCAUUUAAAUAAGGAAGAAGAAGCCACCAGACCGAUCGAUCGACCGAGAAAAAGAUGCCAAAGUUCACUCUCGGAAAUUCCUUUCGUUUUGGCAGCAAAAGGGAAACCGUCUGUAACUUUCAUUCCGAAAAUAUUGAGACGAUACUAAAAAAGUUGACUAAAGAUUGGCUUGAGCAGUUUGCUCGAGAUGCGCAGAUCCAGGCCGAUCUGAUUGGGUGGAAGAAGAUGAUGGUGAAGAUUAAUAAGGUGCUAGAUGAUGCCAUAGAGAAGCAGACGGAGGAGGAGUCAGUGAUGAUAUGGCUAGGCAAACUUCAGCACUUGGCUUGCGAUGUUGACUACUUGUUGGAUGAGUUCCAAACGGAAGCUUUCCAGACGAUGUUGCUGCAAGAUGCUGAUGCGAUGUCUAAAGUAAAGGAGGUCAAUGCUCGAUUGCAAGAUAUUGCAUGGCAAAUAAACGUACUAGGUUUGAAAGAAAUUUCCGGUGGGAAGUCCAGAAAUGUCAGGCUAAGAUUUCUCACAACCCCUUCGGUGAGUGAAGCUGGCUUAUAAGUAUUGAUAUUCAAACAGAAAAUUUUUACAUAAAACUGACAGAAACAGUGAUAAAUCGAUAUCAAUUUGCUCACUUAAUUAAAAAAUUAGGACAUUAGAUACUGAUUUGUCACUGUCUUUAUCAAUAUCUCGAUCUCCUUAGCAAUUUUUCACCAAUGCAAAUGGUAGAGAAAAUGAUAAAGAAUAGAUACUGAAUCGCCCAUGCUACAAAUAUAAAGACUAAUUACUAAUGCUAAUUCAAAGUGUUUUCUUUUGUUUUGAAAGCUACUCUUAGCGGCAGUAAGAGGCGGAGGUCGAGAUCGUGGUCCUACAGUCUUUAGUCCCUUAAUCGAGAAAGAGGACUUGGCUUUUUUGGAGAAAGAGGAUUGCUCUGCUCCUUUGGAGAAAAUAGGAUCAGGUGGGUGUGGAGAAAUUUACAUUGCCGAGCUAACGUGUUUCUAGAGAAUUCUUUUGCACCCUAUUUUUUGCGUUAUAUAUAUAUAUAUAUAUUUAUGAGUCAAUUGUUAGAGAUCAAAUUCAGUCUUUUUUUUUUUUAGCUGAAAUUCAGGCUUAAUUGAAGAUGAUUACAGGAAAUUGAAUCUCAAGUAAAAUAAUAAAAUGAAAAUUCUUUAUUUAUAGUUAGUUCUAGCAUCAGAAUGCAUGAUGGUAUUAUUUAUUUUUUCAGUUAUUUUGGAAUUUUGUCUUAUUUACACAUCUUGGUGAAAUUGUUGUAUGUUCAUUUUGUUUGUCGUGAUUGCUUAUAAGCUAUUUUUAUGUUGAUAAGUAUGGCUUAUUAAUAAUUUUAUUAAUAAUUUUCUUUGAUUAUUGAUAGAGUUUCCUCGAAAGCACAAGGCUGGUUCUCAAAAAGAGGUGAUUGGAGUGCUUUCAUUUGAAGUUGUGAGCUUGAUGUCUAAGGUGGUUCACCUUUGGCAGUCUUUGAGUGAUAAGCAGAUUGUUAGAUUGGGAGCUGAGUUACUAAAUUCUGUGGGCAUAAAGAAGCUUGUAUCGGAGGAUGACGAGUUUAUUGCAAGUUUAAUAUGUGCUGAGAUGAUUGAGGAUUUGGCCCACGUGGCGAAAUCUGUGGCUAGGCUUGGGAAGAAGUGUAAUGAUCACGGUUUAAAGAUUUUUGAGAUUGCUCUAGAUAAAUUUGUUAAUAUUGGUGCUGACCCAUAUGGGUGGGAGUUUUCAUGGAAGAAGAUGGAAAAGAAAGUCAAGAAAAUGGAACGUUUCAUUUCAAUAAAUGCAACUUUGUACCAAGAGAUGGAAAUGCUUUCGGAUCACAUACAAACUCUGAAGAGAAUGAAGAGUAAUGAUGGUGAGAUAGAGCAUUUGAUAGAGUUUCAAAAGAAGGUUGCAUGGAAGGAGCAGGAGGUGAAGCAUCUAAGGGAGGUCUCUCUUUGGAAUAAGACUUACGAUUAUACAAUUCCGCUUUUGGCAAGAUCACUAUUUACAUUAUUUGGAAGGAUACGAUAUGUCUUUGGAAUAAACGUGAGUGUGGAUGUCGAGGAUUCAAGAGAUAUGUCUUCUGAUUAUAUUUACCGCAGCCAAUCAGUUUCUGCAUUAUUGCAAUCUUCAGUUCAUCCAUCUGAGAAUACUGGUAUAGCUAGAUUUUCUUCAGGUCCCCCUGGAAAAUUUACUGCUAACUCAGGUCCUAUUUCAAAACCAAAAAGAAUGAAUAAUUAUCAUUCAGGUCCUCUUAGUGCUAUGAGCACAAAAUCGGGUCCUAGCAUGAUGGCUGCAGAUAUUUCUCCUGUUGCCAACCGUUAUUCAAUUCCAAAUAUUUUGGGAGCUCUUAAUGAAGCCAAAGAGAGCAAUGUCAAGCAAAUUCCUCAGGCCAAUAGAGUUCAAACAAGAUCUUCAAUAUUCAGUUCCAAGGGCAAGUUGUUAGAUGCGUCACCCGAGACUCUUGGUGGUGCUGCUUUAGCGCUACACUAUUCAAAAGUCGUUAUUGUAAUUGAGAAGCUGGUGGCAUCUCCUCACUUGAUUGGUCAUGAUGCAAGGGAAGACUUGUACAAUAUGUUACCUGCAAGUGUGAGAGCCACUUUGAGAGCAAGGUUAAAGCCAUAUACAAAGAGCUUAGCUUCAUCAGUGUAUGAUACAGAGUUUGCAGGCGAGUGGACUGCAGCAAUGAGUGCGAUUUUGGAAUGGUUGGCUCCACUUGCUCAUAACAUGAUUAGAUGGCAAUCUGAGCGGAGCUUUGAGCAGCAGAGAGUAGUUUCCAGGAGCAAUGUUCUUCUUGUACAGACUCUGUACUUUGCAAAUCAAGAAAAGACAGAAGCAGCAAUUACUGAGCUUCUUGUUGGCCUUAAUUAUGUCUGGAGAUACAGCAGAGAACUCAAUGCAAAAGCUUUGCAGGAAUGUGCUAGCAGCAGAGUGUUUGAUGAAUGCUUGGAUUUGGAAGGGUAAGAUUAUUCACUGACUGUUGCGAUCAUCAUCGGAAUACCAUUGCCUCACCACUUCAUUGGCUUUGGGGGAUACAUGGUUGCAAAGGAUUUCUAUGUUCUGGCUAGUCCACAAGGCUUCUCUGUUCUAGUCAACAACAAUGACGUGGAGCAUGGGCAAAACUCCUAUCCGCUCUAUCGAAAUUCCAUAUACGUAAAUGCACUACCUUAAGUUAAAGAUAUAGGUUUGAGUAAAAACAAUAUAGUUUUGUUGAGACAUGGCGAUGCACUUCUGCGUGCCAAAUAUGAAAUUAAGCUAUCAUUCAGCGAAAUUUGUAUACUUAUUUAGGGAUAAACUUGUGUAGUAAUUGUAAAUUUUUCCACAUUAGGCUUUUCAUUCAUGUAUAUAGCCCCUCAUGAUCUGGCUUGCUUCUUUUUGAGUGGCUUACUGGUAUUGAUAUAGUUAUGUGAUUGUGAGCUUUCGGCUGCGUGGGAACUGAAAAUGUAAUUCAGGUUGCAGAAACAAGAUCUUGAAUUCAAUUUAUCAUAUUUAUAUUCGAUAGGAUGGCAUAUUCGCAAAUCAAUUGCAGCCAACUGUAUUCAGUGACAUUGCUUGAUGCCUAUUGGCGAAUGAAUCUGGUGACUCAUUUUUAUUUAUGUCCUUUCAGUUGUCGAUGGUGCUAAUGCUACUAAUAUCCUCAGUUUGUGAGUGAUGAUAUUUGACCUCUCAUUUUAUCUCGUCAGCCCUCAUUUUUUAAUUAAUUCAUUAUAAAUCUUUUAAUCUCUAAUUUAUCGUCAUUAUUAUUAUAAUUUUAUCAUACUUGCACAAUCACACUGAUAUAGGGGUGGCAAAAAAGCCUGGGCUGGCCCAGGCCCGGCCAAGCUCAGCCCAGGCCCGCAGACUUAAAGCCCGGCCCGUAAGGGUGGGCCCGGAUAUGGGCCCAAAAAUUACAAAGCCCACAUAUGUUGGGCCUGGACAAAGGCUUAGCAAAAAAGCCCGGGCUUUUUAAAUUUAUGAAUAAAAAUAAAUUUAAUUUAAAUAAAAAAAAACUCAAAGUAUUAAAUUAGUUUAAUUUUUUAUAUUAGUAUUUGUUAUUUUAUUAGGUUGUAUUACUAAUAUUUUAUGUAUUGGACUAUUAUUCUAUUUAUAUAUUAGAUAAUUAUCUUUAAUUUAAAUUUUUUUUCUUAAUUUAAAAAAUAUUUUAUAAUUAAUUUAAAAAGCCCAAGCCGGGCCCGAGCCCGGCCCAAGCCCGUCUAGGCCCGUCCAAGUUUGGACAGGCUUUUUGAAGGGCCUGGACUUCAUUUGAAUGAUGUGUGCUUGGGCCUAGGCUUUAAAAAGCCCGGCCCAAGCCCGCAAAUUGCCAUCCCUACACUGAUAUCCAAGCGAUUGACCAACUGUAGAGUUUACUUCAAUUUUUAGAGCUACUGUUAUAUUAAUCUUUUUUUUUCCUAGAAGUACUGUUACAUUAAUCUCAAUUCUUUAUUUCUUGCAAAAUGAUUAAUCAAAUACAAAGAUGACAAAAAUUUCUUAAUUAAAAAAAAGGAGAAGAAGAAGAAGAAGAAACUAAGCAUUCAUGUUGCCACUAACAUGGGUGGCCUUAAGUAUAUGCGAACAAAGCGGUUGCCUAAGGCCCCAAAUUUUAGAAAGGCCUUAUUUUUUUAGUAUUAGUAAUAAUUCUUUAGUUAAUAAAGAUUUUUAAAAAAAAAUUAUGUGUGGUGGAAAAGUCUAUUAGACAUCUCUCUAAUUAAUAAUUAUUUUUUAUAUAAAAACCUAUAAUUGGUUAUCUUAUUGUUAAAGAGAUAAUUAAUAAUAUUGUCUAACCAUUAAUUUAUUCAUUAUUAAUUUUUCCAAUAAAAAUAAGUAAUUUUUUUUUACCUUUUCAACUUCUUAAAAGAACUCAAUUAUUCAACAUUAGAAUUUUCAACUUUGAGUAUUCCUUUUAAUUUCUAUUAAAAAUCUUAUAAUCUAGAAAAUUAUAGAUGAAAAUUUUCUUGUUCUCUCUAUAAUGAAGAUUAUUACAUGCAUUAGUUCAUUCAAAAAAGAAAAAAAAAUAGUUACUUGAAAAAAAAAUAGUUCACUCAAAUAUUGCUCCUUUGCUGGCUUAUAUGGUCCGGCCUGACUGCCAUUUACUUGUCUAUGAAUUCAUGAAGAAUGGAAGUUUACAAGAGAUUCUAAACGAUGUCUCACAAGGAAGAAGAGAAUUAGAGUGGCUAGCUAGACACAGGAUUGCACGAGGUAUAGCUUCUGGGCUUGAGUAUCUGCAUAUGUACCAUAGCCUUCGUAUAAUCCAUAGAGAUAUCAAGCCAGGGAACGUGCUCAUAGACGAUGAUAUGGAAGACAGGAUUUCUGAUUUUGGUCUUGCAAAGGUAUUGCCUGAUGGUCAUACACAAAUCAGAGCUUCGAAUCCUGAUUUUGGUGUUGCAGAGGUAAUGCCUGAUGGACAUGCGCAAGUCAAAACUUCGAAUUUGGCGGGAACGGUGGGAUACAUAGCCCCAUAGCAUCACCAGACGCUAACAUUCUCGGACGAGUGUGAUAUAUACAGCUUUGGGGUGUUACUAGCUGUUUUAGUGAUGGGAAAGCUUCCAUCCGAUGAUUUUUUCCAACACACCGAAGAGAUGAGUUUCGUUAAAUGGAUGAGAAAUGUCAUGAAUUCUGCGAAUCCUAACCGGGCUAUCGAUUCGAAGCUCCUCGGCAAUGGGUACGAGGAGCAAAUGCUUCUUGUUUUGAAGAUUGCUUACUUUUGCACUUUGGAUGAUCCAAAGCAGAGACCUAACAGCAGGGAUGUUAGGUGUAUGUUGUCUCAGAUUCAGCACUAAUUAAGGAUGUGGAUUUUUUUAAAAUGUACAAGAGCAUAACAACGUCACUUGUGAUGAACAAUUUAUGCUCUUUAAUUAAGUUGUACAAUUACGAUCCCCUCUGAGUUUUCACUUGUCUAAUCGAUACAGAGCGGUUCAGGUCACUAUACAAAGUAGAAACCAUUUCUGAAAUGUGGCAUACUUGCUAUAUUUCAGCAGUCGUAUGUUUCUGGCAACAUAUCAAGCCUUUCAUUUUGCAUAAGAAAAAUAGCAAGAACGGCUCGAUGUUGGUAGUUCGUUCUAUAAGCAUAUGCUAACACACAUUGAGAGAAUCUUUCCAAAAAAAAAAAAUGAGAAAGAGAAAAGUUCCAUGCAAGUGCAUUUUAGCCAUUGUAAUUUUGAAGAGUUGCUUCUAUUUUGUAUUUUAACUUUUUCUUUUUUAUUAUACUAAAUACAUUUUCCACCAAAGAGGGACCACUUUAUAAUACUUUUUUCUUUACUUUAAUACUUUAAAUAAUCUUUGCUUUACUUUUUUUUUACUUUAUUUCAUUUACUUUUAUUUUUAACUCAUUACGUUUAAUGGCGGAUUCAUUCUUAUGAAAAGAAAUCGCACAAUCGGGUCACUCAAAAAAAUUAAAUUUUUUAUUUCUGUUCAAUUUGAUUCUAAAAGUUAGAACUACUCGUAUCUUUUCCUUUAUGUAGGUUAAGAAAAAAACUCAGACAAGGCUCCUUCAACAGCAGCUAAUCAUGUUCGUUUUUUAUCUUUUAAAUUUAUUUACCAGCUAGCCCAAGAUGUCUUUAAAUUUCAGAAUCAUAGAGAAAUAUAUAUAUAUAUAUAUAUAUAUAUAUAUUAUCAGUGGGAACACUUAAGCCGCCUCAAUCCGCACACUAUAAAGGUAAAUCAAAGGACAAUUAUGAAAGGCUCAAAUUCUCAGCGAAGAUAAGUGAUCAAAAGAGGAAAUGGGGCUAGAAACUGAAAAGCAGUAAAGUAUCUCAAAGGCAGUGUGGUACUUAUAAAUGAUUUUAGGAGUUUUAUAUUCUUAUCUAAUAAUUACUAAUUUUAUCUUUCUAAAAGAUUACCAAAAAAAUCACCUCAGCAUUCAAUCCAAAUCUCAUUAUAUGAUGUUAUAAUUUAUUUAUAUUACAGUAUUAAUAGUGACAUAAAAUUUAAUUAACUGUUCACAUAAUUAGUAUUUGUUAUGAUAAUGUUGUGAUUUUAAUUAUUUAGAAUCUGUUUUACCUGUUAUUGUACCCGUUAAACACAUUUUUUAAGAUUAUAUAAUAAAAAAAGGUAUAACUUUUUUUAAAUAUUUAUUUUAACAUUAACACAACUCAAUUUUAUUAUCAUCUUAUUCUUUUUUCUUCACCUAAAAAAAGAUUGUUAAAUUAAUAAAUACAACAACUAAGCUCUCGUGGAAAACCGAAGUCAUCUCCAAAUAUUUCGAAAAAAAAAAAAAAACUAAAAAUAUUCCCGCAUGCGCCAAUUGUUUGGAAGUCCUCAAUAGCAGUAAAAAUUUAGUGGUGCGCUUUACUCUUGAGAAAGCAGCACAAAUGAACCAUAAAACUCCACCAUAUUUAAUGAUUUUAAAAUCAGGAUCAUUAUAGUACUACAACAUAGGUCAUACAAAUAUGCGUUUUGCUUGAUUAAUUAGAAAUAGAGAACAACAUAAUAGAACAGCAUGAACCCACCACCGGACACCAGUUUUAUAAAUUUUUUUUUUAAUGUAUUGCCUUACGAUAACUCGAUUCCUUGUAGACUCAUAUGUGAACAGAUGUGAACCUCAAACAUAUAAUCUUACUUCAACAAGUUUUACCGUAAAAUUAGCUAGCACCAUUUGUAAUGUUGUUGAUAGGCUUUGAUAGUUUAAAAAAAAUAUUGAGUAAAAACUAGCUAGAUUAAUAAACUACUUAGCCACUCGGCAUACUGCAUAUUUGAUUCCAUCCAUAAAUCGAUUUUCUUCCCUAUGAGUUCGAGUCUCAAUAAGAAUGUUAGUUCUUACUGUUCAUAUGUUAUGAUAUGAAUAUACCACACCAAUUCAUUAUGUAUAGAUGAUGAGAUUCCAUUGAUACAGAGCCAAUUCAAAUCCAAGUUGGAGAGCAGCAGUUCGAACCCCCACAAUGCAUGUGGGGGUGUUUCCUUCCUCAAAUAAAAUUGAGUGAAGGCAGUCUGUUUUCUUGUCCCAGUACGAGGAGUAGACAUCCCUCGAAUAUUUGAGAGGGUUAAAAUCUGGGCAGCGCUCCAUUAGAUUUGAUGUAUGUUGGUCCCAAUUAUAGUCUGAUUUGUACAUAUCUGUUAUAUUCUCAUGUAAUAUGAGUUGUAAUCUGAGUCUCAUGUAAUCAAAAAUAAAAAAUAAAAAAUAAACUUCUUUGCCCUUAUUUUACCUUAUUGAUACAAUAAUAUUAGAAAUUCUAACAUUUAAGUCUCAGUUUUGAGUCCUAUUAUUAUGUGUCAUUCAUUUAUUAAAUGAUUUAUUUCAUAACUCAUGAACUUACUAAAACACCGUUCAAUAAAUGAAUACCACAUCACUUAAAAUUCAAAUUGAGACUGAUAUGUUAGAAUGUCUAGCACAAAGUAAUUAAUGGAGAACAAAUUGUAACUCUCUUUCUUCUAUGGUUUUGCGAAAUUUUUUAUUAUUUUACAUUUUUAUGGCUUUCAAUCUCUUUAUUUACCUUUGUGCGUCUGAUUUUCCUCUACUUCCCUUAUCUUAACCUUGACUAAAGUAAUAACGAGAAUAUAUAUAUAUACGUACGCAAUGGAUCCGUGAUCCCUUGCACAAAUUUUUACUUUUAGAUACGGAUGUAUAUAUAUAAAGAGUCAAUUUGUGUAAAACUUAGCUGAUUGUGCAAAUUAUUAGUUGUUGGGAUUUUAAACAAACGACAAGCAAUUUACUAUUUAUCUGCAAUAAUUAGGCUUGGAAAAAGUAGUAGUUAGUUAAUGGUAUUAUGAUAAUGUUUUGAUUUUAACCAACAAUUCACAUAAUUAGUAGUCAGUUAUGAUAAUGUUUUGAUUUCAAUUAUUUAAAAUUUAUUUUACCUGCUUUCUAUCGGUUAAACAAAAUUUUUAAAAUUAUAUAAUUAAAAAAAUAAAGUAUAGUCUCUCCAAAUUUUAAUAUUUUUCCUUUAAAAAAAAAGAUAUGUAUUUUAACAUUAACACAACUCAAUUUUGUUUAUCAUCAUAUUCUCCCUUCUUCACUAAAAAAAUGGAUAAAUUAAUAAAUAUUGUAACAACAGAAAAAAUCGUUUAUACCCCUUAAUGUUUCAUUAAUUUAGUAAAAUUAUAGAGUUUUAAUUUUAUUUUCAUAUAUGUCCCUAACUCAAUUACCCUUAUAUUUUCAUCAAUUUAGUAUAACAAUAGAGUUUUUAUUUUAUAUUCAAAUAUGUCCCUAACCCAAUUACCCUUGUGUUUUCAUCAAUUUUAUAUAACAAUAGAGUUUUUAUUUUAUUUACAAAUAUAUCCCUUAUUCAAUUAUAUUAUUUUCAAUUGAAAUUAGUGACUUAUUUUAUAAAAUGAUUAAAUCAUAUAUUUAUUGAAUAGAUUGAAAACAUUAGGGAGCUAAAAUUUUAUUACUACUUUAAUUUAUUUUAAAAAGCUUCUAAUUGAAAAAAAAAAUAUGUCAAUGUAAUGUAACAUUGUCACUAGUAUUAAAAGUACUUACAGAAACAACAUGCAGUAACAAUUAUCAAUAUUUUAUAAAAUUUUUAUGUGAAUUUUCAGAUUUUAUUUAUUAGUUAUAUUAACUAAGAGGGCAAGUUAGAAAAUAAAAUUUGAGUAUUUUAAGGAGCUUUUGAUAGAAGAAUUAUCAACAUCUAGUUUUUUAAAGAGAGCUAGAGCGCCUGAAAAAGAAACAACUGCACCCAAAUACAUUUUUGCUGAAUUGAGUUUAGUUUAUUAUUGAAACUUUUGACUAAUAAUACCUUUACAAUUUGAAAGGAUUAAUAAAUUUUAAUUGUUUAAUUUAUUAAGUUUAGUAAUUAAGUACUUCACCUCAAACAUAAAAGUGUUACCUGUAAUUUUUAAUUGAUUGUAAUUACAUGUAUUGAUCUAUUUUAAUUUGAAAUUCUUAAUUGAUUUUUUAAUCCUUAUAUAAUUAUAUAUUAUUAUAGGCUGCAAUGUCAGAUUCUAUAAUUGAAGAAUAGUGUUUUCAUAUUCGAGUUACCUUUUGUUUUUUACUCUUUUUCUAUAAUUAUUUUUGUUUAUAGUUCAUAUUUAGAGAGAUAAAAUUUUUGGUAUUCUUCCUUAUUUAAUAUACUUAUUUUUAUAUAUAAAUUUUUAUGUUCGCUUCAAAAUAUAAAUUUUAAAAUUUAGCCCGGGGUAAUAUUAAGUUCUGAAUCCGCCCCUGGUCUUAUGGCAGCCUCAAUAACUGGGCUUGGGGGGUAACCGAAGUCAUUUUCAAAUAUUUAGUUAAAAAAAUCCCAUAUAUACCAAUUGCUUGAAGGUCCUCAAUAGCAUUAAAAAUUUAGUAGUGUGCUUUACUCUGAGAAAGCGACACAAUGAACCACAAAAUUCCACCAUAUUUUAUGAUUUAAAAUCAGGAUAUAAGUCAUGCAAAUGUGCAUUGAGCUUGAUGAAUUAGGAGCAGAGAACGACGUAAUAGAACAGCAUGAACCCACCGCCAGUUAAAAAUAUAAUUAAUUGUGUGGGACUGUAAUUAUAUGGAGUACAUCCUUUGAUCUUCAUUGACCAACUAUUUCACGUACACAGUCCCUUUUCAGUGCACCGUGCCCAUUUGAUUUUAUUGAGAACCUUGCCCCUGUCCGUGUGUGCGCGAGUGCACGCAUGCGCGUAUGUGCAUGUGCGUUUGUGCCUGCGUGUAUGUGUGGGGCUCAACGAUGAGAGUUAAAAAAAAAAUUUACUUGGAAGCAGGCUGUGAAAGAGCUUGAUAUCCUUGGUAUUGCUAUCGUUGAGAGUGAAGGGUUCGGUGGUCAGAAUCUCGCAAAACAAUAACCCAUCAAGGGUUGCCAAGGGUAUUACUGGCAUAGACGCAUCAAUGCUUAAGUCAAAGACUGAGAGUAGCACGAUAACAAAUAAAUAAUAAAAGAAAGAAAAGAGAGUAAGCGAAAACCCUUGAAGGAAAAAGAAAACCCUUGAAGGAUUUGCACCCCUCCUCCAAUAUGCUUAUUUCUCAUGCAUUUCUUCGUGUUGUAUUGUAUAUCUUUAAGUAGUCACCUCUGCAUAUAAAAGAAAUAAUCAGAAGUAUAAUUGAGUUAGGAAAGCUUAUCUAUUAUCUUGUAAAUUUCGAGUUUGAUAAGGAUUAGAACUUGUAUUACUUUAUCUUAUUUAUAUUAGGACAUAUUAUUGGAUGUGGGUCUUCAAACUUGAGUUUGGUAAGAAUAUGGGCAUAACAGGAGCCCUCAGUUUAUAAUAUUCACAAGUUUACGAGUGAAUGCUAGAAAUUGAUAUAGUUUAUAGUAUGUUAAAUUUUUUUAUUAUCACUCAUUGAAUGUUGUGAGGACAUAUCGAGUGUCAUGAGCGAAUCUUCAAUGACGUGAGAAGAAAACAAAUGACAUGAGAAAUCUCGAAUGUCAUGAGGACAACUUGAAUAGUAUGAAAACAAUAUAAACGACAUGUGAAAAUCUCAAAUAUCAUGAGGAUAACUCAAAUGACAUGAGGAGAUCUAAAAUGUCAUGAUAUAGGCCAUGAAAUUAAGAUAAUGUCUCGUCAAGGGCCAUUAAAGUAAGAUAAUGCUGCAAUAUGAUUUUCUAAUUAGUUAAAGCAAGUUAGUUUAAGUUAAGGAUCCACAAGUGAAUCGCUUCACUAGUUGAUACAAUAAUAAUAAGCUUAUAAGAGUAAUUUUCAAUCAUUUUGACUAGUUUAAACCGCUCUCGGCAAAAGCUUUAUUGAUCUAGGGUAGGCAAAAAAACAUGGGCCAACCCAAACCUAUCCCUACUGCCUUAAGCUGCGGGCUUUUAGCCUAGUCCUCCACAUGAGGGCUUAAACAAGGGCUUAAGAAAAAAAAAAAAAAAACUAAGGCCAAGUCCAACCCUUUAUUUUUAAAAAAAUAAAUUUAUAAAUUAGAAUAAUAAAUUAAAAUUUAAAAAGAAAAAAAGAAAGUUAGUUUUUAACUGUCUUAAACCACACGGUUUUAUACUUUAUUAAAAAACUAAUUCUUUUAAACUGCACAGUUUAAAAGUGUGUCCGCAUUAAAAAAAUAUGGACAUCCGCACCUGGGAAUGAUUAUAUAUAUAUUUCUAUUAGAAAUAUUCCAAUCCAAAAUUUUAAAGUGCAGAAACAUCUAGAAAAACGCAUAAACUGUGCAGUUUAAGCCCUUUAAGUUUUAAAUCUUUAAAGCCCCGUGAUUUUAAAGAUUUCCUGAACUUUUCCCUUACUUUAAGAUCCCUGACUAUAUAUACAUACAUACAUAUAACUUUGGUAAUAAUGAGAAUCUAUAUAUGUACAUGAUGAAUCUGUAAGCCCUUAAUGAGAAUAUAUAUGUGUUUUAUUUAUUUAUUUAUUAAUAACAUUUCUAUUUUGUUAAAAUGAAGAUAUACUCAUUAACGAGUUAUUCUAUAUUCAUAUAUGAUCUGUGUAAAACUUAGUUGAUUGUGCAAAUUAUUAGUUUUUGGAAUUUCAAACAAACCACAAGUACUUUAGUAUUUACUCUGCUAAUGAUUGGCCUAGGAAAAUAUAUCGCUUUCCUUCAAAAUAUAAGGAAAAAAAUCUACAGAGACAUAGAAAAUUAUAAAAAUAUACAGAUUGAAAACAAGCUUCGGAUUAUAUUGAACUGGAAGUCAUGUAACGCCUUUUGUAAACCUUUCAUACCGCGUUUCUAAAGUUUUUGUAAAUCAGCAAUCUAAUGAUGCUAUAAAUCAAUAAUAAUGUAUUUGUUUUGUGAAUGAAAAGAGGGAGCACAAUUAAAUGUUUCGUCCACAAAAACUGGGCUCCUCUCGGUGUUAAACAAGGAAAAGCAGCAGGAAAUCUCCUCGAAGUAAGUCUAGCUCGUGCUCACUAGAAGAUUUUCUUUAAGUUAUGAAGAUUUGGACAGACAACUUGUGGAGGAAGGUGCAAGCAGGGAUUCCGCGAGCAGAUAUUCAUCUAAGUCAACCUGAAGAAUUGACUUGAUCAGAGUCAACUAGCAAAUUUUCUCCAAAAAAUAAGGGUUUGAGCUCUAUCCUCUCAACGGUUAAUAUUUAUAAAAGCUUCCAAAAAUUUGAACCAAGUAAGUGAUCGUUUCUCUCGCUACUUCAAAACUCUAUUUGAGAAAAUAGCAUUGGGAGUUCAUUCUUUCUUUCUUCCUUUCAUUUUUAAAGCCUUUCAAUUACACUAGUUAUAAUCAAUACUCAAUAACUUAAUACACAUUAAUCCAUGAAAUCCAAAGAACUGACUUAAGUAUCAAAGGGUUUAACAUCGAAAAAAUCCUCAGUUUUCCCCUAAUCGUUUAUUUUGAACACAUUUAUUUUUCUAGGAAGUACUCGUGAUCACUUGUGUUUGUUCAAGUGAGUAGAAAGUUUAUAUUCAAAAUCAUCUAUCCCACUAUUAUAAAUUUUAAGUAUUGAUGUUGGCGUCUAGUUAUUGCUCAACACGAUCAUAUUUUAGCAUCGAUAAUAUUGAUUUCAAAUAUAGUAUUGUUUUUAAAUUAUUUAUAAUAUAAUUCAAAGUCUUUACUAAUAAUUUAAUAAAUACUUAAUUUUAGGGAUCCUAAUAUUCACUUGAGUUAAUUGAUAUAUCAUAUAUCAUAGUAGAAUAAUAUUAUAUAAUAAUUAUAGAUUUAUCAUGCAAUAAAUGAGUAGAAAAUAUAAAAUAAAUUAAUUUAUAAUUCUCCCAACCUUAAUCACAUCUUACAAAGCCCUGAUAUCCUCUAAUUUUUUACAAUUUAUUUUAAUUACAUAGAAGUGAUGAGUAGAAAACAAAAAAAAAUGAAUUGAUAAUGAAUACAAAUAAUUUGUUAGAAAAAUUCUCAAACGAUUUUAAUUCUUAUUUGUUUUUAAAUAUAAUUUUAUUUAAAGUGGAAUUUUAUAAGAAUAAUGAAGGUCACCAAUAGCUUCAGUCUUUGGGUUAUUAAAUUUGGAUAUAUAUAUAUAUAAUAUUAAUUGUCAUGUAGUAACUUACCAUCGCACCCAUUACGAACCUUUUUUAAAAGAUAUGAUUUCUAGGUUCCAACUUUCAAUGAAAUGACCACAUACGAUGUAUAAUGCUAAACACUUGUUGACUUAUUUAAUUUUUUAAGUGAAUUUCUUUUCUAAAUAAAAAAAAGACUUGACGGGGAGGAGAGGCUGUCAUAUAUUAUUUGUCAUCUCGAUGACAGACGAGCUAUAGACAGAGCAAAGUAAGUUUUAUAUAUUGUCACGAGUCAUUGACCACAAGAAGCUGAUUCCUGGCUGCUUUUUGUUUAUUGUUAUUGUAGCAUGUGAAGAAUUUUUAACAAAAUAAAAUCAACAAUAAUCGAUUUUAUUUUUGAAUUUGCUUCUUUAUCUUCUUCAUCCAGGUCACUGUGUAAAAAUCAAUGAUGAAAAUGUUCAAUUUCUUGAAUUAUAUGAUCUAAUUUUGUUCGAUAUUUUAUUUCCCAAUAAACAUAAUAGGUUCACAACCUUUCCGGUAAGCAUAUGGUUCGACCAGCAACUGAAAAAAAUAAUAAAUAAUCAAAUUUUAAAUAAAGAAACACUUCAAAAAAAUAGAAUAGAAGAAAUACAUAAAUUUUUGUCAUUGAACUCUUUCAAACACUUCCUCCUUCCUUGAUAAAACAAGUAUUUAUCAUUUUUAUGUGUAAGGUUAAUUUGAAUAAAGAAUAUGAAUUUACAAUUUCAAGGAAAUAAAUUAAAGUUGAAUGAGUACCCAAAAAAAAAAAAAUAGAAACUCAUUUAUCUACAUUCUAGUAUCUAUAAUAAUUAUUUUGAGGGAUAUUUUAAUAAUUAAAAAAUUAAAUUUGGUGGAUAAUUUAGUGGGUCUAAAUGCCCCACCCUUUUCUUUUAGGGGUAUAUUCAGUUGAACCCACACCGAAGCUUCAGUACUCCAGCUUGGUAGAAAUUGCUUAUAGCAAGUCAAUUCAAAUUCAAUAAAAGACAAAUGACGUAACCGUGUUGGUUCCGCGUGUUGACUGUUGAGUUAUUCCUCACUUUCCCGUGUGGACUUCCACGCGCAUUUUGCGCAACAUACCCCCAUCUAAGUAGGGAAGCAGGGAUGGCAAUGGGGAGGAUAGGGGGAAGGGGAUGAAAGGGGACCAAUCUUUUCGUAUUUAUCUUCGAUAUUUUGCGUAUGUAUUCGUUUCCUCUCCGUUCCCGUCAGAAUUACUUGAGAGAAUUCUCAUCCCCUCCCUGAAUAAUAACAGGGGAUCUCCGAGGGUCCCCGAUACCUGAAUAACUAAUGCAUUUUUUUAUUUUUAAUUUUGAGUUAAUCAUAUUAAAAUAAAAAAUUUCAAAUAAAAGUAAAGUUCGAAAUAUAUCUUACAUUAAUAUCCAUUACAAAAGUCACAUACAUUAAAUUAGUAAGUAACGCAGCAUGCAAGGGAUAUAAACUUUUUUUACAAACUAUCAUGAACAAAUUAAUAGUUUAAUACAAAAUUGUUACAAAUAAAAUCGAAUUUAGAUUCAAAAUUAACUUUUUCAAUGGUGGCGUGGGUACUUUAUAAAUGUGGACUAUUCCCUUUACAACACAAUAGUUAAAUCAGAGCAAAUCAAGAGCAAAUAUUAAAUUAGAUUAAAUUAGAUAUUAAAAUUGUGAUUCGCUGUGGGCAAUUAUAACAUCUAAAAAUAAAUAAAAAUAGAUUUAAGUUUAAAAUAUUUAAAGAAUGUUAAAAUAAAAAAAAAAUUGGGCUAAUAGAAUUUACUCGGUCUUUUUAAUGUUCGAAAUAAAAAUUUAGGACUUUAAUUAGUUAAUUAGGCCUAAACGUUUAAUAAUAUAAAUAUUUUGAUAUUUUUACCAAUAUUUAUAAUUUUAUAAUUUAAAUUUUAUUAUUUAUUUAUUAGUAAUUUUUUAAAAAAUUAAAAUAAAAUUAAAAAUUAAAAUGGGGAAAUGGGUAGGGGAUGGGGAUUCCACCUCAUCCCUGUUCCCUCCCCGAAUAAGAAAUUGGGUAAAAAAAUUUCUCCGUCCCUUCCCCGAGUAAAAAAUUGGGUAUGAAAUUAUCCUCAUACCCUCCCCGAAUGUGAAAAAUUCCCGAAGGUACCCGUUCCCGUAAGGAUUUUUGCCAUCCCUACAUCUAAGUCAGUCAAGUCUUCUCUUUUUGUUAAUGUGGCAUAUUUUCUAUAUCAAGCCGUUCAUUUUGCAUAAGAAAAAUAGCAAUAACAGCUCAAUUAUUGGCUGUUCCUUCUAUAAGCAUUUUCUAACACAUAAUUGAGAAAGUCUAUAAAAUUUUAAAGAGUUCCAGGCAAGUGUAUUUUAGUCAAUCACAAUUACUUGUUUGCUAAUUCCCUGCAUUUAAAUAAGGAAGAAGCAGCCACCACACCGAUCGAUCGAUCGACCGAGAAAAAGAUGCCAAAGUUCACUCUCGGUAAUUCCUUUCGUUUUGGCAGCAAAAGAGAAACCGUCUCUAACUUUCAUUCCGAAAAUAUUGAGACGAUACUAAAAAAGUUGACUAAAGAUUGGCUUGAGCAGUUUGCUCGAGAUGCGCAGAUCCACGCCUAUCUGAUUGGGUGGAAGAAGAUGAUGACGAAGAUUAAUAAGGUGCUAGAUGAUGCUAUCCAGAAGCAGACGAAGGAGGAGUCAGUGAAGAUAUGGCUUGGCAAACUUCAGCACUUGGCUUGUGAUGUUGAUUACUUGUUGGAUGAGUUUCAAACGGAAACUUUCCAGAGGAUGUUGCUGCAAGAUGGUGUUGAUGAUGCAGUGCAUAAGUCCGAGGAUUCUACGGCCACGUCUAAACUAAAGGAGGUCAACGCUAGAUUGCAAGACAUUGCAUGGCAAACAAACCUCCUAGGUUUGAAAGAAAGUUCCGGUGGGAAGUCUAGAAAUGUCGGGCAAAGAUUUCCCAUGACCCCUUCGGUGAGUGAAGCUACCUUAUAAAUAUUGAUAUUCAAACAGAAAAAUUUUACAGCAAACUGACAGAAAUAGUGAUAAAUCGGUAUCAAUUUACUCACUUAAUUAAAAAUUAAGACAAUAGAUACUGAUUUGUCACUGUUUUUAUCAAUAUCUCGAUCUCUUUAGUAAUUUUUCGCCAAUGUAAACGGCAGGGAAAAAGAUAAAGAAGAGAUAUUGAAUCGCGCAUGCUACAAAAAUAAAGACUAAAUACUAAUGCUAAUUCAAAAUGUUUUCUUUUGUUUUGAAGCUAAUCUUAGCGGCAGUAAGAGGUGGAAGUCGAGAUCGUGGUCCUACGAUCUUUAGUCCAUUAGUCGAGAAAGAGGACUUGGCUUUUUUGAAAAAAGAAGAUUGUUUUGAUUCUUUGAAGGAAAUAGGUUCAGGUGGGUGGGGAGAAGUUUACAAAGCCGAGCUACCAGGAAGCAAUGGAAAGAUGAUUGCUAUUAGGAAGUUUAUUAUUGAUGCUCCAAUGAGCGCAGCAGAGUUGAUUAAACAAGAUAUCGAUGAACCUAUUUUCCUACGGCACUGGAAAAUUGGGGCAAUUCGGUCUGAGAUUAUCACUGCGAGUCAAACUAGGCACAGGAAUAUUCUUCCUCUGCUGGCUCAUAUGGUCCGGCCUAACUGCCAUUUACUUGUCUACGAAUUCAUGAAGAAUGGAAGCUUACAAGACAUUCUAUAUGAUGUCUCACAAGGAAGAAGAGAAUUAGAUUGGCCAUCUAGACACAGGAUUGCGCGAGGAAUAGCUUCUGGGCUUGAGUCUCUGCAUAUGUGCCAUAGGCCUCGUAUUAUCCAUAGAGAUAUCAAGCCAGCGAACGUGCUUAUAGACGAUGACAUGGAAGCCAGGAUUUCUGAUUUUGGUCUUGGAAAGCUAAUGCCUGAUGGUCAUGCACAAAUCACAGUUACGUGUAUGGUAGGAACGGUGGGAUACAUGGCGCCCGAGUAUCUCCAGACGGAAACAAUUUCUGAAAAGUAUGAUAUAUACAGCUUUGGGGUGUUGCUAGCUGUUUUAGUGAUGGGAAAAUUUCCAGUCGAUGACUUCUUCAGGAUUACAGAGGAGAAGGAUAUGGUUAGAUGGAUGAGAAAUGUCAUCUUCUCUGAGAAUCCUAACAGGGCUAUCGAUUCAAAGCUACUCGGCAAUGGGUAUGAGGAGCAAAUGCUUCUUGUUUUGAAGCUCGCUUGCUUUUGCACUUUGGAAGAUCCAGAUGAGAGACCUAACAGCAAGGAUGUUAGGUCCAUGUUGUCAGAUACAGAAUUAAUUAAGGAUUUUAUGAAAAAGCACAAGAGAAUGGAUUUUGACAGUGAUGAUUAUGAUGAACUCAUCCAACAAGAAAUCUAUACAGAGUGGCUCAGCUCAUUGGACAGUUAUAAUCCCCUCUGAGUUUUUACUUCAAAUAAUCUAUACAGAGCGGCUCAGCUCAUUGUACAAAGUAGAAACCAUUUCUGAAAUGUGGCAUAUUUUCUAUAUGCCAGCAAUCAUAUGUUUCUGGCAACACAUCAAGCCUUUCAUUUUGCAUAAGAAAAAUAGCAAGAACAACUCGCUAUCGGUACGUAGUCCCUUCCAUAAGCAUAUUCCAACACUUAUUGUGAGAAAAGGGAAAGUUCCAGGCAAGUACGUUUUAUUUUUUUAAAAAAAUGUUCCUUUAAAAAGCAACUAACCGUGUUUUACAUUUCGAUUCCGACUGUGUCUCCAUAUUUUAUUUACAAACCAGUUCAAAAGAGCUGUCAAAAUUUCAGAAUCAUGAAAAAAAAAAAAAAAUAUAUAUAUAUAUAUAUAUCGUCUGGCGAGUGGAAACACUAAAAGGCCUUUCAACCCGCACAUUAUAAAAAGUAAAUCAAAGCAUAAGCACGGAAGGCUAGAAUGUUGGAAACCAUGUUUAAGUUGGGAUAAAGGAGAUCAGAGACAUCAAAAGCGGGCCUUGAAAUUUAAAAGCAGAAAAGUAUCUCACAGGGAGUGGGACAUUAUGUUUUGAAUGUUGCAGCUAGAGGAUUCAUAUAGAGCAAAGUUCACUACGGAGGCGUGACAGCAGCCCAACAAAGAGGAAAUGUAAAAUGAUGGCCAGGAAAAAACUAUUAGCAGACGGGGAGCAAGAGAGGUUAUGUUAAUGCCUUAAUGGACUUUUGAUGCAGAGCAAGAAAUUGAAGAAAUCCUAAUUAUAUUUAAAUGUAUAAUAUUUAGGAAUAUUUUAAUUAAUUUGUAUUCUAGUUUAAUUUGGUUUCCUAUUUAGAGUCUUAUUGUUUAGGUAUUGCUUAUUUGGGUAAUAUUUCUAAUUUAGGCAUAAGUCUUAUUAAAAUAGGUUUUCUAAUCAUAUUAGGAUAAGUCUUACUUAGUAUAAAUAAGUGUCUUUUGUAGCUUUUACAAGCAGAGAAUUUUGAGUUCAAUAAUAUUUCAAUUUUCAAAUCUCUUUGUGAGUAUUUGAAUAGUUAAUUCUCGGUAUUCUGAAUCAACGAGUCUUAACCCCUAAGUUCGCGGUAUUCUUUUGAAUCAACGUGAAUUUAGUUGUUCUUUUAUUCCGGUAUUCUCUAGAAUCAACGGAAUAUUUUGAACAUUAAACUUCCGCUGCAUCAACUUUGGAAAACCAAAUGCACUCUAUUGUUAGACAUACAAACCUAAUUCUCUUAAAAUGGCUAAUAAAUGCGGAAUACUCCAAAGCUAGAUUUUUUCCCACACUGUAGCUUAAAGGACUGCAAGUUGGGAAGCAACAGUUCCUUUAAUUUACUGGAGAAGUAUUGCCAUAUUUUAUCCAAAAAAAUGCAACUCUAGUGUGAUUAAUAAUAUUUGUCCUUCUCUUCAAAAAAAAAAAAACAUGAAGUAGAGGUCUAGCAGCACCCUGUUCAAAUCAAACAAGUUAUGGGCUUAUGGGCUUAUGGCUCAGUGAGGAAAACGGAAAGCCGAUGUCAUUUUCAAAUACAUAGAAAAAGAAAGUUGGUCUCAUACCAAAUUUUUUUUUUUUUACUAAUAAAUUACAAUCAGGACUCCAAGGAUGUUUACAAUCAGAAAUCAAUUGUGACUCUUUUUCAUAAUUCUAGUAGUCUCAUACCAAAUAUUUGAAAGUCCUCAACAACAUUAAAAAUGUAGUAGUGUGUUUUACUCGGAAAAAAGCCACACAAUGAACCAUGAAACCCCACCAUACUCUAUGAUUUUAAUAUCAUGAUCAUUAUAGUAUUGCAACAUAAGUCAAACAAAAAUAUAUUUAGGUAGUGUCUACUUCACGGAUUAAAGAAUUGAAAUUCGAAAUCAAAAUAAUUGACUGCAUUUUCUUCUCAAAAUAGAGGCAGGAAUCGAAAUCGAAAUCCUUGGCCCACUCAAAUUUAGAAAUGGGGAAUGGGAGAUUGAUUCCCAAGCCCCUGAGGAUUUGACCCGAGUAAAUGAUCUUUUCUCUUGCUACCUCAAAACUCCCUUUGAGAAAAUAGCAUUAGGAGUUCAUUCUUUCUUUGUUGUUUUCAUUUUUAAAGCUUUUUAACUAAACUAGCUAUAAUCAAGGCUCAAUGACUUAAUACACAUUAAUCCAUUAAACCCAAACAACUUACUUGAGCAUCGAAGGAUUUAACACUGAAAAAAUUCUCAACUUUCUCUUAAUCGUUUAUUGUGAACGUAGAUAUUUUUAUGGGAAGUACUUGUGAUCGCUUGUGUUUGCUCGAGUGAGUAGAAAGUUUAUGGUCAAGAUCAUAUGUCCCACCAUUAUAAAUUUUAAGUGUUGACGUUGGCGUCUAAUUAUUGCUCAACACGAUCAUAUUUCAACAUCAACAGUAUUGAUUUCAAAUAUAGUAUUUUUUUAUAUUUUUUAUAAUAUAAUAAAAAAUCUUUACUAAUAAUUUAAUAAAUAUUUAAUUUUAGGGAUCCUAAUAUCUACUUGAGUUAAUUGAUGUAUCAUUCAUCAAUUAGAUAGUAGAAUAAUAUUAUAUAAUAAUUAUGCAUUUAUCAUCCAAUAAAUGAGUAGAAAAUAUAUUUUAAAAAAAUAGUUGUUAGCCAAAUCUCUACCCGAUAAGCCAUGAUUUCGUGGUAUCUUAUAAAUCUUAAAGAUUAGGGGUUGCACCCUAGAUGGCUCUUCCCCUAGGCAACUUAGGCAAUUGCCUAGGGCCCACUAUAGAUGAAGUCCCUUAAAUUUAUUCCUAAAUUAUAGUUAUUAAUUAUUGAUUUAUAUUUAUUAUUAUUUUAUAAUUAUAUUUUCCAUAAACAAAGUAUUAAAUCCUUAUAAAGUCUCCUUUUAAUAUUAUAAUUAACAAUUUUAACGCCAUUUAUUUCCUUAAUAUAUUUCAUCUAAAACUCUAUAAAGGCCACAUAUUUUUUAAAUUAUUAUCAUUAAUAUCUUUUUCCAAUUAUAAAAAGUACAUGAAACCUUCAUUGCUUUAGUGAAAAAAACUACUUUCUCUACCCUACUUUUCACUUAAGAAAAAAAAAAUCAAUUGUUUUACUUUCCAUUGAUCACUGCUACUCAAAGUCUCAAUCCAUUAAAGUUAAAGUUUUCAAAUUUCUAGAUUCUAUUUGUCCAUUCUCUUAUUAGUUAAUUAUGCUAUUUAGUUGUUUUUGUUUCUUUUUAAAAAUAUUAUUGUGUUUAUAGGUUGUUUUCCUGUAAUUAUCUAGUAUAAUUGUUUGCUUAAUUAAACUUGUUUCACUAGAAAAAAAAAUGCUACUAAAAAUUAAAUGGAUUAGGGUACAAAAAACUUCAAAAACAAUAGAAGAAUAGUAAAGUUAGUUUAAUCUAAAAAAGAAGCCAUUGAUAAAAACAUAUUUAAGAUCAACUAUGUCAUAGGAAAGAUUAAACAAGUUGACUAUAUUGUCUAUUGAAAAAGAUCUAUUAAAAAAAUUAGAGUAUAAAAAUUUGAUUAAUAAUUUUACAUCUCAAGCUAGAGAAAUUAAUUUUAAAUAAAUAAAAUUAAUACAUACAUUUUACCUUAAACUUUUUGAAAGGUCUAAUUAAAACAAUUUGCUUAAGCCUUAAAAAAUUAUUAAGCCGCCCCUGGUUAGCACCCCUUCAACCAAUGCAUAGGGGGACUCCCCAUCCCCACCACGAACCAUUUGACCAGUGAAUUUUCAUCAAUUACCACUCUAUAAACAAGCGUAAAGGCAAGGGCGGCGCUGCUACAUAUAAAUCUCAGUCAAAUAGAGGAACGUUAUUCAUAUGAUGUACCCCACCCCACAUGUUUGAACCCUUAGAUCUGGAUAUAAAGGCAAGGGCGACGCCACUUAAAUGCAUAAAUCUCAAUCAAAUGGAGAUGCAUUAAGAGUUCCGAAUAGAUAUUUAUUUUUCCCAUCAUAUACCCCACGUACGUUUUAAACCCUUGAUCUAGAAAGUCCUUCCUACAAACACCACAUAUUUCAUAGAGAUCACCAUAGGGUUCCGGAAUAGUUGAAUUGGCACCGUAUAAUACCGUGCCGAUCAAUUAAGUCUUAAAUUUCCAUUUUUUUCUCCUCUCUCGACAACCCUAAUCACAUCUUACAAAGCUUUGUCAUCCUCUAAUUUUUUGCAAUUUAUUUUAGCUAUAUAGAAGUGAUGCGUAAAAAACAAUGAAUUGAUAAUGAAUAUAAAUAAUUUAUUAAAAAAAUUAUCAAGUGUGUUUAAUUCUUAUUUAUCUUUAAAUAUAAUUUUAUAAAAAUAAUGAAGGCGCACCAAUAGCUUCAGUCUUUGGAUUAUUAAAUUUGGAUACUUUUUUUUUUAAUUGUCGUGUCGUAAGUUACCAUCCCACGCAUUACGAACCUUUUUUAAAAGAUAUGAUUUCUAGGUUCUAACUUCCAAUGAAAUGACCACAUACGAUGUAUAAUGUUGAACACUUGUUGACUUAUUUAAUUUUUUAAGUGAAUUUCUUUUCUAAAAAAAAAAAAAAACUUGACGGGGAGGAGAGGCUGUCAUAUAUUAUUUGUCAUCUCGAUGACUGACAAGCUAUAGACACAAACUUGGUUGUGGGUCUCACACGGGACCACAGCCAAGCACUAUUCAUGUGAGGGCUGUUACUUACAGUAAGGUAGUCCUCUCUUCUUCUCUUUAAUUUUUGCAUUUCGAACUUUGAUCAUUUCAGAAACAUAUCUUGUUGACUUUUGUGUUUUUAGUUAUAUUUUGUAUUACAUUUUCUGUUAUAUUGAGCUUUGAAUUUUUUUAAUUUGUAUCUAAUAAAAUCAAUAAAAUAUCUCUAAAUUUAGUUGUUCUGUAAUUAUUCUUAAAUGAAUUGUGAACUUCUUUUGAAAAUUAAUUUUGUAAUUAGAAUGCAUUAUUUAUAUAUUGAUUCAAGUCCAUUAAAAAUAUUUACGUAUUUAUUAGAAUUUCCUUUUUUUGGGGUUAAACUUGACAAAUCGAAUAGUACAAAGAGACGAAAGCCAUUUCGUGUAGUUAACUAUUAUUGAUUGCAUGUAGGUUAGAUAUAUGAUACGUAGUACCCUUUGUUGACCUCAUUACCAUAAAAUGUCGGCUGAUUUAAUAAGAAAAAAUAAUAAAUUAAAAAAAGAAUAAUAUUGUCGAAUGUAAAGGUUAGUUUUGAUAUAUUCAACAUGAUAUGUUGGGUUUAUUUGCACAAUCAUGCAAAAUAUAACUAAAAUGCACUAAAAAUACAUCAUUCACUCUCUAAGUAAUCUUAAUUAAAACUCAAAAGUGUCAUGAUAACUCUUAUUUCAUAGAUUUAUCAGCCAACCCAGCCAACCAAUAAGGAAUUUAAACAUUUGCUUGCCAAUUAAAAAGCCAUUGACAAGCAAAUGAGUAAGAUCUCAAUAAAGAAUGACGAGGAAGUACUUUUUAUUAAUAAGAAGAUACAUCUAUUUAGACGACAUAGUGAUAGAGGAUUUAAAGGAGAUGUUCCACCACUACGUCAUCUGAAUCGAUGUCUCUUCUUAUCAGUUAAGAGUGUCUUCUAGUCAUUCUUUAUUGAUGCCCCACUCAUUUGCUUGUAAAUCUCUUUUGAUCCGCAAGCAAAUUUGUAAAUUCGUCAAUGGUUGGUUGGAAACCUUGAACAGGUAUAACAAAGCUUUUAAAUUCAAGUCUCGAACCAUAGUCAAUAAUUUUUUUCAUUCUAGAUUUAGAAAUUACAGCAGUAGUACUAACCCAAAAAUUUCACGGUAUAAAAGGCUUUACCCUGUUGAAUUACUUGUCUAUUGUCAUGUUUUGUUGUGAAAUUAAUAGUAACUCAUUCUCCAGAAGUUGUAACUGCGUGUUAUUCUUCUUUAAAAAAAUAGUUGCAAACGUGUCAUGAGUUUUAGCCUUUCUUUUGUGUUGUAACAUCUCUUCUUCAAUUACACUAUUGAUAAUCAAUAUGGCCUUCUCAGCUUUAAUGUUCUACUUUUUCAAAGUGGCAUCCUCAGUUGGUGAUUUUACUUCGUUAUCGCAAACGUUCUCCUAGAGGUCCUGGCCUUGUAAGUAGGACUCUAUCAAUGUUGCUGAUGUAUUGUAAUUUUUGUUAUUGAGUUCCUUAACUCUUCCAACUAUUUGAAGGUUAUCGAUCGUGUUUGUAAAACUUUGACAAUGCCAACCAAGCUCGAUCUUCACAAAUGAACUUGCAUAAUUUCGAACUACUCAUAAUUCAACGAAGCCCCAUCGAGGAUCGUCCUUGCUGUACUCUCGUAGCUUCUCCACGAAAGUCUUUGACUAUUGUGAAAUUCCGACAACAUUGCUACAGUGGUCUCCGACCAACCACACUCUAAUAUUAAUUGUUGAAAACUGUGGAAGACUAAACUGCACGAAAAUAAAACUAUUUGGGAAAUUUUAUAAUCUCGUUAAUCUAAAUGACUUUAUUAAUAUUUUCCAAGAGAGAUACUACAACACUCAUGAUUUACUUUUCUUUCUCUCUUUUAAUUCUUCACUCUCACUUCAUACUUAAGCAAAUAAUACAAGGGAGUAUUUAUAGUACAUAAAAACAAAUAUAAACCAUUCAAAUAAAAAAUUACAAAAAAUUAAUAAUCAUACAUUUCAUCUGCCAUACUUAUCACCAAUAAUAUCACCUACCACUAAAUUUUUUUUUUAAUGCUCAUAAAACCUUUUCUGAGUUAGGCUUAUUAAGCUGGGCUUUGGAAGAUGGUGAUGGGCUUAUUUUAACAUCUCACUUAAUAAACUCAGAACUCAACAAUUCCCGAUGUUCUGAUCUUGUCCAAGAAACUUCAUAUUCUGCCAACGAUUUCCAAUCUUCAAAUAAAAAUUGAAAAUCUCAAGGCCUAUGGCGAACAUAAUUGGCAUAGGUGGAAGGCAAUCUUGAAACAAGAUUAAUUCAACAAUCCUUCGACAUCUAUCUCUGAUGUUGCAGCAAUUAUUCUCCUUGAACUCACUGCCAUACAAGCAAUUUGUUCUAUUGUCGAAUUAUGGGGCUCGUAAAAUGGUUUGUUGGAUUUUCAUGUUUCAAGUGGGUAAUGUAUGUUUAUUAUAUCCACCGUAUUAUGUAAUCAUUUUUUUGCUUUAUGCUAUAUAUCAACAAUUUGUAAAGACUUUUGUAAAUACCUUGCGAAUGAAGCUCUCAAACGAAGAAGAAUGAUCAAAUUCAAUUAAUUUUUUUCUUUAUAUCUUCGUGAGAAAGAGAGAGAGAAAAAUGAAAACAAAGAAAUUGUAAAAAAAAUGCCGAGAAUCAAAAGAUAAUGAUUCAAUAUUGAGCACUGAAUCAACAAUUAGUAGAUAAGAGAAAUAACACACAACCAUUACAAGAACAAAAAAAGAAUUUUACUACUAGACAAAAAAAAUUUGUGUCUUCGUAGGAAAUUUUGUGCUAUUGUCGAUACAUACAGCAUUAUUCGAAACAUAUAUGCAGGUAAUGUUGCAUAAUUAUACACCACUCAUGCAACAUUACGUAUUGAGCAAUCUACCGCUUUUUAAUAUUAAAAUAAACAAGGCCUACGAAGAAGACUUUGAUUUUACCAUAGAAAAAUCUCAACGAAAGCGAGGGCCCACAAAAUUAAUAUUGAUAAAAUAAUAAUAUAGAACUGAUCUGAACAGAGAAAGCAUGCAUAUUAAACAACAAAAGGAGGACAGCCAGUAGGGAUGGCAAUGGGGAGGGGAGGGGAGGGGACCAAUCUCCCCAUACCCAUCCCCGAUAUUUUACAUAUGUCCCCGUCCCCUCCCCGUCCCCGUCAGAAUUGCUUGAGAGAAUCCCCAUCCCCUCCCCGAAUAAUAACAGGGGAUUCCCGAGGGUCCCCGGUCCCCGAAUAACUAAUAGUCUAAUACAUUUUUUUUUAUUUUCGAUUUUAAAUUAAUCAUAUUAAAAUAAACUCAUACCGCUAUUGUAAGCUCGUAACCAACUUUGACAGCACAUUAAGGCCUCCAAUGUGCUUGGAUGAAGUCUGUUAUGGUAUGGGCUCACAACUCUACCACUAGUGUUAAAAGCUGAUUCAUAAGCAACUGUUGUAAUUGGAAUUGCCAAAAUAUCUCUAGCAAUUCGAGCUAAUGUAGGAUACCUAUUAGCAUUUGUCUUCCACCAACUCAAAAUAUUAAAAUCUUCCAUCCGAGGUAUAACUUUCUCAUCCAAAUAUGAAUCUAAUUCAUCUGCAACAACUGCACAAUCUCCAUUGUUUACAUAAUCAUCAAAACCUAUCAUCCAUUUGGUUGCUUUCUUAUAAGAAUCCCCUGUAGAUCUAGUAGAAGAACUACUACCAGUAUAAUCAAAGCAAUAAACAGUUGGUGAAAACUUCAAUUAAUACUCUUCAACUAAUUCCCGGCAAAAGGUGACCACUUUCCCAACAUACAACUAUUUUGAUAUUUAUUAUUUUUAACAAUAUUUAUAAUUUUGUUAUUUAUUUAUUAGUAAUUUUAAAAAUAAAAAUAAAAUUAAAAAUUAAAAUGGGGAAAUGGGUAGGGGAUGGGGAUUCCACCUCAUCCCCGUCCCCUCCCCGAAUAAAAAAUUGGGUAAAAAAUUUUCCCCGUCCCCUCCCCGAAAAAAAAAUUGGGUAUAAAAUUAUCCCCGUACCCUCCCCGAAUGGGGAAAAUCCCCGAGGGUACCCGUCCCCGUGGGGAUUUUUGCCAUCCCUAACAGCCAGAUCCAACGGUGGCUGCAACAAAAACUCCUGUUUUAGGCACACAGGCCAUUCAUAUGCAAUACCAAGUUGGUCAAGUACUCAAGUUCUUGACUGGUCUCAAUUUCUUCACAAGCAAGAUCUGGUUCUCAUGAAUUUGCUUCCCCAUCUUCUUCAUCCAGGUCACUGUGCCUUGUUACUUUAUCAUUGCCCUUGUGUUUGUUUGAAAAAUAUUAUUCCACGUAUUUGUUUUAGGUUUGUUUGUAUUGCCAUCUAAUUUAGACCGAAAAUUUUGACAAAAAACUGUAUAUAUAUUUGAAGUUCUGCCAAGAAUAAACUAUGCACCAACAUUAAAAAUAAAAAAGGAUUUUUUUGUAAAAAUCUGUUUCUUAGAGGUUUUUAAACUUCGGUUUAUGUGACCACAAGAAGCUGAUUCUUGGCUGCUUUUUGUUUUUUUUUAUUGUACUUGAAUAGACUAAAAGCAUGUGAAGAAUUUUUAACAAAAUAAAAUCAACAAUAAUCGAUUUUAUUUUUGAAUUUGCUUCUUUAUCUCCUUCAUCCGGGUCACUGUAGAAAUCAAUAAUGAAAAUGUUCAAUUUCUUGCAAUAUAUGUUCUAAUGUUGUUCGAUAUUUUAUUUCCCGAUAAACAUAAUAUGGUCACAACGUUUCCGGCAAGCAUAUGGUUCGGCCAGCAACUGAAAAAAAUAAUUUAUAAUCAAAUUUUAAAUAAAGAAACACUUCAAAAAAUAGAAUAGAAGAAACACAUAAAUUUGUGUUUUCUUUGGUUUUUAAUAUUAAUGUGCUUAUAGUUUUAAAAAAAAGCAAAAUAGUCAAUGAUUUGACACAUAAUUUUAAAUUGUUUUAAAUUUUUAUAUUUUUAUCAAUUGAUUUAAUUUUAUUAUUAAAAAUUAAUGAUAGUAUAAGGACAAUAACUUGCAAAACCUUUUAAUACAUAUAAUCUUUUUUAUUUUUUUGAAAACAACAUAAAAUCUAUUCAAUCAAUAAUAAAUAAUUUAAAUAUAUGAUUAAAUUUUAACUUAAUAAUAAUAUGACUAAAUAACAAUUUAAAAAAUUCAAAAUAAUUAACUAUAGUUUAGUAUUCAAAUAUAAAUAAUAGAAAUAUACUCUAAAUGUAAAUAUUAGAAACAUAUUGGAUUUAUGUGUUAAAAUCUUAAAGCUUCUUUUUUUUUUUUUUACUUUUCAACAAAUAAGAGGGAUCUAAAGUAAUUUACCAAAAAUUAAGGGUACCAUGCCCUCGGGGCACCAUAGCUUCGUCCACAUUUCUAGUAUCUAUAAUAUUAUAAUAAUUUUGAAGGAUAUUUUAAUAAUUAAAAAAAUUAAAUUUGGUGGAUAAUUUAGUGGGUCUAAAUGCCCCACCCUUUUCUCUUAGGGGUAUAUUCAUCUGUGUACCUGCUACUAGCGCAAUGCAAUUCCCGAAAAGCUUGAGGACCUUUGAACAAAAUUUUUGUAGAUCCGCUGAUUCUAAAUACUAUUUUACAUUCCUUUUCACACAAACUUAAAGGAUAGAAAUGGCUUUUUCAAAGAUUCAACAUCAAACCCUAGAAUGGGAAAUAAGUCGGCCUAAAUUUGACAAAUUUGAUUUGAUCAAUCAAUCAAAAGACUUUAAACCCACUUUCAAAAUUGUAGGAUGAUACCGUACGGCAAUGCAAUUGUUAUUCAAAUUUCUUCCCUUCUUAAACGUUAACCUAACUGGUGGGCACGACUUAGAGAAUUCAUCAGUGCAUGACUACGGCCUGUGCCUGGCAUUUUCUUAUUUAAAAAUAAAAAAUAAAUAAAUAGAUAAAGAAAAAGUAUAUUGUUCAAACUUACGGCGCCCAAAGAAAGGGAAAAAAAAAGGAUAAAAUUAAUGAGAAUUAAAGAUAUUCUCCAAUAAGAUCCAUUUUUUCAUUCAAAAGGUUACAAGAAAAGUUGUGUUUUGUUCACAAGUUUAUAUUAAACAACAGGUUUUACAACGUGGCAUACACUAGAGUUUCAACACUGCAAGUGCAAUAUUUCUUUCCUUAAUUUUUCAAAAUAAACAUGCUUCUUGGUUGAAAGAAAUUGAGGGUUCAAUUUGAUUUUCUCAAUGAAUGAUGAAAGCUACAUACUGGUUGGCAGAUUGUUGUUUUAUAUCAAACUCAACGUAAUGGAAAAAGUAUGAUGAAUAUAAAUUAAUAUAUAGAUACAUAAAACAACGAAGAAAAGUACUAAACCCAAUCUCCCGAACAUGCAUGAAAAAAACUUCUAAAACCACCGACUUGUUAUAAUGUAAAAUAGUCAAUAGCUUACACUUCUAAUUUCAUUGGAUGUGAAAGUAAUGCCAAAUAGAUUUUUGCUUGGACAGUUGAACCCACACCGAAGCUUCAGUAAAUUGCAGUUCCACCAGCGGCCGGCUCAACUUAACUGAAAAAAAAUGAAAGAAAAAUGACAUAACCGUGUUGGUCCCACGUGUUGAGUUCGUGUGGACUUCCGUGCGCAUUUCGCGUAACAUACCCACAUGUAUGUAAGUCAGUCAAGUCUUCUUCUCUUUGUUAAUGUGGCAUAUUUUCUAUAUUUCAGCAUUCAUGUGUUUCUGGGAAGUGGGAACAUAUGAAGCCUUUCAUUUUGCACAAGAAAAAUAGGAAUAACAGCUCAAAUAUUGGCAGUUCCUUCUAUAAGCAUUUUCUAACACAUAAUUGAGAAAGUCUAUAAAAUUUAAAAGAGUUCCAGGCAAGUGUAUUUUAGUCAAUCACAAUGACUUGUUUGUUAAUUCCCUGCAUUUAAAUAAGGAAGAAGAAGCCACCAGACCGAUCGAUCGACCGAGAAAAAGAUGCCAAAGUUCACUCUCGGAAAUUCCUUUCGUUUUGGCAGCAAAAGGGAAACCGUCUGUAACUUUCAUUCCGAAAGUAUUGAGACGAUACUAAAAAAGUUGACUAAAGAUUGGCUUGAGCAGUUUGCUCGAGAUGCGUAGAUCCAGGCCGAUCUGAUUGGGUGGAAGAAGAUGAUGGUGGAGAUUAAUAAGGUGCUAGAUGAUGCCAUAGAGAAGCAGACGGAGGAGGAGUCAGUGAUGAUAUGGCUAGGCAAACUUCAGCACUUGGCUUGCGAUGUUGACUACUUGUUGGAUGAGUUCCAAACGGAAGCUUUCCAGACGAUGUUGCUGCAAGAUGCUGAUGCGAUGUCUAAAGUAAAGGAGGUCAAUGCUCGAUUGCAAGAUAUUGCAUGGCAAAUAAACGUACUAGGUUUGAAAGAAAUUUCCGGUGGGAAGUCCAGAAAUGUCAGGCUAAGAUUUCUCACAACCCCUUCGGUGAGUGAAGCUGGCUUAUAAGUAUUGAUAUUCAAACAGAAAAUUUUUACAUAAAACUGACAGAAACAGUGAUAAAUCGAUAUCAAUUUGCUCACUUAAUUAAAAAAUUAGGACAUUAGAUACUGAUUUGUCACUGUCUUUAUCAAUAUCUCGAUCUCCCUAGCAAUUUUUCACCAAUGCAAAUGGUAGAGAAAAUGAUAAAGAAUAGAUACUGAAUCGCCCAUGCUACAAAUAUAAAGACUAAUUACUAAUGCUAAUUCAAAGUGUUUUCUUUUGUUUUGAAAGCUACUCUUAGCGGCAGUAAGAGGCGGAGGUCGAGAUCGUGGUCCUACAGUCUUUAGUCCCUUAAUCGAGAAAGAGGACUUGGCUUUGUUGGAGAAAGAGGAUUGCUCUGCUUCUUUGGAGAAAAUAGGAUCAGGUGGGUGUGGAGAAAUUUACAUUGCCGAGCUAACGUGUUUCUAGAGAAUUCUUUUGCACCCUAUUUUUUGCGUUAUAUAUAUAUUUUUGAGUCAAUUGUUAGAGAUCAAAUUCAGUCUUUUUUUUUAUAGCUGAAAUUCAGGCUUAAUUUAAGAUGAUUACAGGAAAUUGAAUCUCAAGUAAAAUAAUAAAAUGAAAAUUCUUUAUUUAUAGUUAGUUCUAGCAUCAGAAUGCAUGAUGGUAUUAUUUGUUUUUUCAGUUAUUUUGGAAUUUUGUCUUAUUUAUACAUCUUGGUGAAAUUGUUGUAUGUUCAUUUUGUUUGUCGUGAUUGCUUAUAAGCUAUUGUUAUGUUGAUAAGUAUGGCUUAUUAAUAAUUUUCUUUGAUUAUUGAUAGAGUUUCCUCCAAAGCACAAGGCUGGUUCUCAAAAAGAGGUGAUGGGAGUGCUUUCAUUUGAAGUUUUGAGCUUGAUGUCUAAGGUGGUUCACCUUUGGCAGUCUUUGAGUGAUGAGCAGAUUGUUAGAUUGAGAGCUGAGUUACUAAAUUCUGUGGGCAUAAAGAAGCUUGUAUCGGAGGAUGACGAGUUUAUUGCAAGUUUAAUAUGUGCUGAGAUGAUUGACGAUUUGGCCCACGUGGCGAAAUCUGUGGCUAGGCUUGGGAAGAAGUGUAAUGAUCAGGGUUUAAAGAGUUUUGAGAUUGCUCUAGAAAAAUUUGUUAAUAUUGGUUCUGACCCAUAUGGGUUGGAGUUUUCAUGGAAGAAGAUGGAAAAGAAAGUCAAGAAAAUGGAACGUUUCAUUUCAAUAAAUGCAACUUGGUACCAAGAGUUUGAAAUGCUUUCGGAUCACAUACAAACUCUGAAGAGAAUGAAGAUUAAUGAUGGUGAGAUAGAGUUUCAAAAGAAGGUUGCAUGGAAGGAGCAGGAGGUGAAGAAUCUAUGGAAGGUCUCUCUUUGGAAAAAGACUUAUGAUUAUACAAUUCCGCUUUUGGGAAGAUCACUAUUUACAGUAUUUGGAAGGAUACGAUAUGUCUUUGGAAUAAAUGUGAGUGUGGAUGUCGAGGAUUCAAGAGAUAUGUCUUCUGAUUAUAUUUACCGCAGCCAAUCAGUUUCUGCAUUAUUGCAAUCUCCAGUUCAUCCAUCUGAGAAUACUGGUAUACCUAGAUUUUCUUCAGGUCCCCCUGGAAAAUUUACUGCUAACUCAGGUCCUAUUUCAAAACCAAAAAGAAUGAAUAAUUAUCAUUCAGGUCCUCUUAGUGCUAUGAGCACAAAAUCGGGUCCUAGCAUGAUGGCUGCAGAUAUUUCUCCUGUUGCCAACCGUUAUUCAAUUCCAAAUAUUUUGGGAGCUCUUAAUGAAGCCAAAGAGAGCAAUGUCAAGCAAAUUCCUCAGGCCCAUAGAGUUCAAACAAGAUCUUCAAUAUUCAGUUCCAAGGGCAAGUUGGUAGAUGCUUCACCCGAGACUCUUGGUGGUGCUGCUUUAGCGCUACACUAUUCAAAAGUCGUUAUUGUAAUUGAGAAGCUGGUGGCAUCUCCUCACUUGAUUGGUCAUGAUGCAAGGGAAGACUUGUACAAUAUGUUACCUGCAAGUGUGAGAGCCACUUUGAGAGCAAGGUUAAAGCCAUAUACAAAGAGCUUAGCUUCAUCAGUGUAUGAUACAGAGUUUGCAGGCGAGUGGACUGCAGCAAUGAGUGCGAUUUUGGAAUGGUUGGCUCCACUUGCUCAUAACAUGAUUAGAUGGCAAUCUGAGCGGAGCUUUGAGCAGCAGAGAGUAGUUUCCAGGAGCAAUGUUCUUCUUGUACAGACUCUGUACUUUGCAAAUCAAGAAAAGACAGAAGCAGCAAUUACUGAGCUUCUUGUUGGCCUUAAUUAUGUCUGGACAUACAGCAGAGAACUCAAUGCAAAAGCUUUGCAGGAAUGUGCUAGCAGCAGAGUGUUUGAUGAAUGCUUGGAUUUGGAAGGGUAAGAUUAUUCACUGACUGUUGCGAUCAUCAUCAGAAUACCAUUGCCUCACCACUUCAUUGGCUUUCGGGGAUACAUGGUUGCAAAGGAUUUCUAUGUUCUGGCUAGUCCACAAGGCUUCUCUGUUCUAGUCAACAACAAUGACGUGGAGCAUGGGCAAAACUCCUAUCCGCUCUAUCGAAAUUCCAUAUACGUAAAUGCACUACCUUAAGUUAAAGAUAUAGGUUUGAGUAAUAACAAUAUAGUUUUGUUGAGAAAUGGCAAUGCACUUCUGCGUGCCAAAUAUGAAAUUAAGCUAUCAUUCAGUGAAAUUUGUAUACUUAUUUAGGGAUAAACUUGUGUAGUAAUUGUAAAUUUUUCCACAUUAGGCUUUUCAUUCAUGUAUAUAGCCCCUCAUGAUCUGGCUUGCUUCUUUUUGAGUGGCAUACUGGUAUUGAUAUAGUUAUGUGAUUGUGAGCUUUCGGCUGUGUGGGAACUGAAAAUGUAAUUCAGGUUGCAGAAACAAGAUCUUGAAUUCAAUUUAUCAUAUUUAUAUUCGAUAGGAUGGCAUAUUCGCAAAUCAAUUGCAGCCAAUUGUAUUCAGUGACAUUGCUUGAUGCCUAUUGGCGAAUGAAUCUGGUGACUCAUUUUUAUUUACGUUCUUUCAGUUGUCGAUGGUGCUAAUGGUACUAAUAUACUCAGUUUGUGAGUGAUGAUUGUUGAUGCUGAGAUCUGCUCGUCCUUGGACCGACCAGAUUCUUUCAUCAACGCUUAAGUUAUCGACUGUUGCUCGAACCACUAAGGCCGGGAUCACCCUCCUUUCUCUCACUAGACCUGCGUUCACCAAAAAUGGAUCAGAGACGCCGGUGGUUUUGCCGGCGUAAACCCUCCGAUGCUUAAGUUAGCACAAGGUGUUUACGGGAAAACAAUAUAAUUUGGGUUCAAGAAGUUUGUUCGAGAUCUGUAAGAAAAUAGUCUCGUUGCAAUUUGGCAGCGUUUUCCCUCUCUUAAUUUUUUUCUGUCCUGUCUUCUUCGAUGUCUUUCUCUUUUAUAGCCGCCCUUUGUCCCACGUUUUUCGUUUGCCCCUUAUCCCUCCUUUUUCGGGUGGUGGUAGCCCCUCAUGGGACUCUAACUGUUAGAUUGUGGACAAACGUGGAUCUCGCGUGUCCUUCAACCGUUCUAGGAGAAGCGCAACUACCGCGAUUUUGUGAGAUCGUGUUCCCGCUUUCCUGGGGAUGAGUAUCGGCUCGGCGUAUACUUCUGGUCGGUAUGUUUUCCUGGUCGCAUUCAUCUCGGGUCGGCUCCUGUUUAAUCCCGUGUUCUGCUCGUACCAUAUAGCUGAAACGAUUCGUGCUGGGGCGGAACCAGUAGCAUGGCCGACCUGGUGCCUUUAUGUACUCAACACCAGUCCCCCAGUUUCUGGUCUGGCGAGUGAAAUGAGUUAAGAGUAGAAACUGAUGGUCAAAUCUCACCAGCCCGGGGAGCUUCUCAUCUGAUCCUCUUUUUAUUGAGACGGGCCUGACCUGAUGUACCAUUUCUCUACUGAGGAGACUCCGACCUGAGCGUGGGCCUAAGUGAACCUGCCCAUAGCAUAUCUGGGCUUACUUCUAACCUGGCCUCUUGUAACGGUUGGUGACGUGGCAUCUCCAGACUCUUCGUAUUUGAAAUUUGAAACGACGGGCUAUCCGUUCUCGAUAUAUGGGGGGGGGUGAGCUGGCAUAUCCCAUCACUUAAAUGCUUCCAUUUCCCCCUUUUCGUUUCAAAUCCCUAGACUGGAGUCAUCAUUAUCUUGCUAUUCGUUUCUCCGCCGUCAACCAAAUUUUCUCUGAACUUUGCUCACACUUCCAGCGUCCGGAGUAUCCAUUCGCCGGGUGUUUUCUCUGUCACGGCAGCGCUAUCAGUGUCAGUCUAUUCCAGGUAUAGUCUUUAACCCUUUCCUCUGGUUGUUGUUGAUUGGGUUCUGUGUUGCCUUCUUUGUGUCCAUAUACUCGAGUUUUCUCUGUUUUCUUUUGGGGAUUUCGGUAUGUCAAAUCGGAAGAGGAAGUUAAUUGUUGAUGAGGGUGAUGAAGAGUCAGGGGACUCAGGCCUCAAUGUGCCAAUACCCACUGAUUACUUAGGCCCCUCCAGUAGUGUAGGUCCUUCCCAUGGCAGGGAUACCCUUGAAUACCCACGCCCUUUGGUUAUCUCUCCUUCCCCCGAACUAGAGCUUGUAGGGAAUAGAGGUGGACCUGCGUCGGGCUCUGGUGAGAAUCACAGUUCUGGUGGGGUUGGGAUCCCUGAAGGAGUUAGUGAUGGUAAAGGGAGCAGUUCCGGACCGAGCAGACCUGCUCAGAAAAGGAACCUAGGCCAUAUGGUGGAGGCUGAUUCCUACCCUAUUGAUUUCAUGGCUUGUGCCACCACCCCCACCGAUCUAUUUAAACUUAGGAAUCUCUACAACAUCCCCAACGAUGUUCUUCUUGUAGUCCCUGGGAAGGGUGACGUUCCUAGUCGGCCUCCGCGGGGGUAUGUGACGAUGCACCUAGAGAGUUUUAAACUAGGAGCUCGGCUGCCCCUUCAGCGUUAUUUUGCCAAGAUAUUGGAAGGUAUGCACCUGGCCCCAGGUCAGCUACACCCGAACGGGUGGAGGGUUCUAUCGGCUAUGUUUGUGUUGUGGGAGAGGUGCGGGUUGGAGGAGCCUUCCCUUGUUGAAGUGAAGCAUUUGUAUCAGCUGCGGAGCAGCCCAAGGGAGGCGGGCUGGUACUACUUCAUGUCCAGUUCUGCAAAGAAAAAGCCAAUCAUCGGUUUCCCCUCAUCGUGCAAGAAUUGGAAGAACAAAUUCUUCUUUGCUGGGGGAAAAUGGUGUUCAGCACUUCGUUCGUUGAGUGGUGAUCUUUACCUACCAACGCAGUUUGUCACCCCAGGUCGUUCAUUUUUUGCCUGUAUUCUCUUUCGAAUUGCCACUUAUUGGGUUCUUUAACCUUGUUUGUUAUUUCAGAGUCAUGGGGUUUGAUCGGGGGGCUUGAAGAUCGUCCCUUGCUUCAGGUGGAAACUGCUCUGGUGAAUGCUUCUACUUGCCAAGACCUCCUGUCUCCAACAAACUUGGUCGGUUCGGGCCUAGUGGAUAUAGCCGAUGGAAUGGAUAACAAGAUCCUCAGCGCGAUGAGCAGGAAGCGUGGUCGGGCCCCGAGCAGCUCCAGCAACCCUCCUCCUCCUCCGAAGAAACCUACCGUCGGUCCUUCCAAGGCGCCUGUUCCUGCUCUGCCUCCUCCUCCACCUCGUAAGAGUGGUGGGGAGAAAACCUCUGACAAGAGUCCUGAGGUCAGCUUGCAAUCUGGGGACCGAUCUUCUCCUCUCCCAUCUCGGGAUCAAGGUGAUUACCUGAGUCCAUAUCAGAAGGAUUAUAAAAAAUCGGUUGGGCCUAAGAUGGUGAAGGACAUCGAGAGCAUGAGCCUCUCCGAGUUGGCUGCUUCUGUUCAGAGAGUCUCAUUCAGGCUGGCCACAAUGGUCUCGUGCUACAAGAUCGGGUCCGCGCGUCAUGAGAAGAAGCUCCAGGCUGAUAACCAAGAGUUGAAAAAGAAAGUUGAAUCUGCUGACCGCUCCAAGGAGAAAUUGGCCGAGCUGAACAAACAGCUUACGGAGCUUGAGGAGAAAGUUGCUGUUGCUGAGUCCACUUCCUCCAAGCUUGAGGGCGAGUUGGGUGACCUGAGAUCUGAUCUUCAGGCUACUCAAAUUGAAAGGGAUACUCUGAGGGCUGCCCUUGAGAGGGAAAUCAAAUCCUUGGGUGAGCAGCUGGCUGAGGAGAAAGGCAAAUCUGCUGAUGUGGACGAUCGGCUGGAUGCCGAGUAUGACUCUGGGGUUGCCUUCUCCUAUAAGUGCAUCAUGUCUGUGCUUAAGGAAGAAUAUCCCGAGCUGGACAUGAGCAAGCUGGAGGCUGGAGUGGAGAGGUACAUGGCUGGGGUCGGCCAGGGAGAUAAGGAGCAAGGUGAGCAGAAUCAGGUGGAGGCUCCUUUAUAUGAGGUGCAAAAGGGGGGAGCUGGGGGACGUGCUUUUGAAAUUAGACAAGGAUCCAUGCCGCCUCCUCCCAGUAUUGCUGAUCCUCCACCUCCUGGGACAACUGAUCCUUCACCUGCUGAAGCCGUUGACCCUUCUAAUCCUUAGGUCUAUUUUUGUAUAGACUUUAGAUUUUCAUUAGUUUUGUAACCAACUGAACAUUAAUAAAUUUUCAGAUGCUCUUUAUUGGCUCCCUUGUCUAAUGUCUACUCAUAGACUGUUUCUGCAAAAUAAUUGCACAACUUAUCUGAUCUUGCCUGCUGGUUCCUUAGUGGACCGAGUAGGUGUAGGUAUUUACUUGCCUUAGUAAACUUCUCGUAGAAUUAGCUGCUGGUCUUUCGUUGACCGAGCAGAAACAGGCACUUUGUUGCCUUAGUAGAAAUUUUGAAGCUUUAGCUGCUGGUCUUCGUUGACCGAGCAGAAGUGGGCACUUGCCUUAGUGAACUUUCGAGAAUUUAGCUGCUGGUCUUCGUUGACCGAGCAGAAGUAGGCACUUGCCCUAGGAGAGUGUUCGUAGCUUUAGCUGCUGGUCAUUCGUUGACCGAGCAGAAACAGGCACUUUGUUGCCUUAGUAGAAAUUUUGAAACUUUAGCUGCUGGUCUUCGUUGACCGAGCAGAAGUGGCACUUGUCUUAGUGAAAUUUUUAUUGAUCUUGCUAGCAGGGGGAUUUCAUGCUGAAUUCAUCUUUAUUGAAAUUUGAAUGUAUUACAAAAACAUAGAAUAUAUGCAUGUGCGACAGGCCAUCAGGCAUUGUAACAGAAAUAACUUGCCAGAAUGAGGAUUUAAUAGAGCAUUUUGCUUACUGGAAAUACUUCUUCAGGUGUUCGGCGUUCCAUGACCUCUUCACAGCUCGUCCGUCUUGGCACGCUAAUUUAUAUGCUCCUGGUCCAGUGGCUCGUAUCACUCGGUAUGGGCCUUCCCACUUUGGGCCAAGAGCGCCAUGGUUAGGAUUCCUGGUGUUCUGGUUCACCUUCCUAAGUACCCAAUCUCCUGCUCGGAACUGCCUCACGCGUACAUUCUUGUUGUAAUAACGCAUGACCCUUUGCUGACAUUGGGCCACUUUCUGCGAGGCCCCUUCCCUUUUCUCCUCCAGUAGGUCUAGGCUUAAGCAGAUCUGCUCGUCAUUUUGCUCCUCAACGAAAUGUUCCGUUCUAUGUGUCCCCACUCCAAUCUCUGCUGGGAUUACUGCCUCAUGACCAAAAGCUAAAGCGAACGGUGUUUCUCCUGUGGCGGUUUUGUGAGUUGUCCUGUAGGCCCACAGUACCCCUGGUAGCUCGUCAACCCAAGCUCCCUUCUUCUCCCCCAAUCUAGUCUUUAUGAGCUUCUUUAUCACCUUGUUGGCUGCUUCCACUUGCCAGUUUGCCUGGGGGUGUGCGGGGGUGCAGAACUUCAGGUCCACCCCCAGGUUUCGGCAAAAUUCCCUGAAGUUGCCGUUGUCAAAUUGCCUCCCAUUGUCUGUUAUGAUGGCGUAGGGGAUCCCAUAUCUGCAGAUGAUGUUUUUCCAAAUAAAAUCUGUUAUCUUCCUCUCUGUGAUCUGGCUGAGGAUUCCUACUUCCACCCACUUGGUGAAGUAGUCUAUUGGCACGAUUGCAUGUGUCGCCGCUCCUCGUCCCUUUGGUAAUGGACCAAUCAAGUCGAUUCCCCAUUGAGCGAAAGGCCAUGGGGAUGUCAUAGCCGUCAGUUUCUCCGGUGGUUGUGCAGGAACCUCGGAGAAGCUUUGGCAUGUUUUACAAUUCUUGGCCAUCCUUUUGGCAUCCUGGUGCAUGGUUGGCCAGAAGUAUCCUUGCCGGAGUGCCUUGAAGGCUAAAGUUCUUGCUCCCGAGUGAUUGCCGCAUAUUCCCUCAUGAAUCUCUCUCAGCACAUAAUCCGCCUCCUCAUCAUCCAAACAUCUCAAAAGGGGUAAGGUGAACCCUCGGCGGUAUAGCACUCCAUCUAGUAGCGUGUACCUCGCUGCUCGGCAUUUUAACUUUCUUGCUUGCCUUUUGUCUUCCGGUAAAACUCCAUUGCGGACAUAUGCGCGAAUCGGGUCCAUCCAGGAUUCUCCAAUAUUUACACUCAUCACCUCUGCUUCUUUCUCAAUACUUGGUGAGGUCCUUACCUCUAGUGGAACUGACUUCGGUAAUUUUGGAUCUGCGAUGGCUGCCAUCCUAGCCAGCAUAUCGGCUCGGAAAUUCUCAUUCCGGGAUAUCUGUUUUACCUCCACUGCUUGGAAAAGCCCAACCAUCUGCUUCGCCUUCUUCAAAUAAAGACCCAUCUUCUCUCCCUUCGCUUGAAACUGAUCAUUGAGCUGAUUACACACCAAUUGGGAAUCUGCUCGAAUUUCUACUCUCUCUGCUCUGAGAGCGUGUGCAAGUCCGAGCCCGGUGAUAAAGGCUUCAUACUCAGCUUGGUUGUUUGUGAGUUGAAAUUCGAACUUCACCGCGUAUGUUACCUCGGUUCCCUCUGGGCUCCGUAUUACAGCUCCUGCUCCGGAUCCUUGCUCACUACAUGAUCCGUCAACCAUUACCAGCCAUAUCUCCUUUGAAUCCUCGUGCUCUACCGGUUGUUCCUCUUGGACCUCUUCCCCCGGUUCAACACGGUCCACCAUAAAAUCUACCAAGGCUUGGGCCUUGAUUGCUCCUCGGGGCCUGUAGGACAGGUCAAAUUCGCUCAGCUCUACGGACCAUUUUACUAACCGACCAGACGUAUCUGGUUUUUGAAGUACUUGCCGAAGUGGCUGGUCAGUCAUCACAACGAUCUGGUGGGCUUGGAAGUAUGGUCGGAGUUUGCGUGCUGCCGUUAUCAAUGCCAGCGCCCACUUCUCCAUUAGUGGAUAUCUGGUUUCUGCGUCCACCAGGGCCUUGCUUGUGUAGUAUACCGGGUGUUGCUUCCCUUCUACUUCCCUGACUAAGACCGAGCUGGUAGCCUGCUUAGAGAUUGCCAAGUAUAAGAGCAGCUGGUCACCCUCUCUCGGAGUUGAUAGUAACGGGGCGUGGGCUAGAUAUUCCUUCAGCUGUCCAAAUGCCCCCUCGCAUUCCGGUGUCCAUUCCAUCUUCUUCCCUUUCUUUAUGACUUGGAAGAAAGGGUGACAUUUAUCAGUGGCUCGCGAAAUGAAUCGGUUCAAUGCUGCCAACUUCCCCGUAAGGCUCUGCACCUCCUUAACUGUUCGUGGGGACCUCAUUUCUAUCACCGCCCGUAUCUUUUCUGGGUUGGCUUCAAUACCUCGAUGGCUCACCAGGUAUCCCAAAAAUUUACCCGAACUGACCCCAAAUGCACAUUUCUCCGGGUUCAGCUUCAUUUUGUACCUCCUCAGCAAUUCGAAAGUCUCUUCCAAGUGCUUCACAUGGUCUUUCGGUUCUCUUGACUUGGUGAUCAUAUCGUCCACAUAUACUUCCAUGGUGCGACCGAUCAAUGGUUUGAAGACCUUGUUCACUAACCUUUGAUAGGUAGCUCCUGCAUUUUUCAGGCCAAAGGGCAUCACCCUGUAACAAAACAAACCCAUGUUAGUUAUAAAUGUGGUGUUUUCCUCAUCCUGCUCGUUCAUGGGUAUCUGGUUGUAUCCGGAGAAGGCAUCCAUGAAACUGAGCAGACUAUGACCCGCGGUUGAGUCCACCAGCUGAUCUAUUUUGGGCAGGGGAAAGCUGUCCUUCGGGCAUGCCUUAUUGAGGUCCGUGAAGUCUACACACAUUCUCCACUUCCCAUUGGCCUUCUUUACCAAUACCACAUUGGAAAUCCAUUCCGGGUACUUAACUUCCCUUAUAAAUCCUACUUUCAGCAGCUUUUCCACCUCGACAUUUAUGGCUUCGUACCUUUCAUGGUUGAAGCAUCUCCUUUUCUGCCUCACCGGCUUUGCCCCUCUCUUGACCGCCAGCUUGUGACAAGCUAUCCCGUGGUCAAUACCUGGCAUAUCCUCAUGAGACUAAGCAAAUAUGUCUGCAUGGGACUGUAGACACUUCACCAGCUCUGUCUUUAUUUCUCUACCCAAUUCUGAUCCGACCUUAACAACUCUGCUAGGGUCACUCCUGCUUACAACAACUUCCUCCAGCUUCUCAACCGGUUCCUGACGACCAUUUUUUGAAUCCCCUCGGUUAUCUAGAGAGGUAACUUGCAGCGUUUCCUUGGCCGCUGUAGCAUAGCAGCUCCUGGCCAUUCUCUGGUCGCCCUUUACUACACCCACAACUCCAUUUAUUCUGUACUUCAGCGCCAGAUAAUGCGUUGACAUUACACAUUGGCUUAUCCUCAUGAACGGUCUCCCCAAUAUCAUCUGGUAAGGAUUUCUUUCCUCUACCACUACAAAGUCCAGCAUCAUCGUUCUUUCAAGUGGCUUUGUCCUUACAGUAACCGGGAGUUCAAUGACCCCCAUGGGAGUUAACCGUCCCCCUCCAAAUCCCUUCAAGGAUGUAUUCGUUCGCUCCAGCUUUAAAUCUGAAAUCCCCAUAUCAUCUAAGACCGACUUAAACAGAAUGUCUACUGAGCUGCCCGUAUCUACCAGUAUUCGCCGCAAUUCUGUACUGACCACCAAUGCUUUAAUCACCAGCGCAUCCUCGUGAGGGUAUAAAAUGCCUUCUUCGUCGUCCUCUGUCAACAUAAUAGGAACUUGCCGCACUUUUGCCCUCUUGGCUGCUGGCAAAUUGAAAAGCACUUCUUUGCUAGUCAGGGCGUAUCUCCCAUAGUUCUUCCGUGCCCUGUUUGAAUCCCCGGCCAAUGUUGGCCCUCCUGCUAUAACUUGGAUAGUCAGCUGUUCUUGUUCCAAACCCCUUUCAACUCCUUCAUCCUGUGCAUAUUGCGACUCACUGACGGGGAACACUCCAUCUACGUACUCAUCCAAGUAUUGGUUCCUCACCAAAUCCUCCACCUGAAUCCUUAGGUCACGGCAUUGGCUGAUAGUAUGACCGUGAGUGUUGUGGAAUUUGCAGAACCUGCUCUUAUCACGCCGGUGAGCGGGUUUCGNNNNNNNNNNNNNNNNNNNNNNNNNNNNNNNNNNNNNNNNNNNNNNNNNNNNNNNNNNNNNNNNNNNNNNNNNNNNNNNNNNNNNNNNNNNNNNNNNNNNCCUUUCGUAUAGUUCCUCCAUGGAGAUUUUUAAAGGAGUAUAUCGUCUAUAUACCGCACUCUGGUCAACCAACUGAACUGCUCGGCUAUCAUGGACGUCACUUCGGGCUGGUAUAGCCGGUAACUGCUCUGGUCGGCCAGACCUGUAAUUGGUCGCGUUUACCUCUCUGGGAGUGCGGUGGUAAGGGUGGGCAGUCACCUGCCUGAAUUCUCGCUGCCGCUCUGGGAUCGGGGGGCGCGGAGGUUGAGCCCGGCUGUGUUGGAACUGUUGUGCUCUCUGAGCUAUGGGGUAAGGGCGAGACCGAGCUGAUAUUCCGCCCAUCCCCGAAGAUUCUCCAGUUCGCUUUCCCGACCCGCUCCCUUUCGGGGCUCUCCGUUCUCUUCGCCUCAGCUCUUCCAGCUAUUCAUUUUUAAUUCUUGCUGAUUUUUCCUCUUCGAUUUCUAUAUCUCGUUUCGCUUGCUCAUACCCCGACGAGUAAUUCUGUACGAGGGGGCUUCUUAAGUUAUACCACAAUCGGCCGAUUCUUACACCUUCUUUUAAUCCCCUCAACGCCUGCGGGUGAUUAAAAGCUCCCAAAUCCAGCACGGCUCGGUGAUAUCGUUUUACGAAAUCGCGAAGGGAUUCAUGCUCCUCCUGCUUCAUCCCCAUCAGCUCCAUCAUGUCAUCCUCUGGGGCCACCGCCCCUCGGAACUGCUCGGCCAACUCCUGGCACAUCUGCUCAUACCCCUUUAUUCCUCCUCGGGGCAGCUUGCGGUACCAUUCUCGGGCUCGUCCCUCUAGUGUCAACGGGAACACCCUGCAUCUCUGAGCUGGUGUCAGCCCCUGCACACCCGUCAUGUCGUUGAAACGCUCAAUGUGCACCAACGGGUCACUUCGCCCGGAGUAUUUGAGGUCAGGGAAGCGGAAAUCUCUUGGGAUUACGGUGCUCAUGAUCUCAAUUGAUAACGGAGAUUCUUCAUCUAGCAUUAUCCUCCAGCUCGGGGGCUUUCUCUUGCCCUGCAUCUCCUCUAUCACCUGCGCCAAUCUGCGCACCUCCCCCUCCAAUUCUAUAGCGCGAUCAGGAUCACGUGCAGCUGUCUGGUCUCGCUCCUGCUCGACGUUCUGCAACCGCUGUCUGAGCUCUCCUUCAUCAACACUGGCCCCUCGGCCAUUUAUUUCCAGUACCCGUCCGGGGCGAGGUUGGUCUCUCCCUUCAUCCACGUGUUCCCCUGGGACCCGGCCAGUACUUCGGUGGGGAUGCACUCCGUUAGGUUGGUCUGCGGGUGGAGGGAUUUCCCCGACCCUACGCCCCCGGAGACUGGGUUCUGCUCCAACUCCAUCUCUUCCCACGGGGGUUUCAUAAUCCCUUCUCCGCUCGUCCCUCAGCUCAAACACUACGGUCGCGAGAGUCUCCAUUUGUUUCUCCAUCCGCUCCAGUCUAUCUUGCAUCAUCCUCUCUCGGGCUUCAUUUGCAAUCUCCCGUAGAGUGAUUGUCUCCACCGUUUCAUUAUCCUCCCUUAAAGUAUCCUUUCUUGACGCAUCCAUAUCCAAUCGUUCGCUACUUCUCAGGUAAAUACUAACUUGGUGGUAGCUUUUUAUUCAGCUCCCCACAGACGGCGCCAAAAUGUUGAUGCUGAGAUCUGCUCGUCCUUGGACCGACCAGAUUCUUUCACCAACGCUUAAGUUAUCGACUGUUGCUCGAACCACUAAGGCCGGGAUCACCCUCCUUUCUCUCACUAGACCUGCGUUCACCAAAAAUGGAUCAGAGACGCCGGUGGUUUUGCCGGCGUAAACCCUCCGAUGCCUAAGUUAGCACAAGGUGUUUACGGGAAAACAAUAUAAUUUGGGUUCAAGAAGUUUGUUCGAGAUCUGUAAGAAAAUAGUCUCGUUGCAAUUUGGCAGCGUUUUCCCUCUCUUAAUUUUUUUCUGUCCUGUCUUCUUCGAUGUCUUUCUCUUUUAUAGCCGCCCUUUGUCCCACGUUUUUCGUUUGCCCCUUAUCCCUCCUUUUUCGGGUGGUGGUAGCCCCUCAUGGGACUCUAACUGUUAGAUUGUGGACAAACGUGGAUCUCGCGUGUCCUUCAACCGUUCUGGGAGAAGCGCAACUACCGCGAUUUUGUGAGAUCGUGUUCCCGCUUUCCUGGGGAUGAGUAUCGGCUCGGCGUAUACUUCUGGUCGGUAUGUUUUCCUGGUCGCAUUCAUCUCGGGUCGGCUCCUGUUUAAUCCCGUGUUCUGCUCGUACCAUAUAGCUGAAACGAUCCGUGCUGGGGCGGAACCAGUAGCAUGGCCGACCUGGUGCCUUUAUGUACUCAACAAUGAUAUUUGACCUCUUUUUAUCUCGUCAGUCCUCAUUUUUUAAUUAAUUCAUUAUAAAUCUUUUAAUCUCUAAUUUAUCAUCAUUAUUAUUAUAAUUUUAUCAUACUUGCACAAUCACACUGAUAUCCAAGCGAUCGACCAACUGUAGAGUUACUUCAAUUUUUAGAGCUAUUGUUACAUUAAUCUCGAUUCUUUAUUUCUUGAAAAAUUUCUUGCAAAAUGAUUAAUCAAAUACAAAGAUGACAAAAAUUUCUUAAUUAAAAAAAAGUAGAAAAAGAAGAAGAAGAAGAAACUAAGCAUUCAUGUUGCCACUAACAUGGUGGUCUUAAGUAUAUGUGAACAAAGUGGUUGUUUAAGGCCCCAAAUUUUAGAAAGACCUUAUUUUUUUAGUAUUAAUAAUAAUUUUUUAGUUAAUAAAGAUUUUUUACCUUUUCAACUUCUUAAAAGAACUCAAUUAUUCAAUGUUAGAACUUUCAACUUUGAGUAUUCCUUUUAAUUUCUAUUAAAAAUCUUAUAAUCUAGAAAAUAGAUGAAAAAUUUCUUGUUCUCUCUAUAAUGAGGAUUAUUACAUGCAUUAGUUCAUUCAAAAAAGAAAAAAAAAAUAGUUCACUCAAAUAUUGCUCCUUUGCUGGCUUAUAUGGUCCGGCCUGACUGCCAUUUACUUGUCUAUGAAUUCAUGAAGAAUGGAAGUUUACAAGAGAUUCUAAACGAUGUCUCACAAGGAAGAAGAGAAUUAGAGUGGCUAGCUAGACACAGGAUUUCACGAGGAAUAGCUUCUGGGCUUGAGUAUCUUUAUAUGUACCAUAGGCCUCGUAUAAUCCAUAGAGAUAUCAAGCCAGGGAACGUGCUUAUAGACGAUGAUAUGGAAGACAGGAUUUCUGAUUUUGGUCUUGCAAAGGUAUUGUACUGCCUGAUGGUCAUACACAAAUCAGAGCUUCGAAUACUGAUUUUGGUGUUGCAGAGGUAAUGCCUGCUGGACAUGCGCAAGUCAAAACUUCGAAUUUGGCGGGAACGGUGGGAUACAUAGCCCCAUAGUAUCACCGGACACUAACAUUCUCUGACGAGUGUGAUAUAUACAGCUUUGGGGUGUUGCUAGCUGUUUUAGUGAUGGGAAAGCUUCCAUCCGAUGAUUUUUUCCAACACACCGAAGAGAUGAGUUUCGUUAAAUGGAUGAGAAAUGUCAUGAAUUCUGCGAAUCCUAACCGGGCUAUCGAUUCGAAGCUCCUCGGCAAUGGGUAUGAGGAGCAAAUGCUUCUUGUUUUGAAGAUUGCUUACUUUUGCACUUUGGAUGAUCCAAAGCAGAGACCUAAUAGCAGGGAUGUUAGGUAUAUGUUUGUCUCAGAUUCAGCACUAAUUAAGGAUUUGGAUUUUUUUAAAAUGUACAAGAGCAUAACAACGUCACUUGUGAUGAACAAUUUAUGCUCUUGAAUUAAGUUGUACAAUUACGAUCCCCUCUGAGUUUUCACUUGUCUAAUCGAUACAGAGCGGUUCAGGUUAUUAUACAAAGUAGAAACCAUUUCUGAAAUGUGGCAUACUUGCUAUAUUUCGGCAGUCGUAUGUUUCUGGCAACAUAUCAAGCCUUUCAUUUUGCAUAAGAAAAAUAGCAAGAACAGCUCGAUGUUGCUAGUUCGUUCUAUAAGCAUAUGCUAACACACAUUGAGAGAAUCUUUCCAAAAAAAAAAAAAAUGAGAAAGAGAAAAGUUCCAUGCAAGUGCAUUUUAGCCAUUGUAAUUUUGAAGAGUCGCUUCUAUUUUGUAUUUUAACUUUUUCUUUUUUAUUAUAAUAAAUACAUUUUCCACCAAAGAGGGACCACUUUAUAAUACUUUUUUCUUUACUUUAAUACUUUAAAUAAUCUUUGGUUUACUUUUUUUUUAACUUUAUUUCAUUUACUUUUAUUUUUAACUCAUUACGUUUAAUGGCGGAUUCAUUCUGAUGAAAAGAAAUCGCACAAUCGGGUCACUCAAAAAAAUCAAAUUUUUAUUUAUGUUCAAUUUGAUUCUAAAAGUUAGUUAGAGCUACUCGUAUCUUUUCCUUUAUGUAGGUUAAGAAAAAAACUCAGAAAAGGCUCCUUCAACAGCAGCUAAUCAUGUUCGUUUUUGAUCUUUUAAAUUUAUUUACCAACUAGCCCAAGAUGUCUUUAAAUUUGAGAAUCAUAGGGGAAAAUAUAUAUAUAUAUUAUCAGUGGGAACACUUAAGCCGCCUCAACCUGCACACUAUAAAGGUAAAUCAAAAGACAAUUAUGAAAGGCUCAAAUUCUCAGCGAAGAUAAGUGAUCAAAAGAGGAAAUGGGGCUAGAAACCGAAAGGCAGUAAAGUAUCUCAAAGGCAGUGCGGUACUUAUAAAUGAUUUUAGGAGUUUUAUAUUUUUAUCUAAUAAUUACUAAUUUUAUCUUUCUAAAAGAUUACCAAAAAAAUCACUUCAGCAUUCAAUCCAAAUCUCAUUAUAUGAUGUUAUAAUUUAUUUAUAUUACAGUAUUAAUAGUGACAUAAAAUUUAAUUAACUGUUCACAUAAUUAGUAUUUGUUAUGAUAAUGUUGUGAUUUUAAUUAUUUAGAAUCUGUUUUACCUGUUAUUGUAACGGUUAAACACAUUUUUUAAGAUUAUAUAAUAAAAAAAGGUAUAAUUUUUUUUUAAUAUUUAUUUUAACAUUACCACAACUCAAUUUUAUUAUCAUCUUAUUCUUUUUUCUUCACCUAAAAAAAGAUUGUUAAAUUAAUAAAUAUUACGACUAAGCUCUCGUGGAAAACCGAAGUCAUUUCCAAAUAUUUAGAAAAAAGUAAAAAUAUUCCCGUAUACACCAAUUGUUUGGAAGUCCUCAAUAGCGGUAAAAAUUUAGUGGUGCGCUUUACUCUUGAGAAAGCAGCACAAAUGAACCAUAAAACUCCACCAUAUUUAAUGAUUUUAAAAUCAGGAUCAUUAUAGUACUACAACAUAGGUCAUACAAAUAUGUGUUUUGCUUGAUUAAUUAGAAAUAGAGAACAACAUAAUAGAACAGCAUGAACCCACCACCGGACACCAGUUUUAUAUAUAUUUUUUUAAUGUAUUGCCUUACGUACGAUAACUCGAUUUCUUGUAGACUCAUAUGUGAACAGAUUUGAACCUCAAACAUAUAAUCUUACUUCAACAAGUUUUACCGUAAAAUUAGCUAGCACCAUUUGUAAUGUUGUUGAUAGGCUUUGAUAUUUAAAAAAGAUAAAAAAAAAAUUGAGUAAAAACUAGCUAGAUUAAUCAAUUAGUUUGCCCUUUCUUUUAUCUUAUUGAUACAAUAAUAUUAGAAAUUCUAACAUUUGAGUUUCAGUUUGAGUCCUAUUAUUAUGUGUCAUUUAUUUAUCGAAUGAUUAUUUCAUAACUUAUAAAAUUACUUAACUACCAUCUAAUACAUAAAUACUACAUCACUUAAAAUUCAAAUUGAGACUUGUAUGGUAUGGUAGAAUGUCUAGCACAAAGUAGAUACAGUAAUUAAUGGAGAACAAAUUGUAACUCUCUUUCUUUUAUGGCUAUUUGAAUUUUUUACUUAUUUUACAUUUUUAUGGCUUUCAAUCUCUUUAUUUACCUUUGUGCGUCUGAUUUUCCUCUACUUCCCUUAUCUGAACCUUGACUUAAGUAAUAACGAGAAUAAAUAAAUACGUACGGAAUGGAUCCGUGAUCCCUUGCACAAAUUUUUACUUUUAGAUACGGAUGUAUAUAUAUAAAGAGUCAAUUUGUGUAAAACUUAGCUGAUUGUGCAAAUUAUUAGUUGUUGGGAUUUUAAACAAACGACAAGCAAUUUACGAUUUAUCUGCAAUAAUUAGGCUUGGAAAAAUUAGUAGUUAGUUAAUGUUAUUAUGAUAAUGUUUUGAUUUUAACCAACAAUUCACAUAAUUAGUAGUCAGUUAUGAUAAUGUUUUGAUUUUAAUUAUUUAAAAUUUAUUUUACCUGCUUUCUAUCGGUUAAACAAAAUUUUUAAAAUUAUAUAAUUAAAAAAAUAAGUAUAGUCUCUACAAACUUCAAUAUUUUUUCUUUUUUAAAAAAAGAUAUGUAUUUUAACAUUAACGCAACUCAAUUUUGUUUAUCAUCUUAUUCUCUCUUCUUCACUAAAAAAUGGCUAAAUUAAUAAAUAUUGUAACAACUGAUAGUGUCUUAUGGCAGCCUCAAUAACUAGGCUCGGGGGGUAACCGAAGUCAUUUUCAAAUAUUUAGUUAAAAAAAAUCCCAUAUAUACUAAUUGCUUAAAAGUCCUCAAUAGCAUUAAAAAUUUAGUAGUGUGCUUUACUCUGAGAAAGCGACACAAUGAACCACAAAAUUCCACCAUAUUUUAUUAUUUUAAUAUCAGGAUAUAAGUCAUGCAAAUGUGCAUUGAGCUUCAUGAAUUAGGAGCAGAGAACGACGUAAUAGAGCAGCAUGAACCCACCGCCAGUUAAAAAUAUAAUUAAUGGUGUGGGACUGUAAUUAUAUGGAGUACAUCCUUUGAUCUUCAUUGACCAACUAUUUCACCUACACAGUCCCUUUUCAGUGCACCGUGCCCGUUUGAUUUUAUUGAGAACCUUGCCUCUGUCUGUGUGUGCGCGUGCGUGCAUGUGUGGGGCUCAACCAUGAGAGUUAAAAAAAAAAUUAUUUGGAAGCAGGAUGUGAAAGAGCUUGAUGUUCUUGGCAUUGCUAUUGUUGAGAGUGAAGGGUUCGGUGGUCAGAAUUUCGCAAAACAAUAACCCAUCAAGGGUUGCCAAGGGUGUUACUGACAUAGACGCAUCAAUGCUUAAGUCAAAGACUGAGAGCAGCACGAUAACAAAUAAAUAAUAAAAGAAAGAAAAGAGAGUAAGAGAAAACCCUUGAAGGAUAUGCACCCCUCCUCCAAUAUGCCUAUUUCUCAUGCAUUUCUUCGUGUUGUAUUAUAUAUCUUUAAGUAGUGACCUUUUUUAUAUAAAAGAAAUAAUCAGAAGUAUAAUUGAGUUAGGAAAACCUAUCUAUUAUCUUGUAAAAUUCGAGUUUGACAAGAAUUAGAACUUGUAUUACUUUAUCCUAUUUAUAUUAGGACAUAUUAUUGGAUGUGGGUCCUCGGACUUGAGUUUGGUAGAAAUAUGGGCAUAACAGGAGCCCUCAGUUUAUAAUAUUCACGAGUUUACGAGUGAAUGCUAGAAAUUGAUAUAGUUUAUAGUAUGUAAAAAAAAUUUAUUAUCACUCAUUGAAUGUUGUGAGGACAUCUUGAGUGUCAUGAGCAAAUCUUCAAUGAAGUGAGAAGAAAACAAAUGACAUGAGAAAUCUCGAAUGUCAUGAGGACAACUUGAAUAGUAUGAAGACAAUAUAAACGACACGUGAAAAUCUCAAAUAUCAUUAGGAUAACUCGAAUGACAUGAGGAGAUCUAAAAUGUCAUGAUAUAGGCCAUGAAAUUAAGAUAAUGUCUCGUCAAGGGCCAUUAAAGUAAGAUAAUGUCACGAUAGGGGCCAUAAAAUUAAAAUAAAGCUGCGCCAAGGGCCAUUAAAGUAAGAUAAUGCUGCGAUAUGGGUAAUAAAAUUAAGAUAAUGUUGCGAUAAGGGCUAUUAAAGUAAGAUGAUGUCGCAAUAUGGACAAUAAAAUAAGACCGCGACAACGGCCAUGAUAACUAGACUCAGGCCGCAGUAAGGACCAAAAUAAUUGAACUUGGGCCAUGACAAGAGCAAAAAAUAAUUGAACUCGGGCCAUGACAAGAGCAAAAAAUAAUUGAACUCGGGCCAUGACAAGAGCAAAAAAUAAUUGAACUCAUGCUACAAUAAGGGCCGAAAAAAUAGCUGAACUCAGGUUGCGUAGUGCUUCCAAGUGUAUGAGGCUGAGUUUAGUACUACGAGAUUGAGGCCCAAGAGCAAGAUCUGAGGCCUAUGAGCAAGAGGUCGAGCUACGGGUGAUGAGAUUGAGGCCUAGAGUAUGAGAUCGAGAUACAUAUUAUAAGAAAUUUCUUUUUAUAAUUUUGUGUGGGAAUAGAGAAUUUGGGACAAAGUCGAUGAAGUUGAAGAAUAUGAUGAAUUAGAGGAGACUGAUUUUGAAGAAAAUAUUGAGGAACUAGAGGAGAUUGAAUUCAAUAACAGUGAAAAUAUGCAGAUAAAGAAUUGAGGAGCCAAAGUUUGGGAUGUUUUUUCCGUAAUCGUGAGUUUCUAGUUAUAACUUUGUGAAUUGUGGUGGAUGUGGCUACAAUGUUGCUUUAGGAGUUGUCGAGGUUGUGGCUGUAGCAUGUUUAUUUUUCAGGAGUCUUUUAAGUCCCGCCCACACCCCCUCCUUUGUUUCUUUUUUUCCGUUUAAGAGACCUUUUAGUUCAUUUGUUAUUUUUCAUUUGGAUAUUCUCAAGAUCCCACACAUUCGACAUUGAUUUCGCUUUAUUCACUUGUUUUUGAAAUUUUUGGUAGAUUGCUUGUACUCUUCUAUUAGGAGAUUUUGGUUUUUGUCCCCCUCCUUAUAUUUUCUUCAUUAUAUGAUUUAUAUAAUAAGUAAGAGUUCAAUCGAACUGCCACAUGUGGUUUUUUUUUUUUUUUUAAAGUUAAGUCAGGAUUUGACUCAAUGUAAAUAUGAUUUUCUAAUUAGUUAAAGCAAGCUAGUUUAAGUCAAGGAUCCACAAGUGAAUCGCUUCACUAGUUGAUACAAUAAUAAUAAGCUCAUAAGAGUAAUUUUCAAUCAUUUUGACUAGUUUAAACUGCUCUCGGACAAAAGCUUUAUUGAUUUAGGGUAGGCAAAAAUUCCCGGGUCAACCCAAGCGUAGCCCAACCGCCUUAAGCUGCGGGCUUUUAGCCUAGUCAUCCACAUGAGGGCUUAGACAAGGGCUUAAGAAAAAAAAAAAGCUCAGGCCAAGUCCAACCCUCUAUUUUAAAAAAAAUAAUUAUAAAUUAGAAUAAUAAAUUAAAAUUUAAAAAGGAAAAAAGGAAACUCAAAUUCCUAAUUCCUAAUUCAUAAAUCAAUAAUGAUUCAAAAAAUCUAAAAUUAUAAUAUUAAACUCUCUCUUAAGCAUUGAUUAAUUAAGAGGUUGCUUGAACAAAACAUUCCAGUAUUAAAAAAAUAAAUCUCUAAACUUUUAUUUGUUUUAUUUUCUUAAUUUACUAUUUUAUUUUAAAAUAUUUAUUUUAUGUAAUUCAUUAUUAAUUAUAACAACUUGUUGAUUAUCAAUUCAUUUUAAGAUUAUAAUAAUUUUAAAAAAUAGUAAAGGUCCAAGCUUAGCCCAAAUCUGAUCUAACCCUUCCGCUUUCUCUUUUCAAGCCCAAGCCCAAACUCGCAUUUUGCUAACGCCGCCAGAGUUCGACCUCCAAUAAUAAUAACGAGUAAUGUUUGGCUAAAAUCAAUGAGAUUUAAAUGCUGAUUAUUUUUGCUUCAAUGAAUUUAAAUAUUAAUUUUUUUCUUUCGAUGAGUUCACAGUUGGCUAAUUAUUUGUUUUAUAAAAAUAAAACAGUGAAGAAAUAGAAAAAUAACCUUUUAGGAAAAAAAAAACGAAAAAGACAAAACCGUGUUGAUCCCAGAUGAUGACUUUAUUCUUCUCUUUCCCCAAUGGAUUUUCAGGCGCAUGGCCUCACUUAUCUGAAAGAAUCUCGUGUAGGCAAUUCUUAUUAAGGUGAGAUGGUUGGGACAUAUCACCUAUCCUUUGUAAUUUAUACAAAAAAUCCGAAUAUAUCGACUAUUAAACUUGAAAAUAUUAAUGAGAAAGCAACAUGUGACGAUUAAAUAAAGGAAAAAAUGAUAAAUACACCCCCAACGUUUAGGCAAAGGGAUAAAAAUUCUCCUAAUGUUUCAAAAAAGAUAUUUACACCCAAUUUAUUAUAAUUUUACUAUUAUACUUUUCUAGCAUAUAAAAAAAAUUAUUAGAUUAUCCAAUUUGUCUAUAUAUUGUUAAUAAAAUUAUAAAUAUACCCUCAUUGCCUCAUUCUUCUAUUUAAAUUUUUAUCAAUAAUCAAUUUUCAAAAAAGACAUCUACACACUUAAAAAAAAUUGUGAAUAAAUUAUAAUUUUAAGAAUAAAAUUGGUUAUUAAUACCAUAAUAAAUAACAUAGAAAAUUGGUUAUAAAUAUACCAGUUUAAAUGAUUGACAUGUGGAGAAUUGUUAAAUAUACAAGUUUAAAGUUUAAUAAAUAACAUAAAAAAUUAGUUACAAGUUUAAAUGAUUGACAUGUGGAGAAUUGUUAAAUAUACAAGUUUAAAGUUUAAAUAAAAUUAUAAUUUAUUUACAAUUUUUUUAGGUGUAUAGAUUUUUUUUUUUUUAAAUUGGUUAUUGAUAAAAAUUUGAAUAGAGGAAUUGGACAGUGAGGGUUAGGGUUGGGCAAAAUCAAGUUCGGGUCGAGUUCAGAUCAACCCGAUCGGGUUUCGGGUUAGACAAAAAUCAAUCCGAACAUAGCCCGAAUUAUUGAUCCGACCAGAACAUAGUUUGGGUCGGGUCAAUAAUUCGGGUUACGUUCGGGUUGGAUCGAGUUGGAUUUAAAACGGAUAGGACUUGGGAAACUUGAAAAAAGUUGAAGCUUGAAACUUGAAAGUGGAAGGUGGAAACCGGAAAGCUUCAAAAUCAGGUUCGGGUGGAGAGGAUUCGGCCUUCAAGCAGCAGAUCGGUGGCCACGGCUCACGGCUGGACGGACGGGAUUUUACUUGGCAGCAGAUUGCGGCUUCACUUGGGAGUUGACAACAGCAGAUCGCGGAGAUGCGGACGGCUCACAGCUCACAGCUGGUCGCGACUUCACUUGGCAGCAACAGAUCAUGAUUUCAGCAGUUGGCAGCAACAGAGCGCGUCUUGUGGUGGCUGGUUGCAGACUUGCGGGUUGUGGCUGCCUUGUUCAGUUGUUUGUGUUUGUUUAGUUGUUCAGAUAAUUAUCGGCUAUUAAACGUGGAAAUAUUAAUGAACAAGCAGCAUGUGACGAUUAUUUAAACCACGUACUGGGAGUACUGAUACAGAUAAAAACACUUAUAAUCUAAGCGCGUAAAAUCAAAUGAUUAAGUAAGUACUGAUCACCAUAAAUUUACUAAAAUUCUAGCCGUUUAAUACCUUGCUUUUAAUCCGGCAUCCAACGGUUGUUGUUUGGCGAAAAAGAUCAAAAGGGUAAGCGCGUGGGAUGUGAAGAGAAGUGGAGGCUCAAUCACCUGUUUGUUAGCCUUCGUUUAAAUAACGAAGAAGAAACCACCAGGCCGAUCGACAGAGGAAAAGUAAAAGACAAAUGACAAGCGACCAAACCGUGUUGGUCCCACAUGAUGAGUCAUUCCUCUCUUUCCCUUGUGGACUUUCGUGCGCAUGGCUGCGUAACAUACCCACGACCAAGUCAGUCGAAUCUUUUUGUCUUCGUUAAUGUGGGAUAUUUUCUAUAUUUCAGCAGUCGUGUUUCUGGAAACACAUCGAGCCUUUCAUUUUGCAUAAGCAAAAUAGCAAUAGAAGCUCAAUAAUGGUAGUUCCUUCUAUAAGCAUUUUCUAACACAUAUAUUGAGAAAGUCUGCAAAAUUUAAGAGAAUUCUAGGCAAGUGCAUUUUAGUCAAUCACAGUUACUUGUUUGUUAUUUCCCUCCAUUGAAAUAAGGAAGAAGAAGCCACCAGCCCGAUCGAUCGACAGAAGGAAAAAAAAAAAAAUGCCAAAGUUCACUCUUGGUAAUUCCUUUCGUUUUGGCAGCAAAAGAGAAACCGUCUCUAACUUUCAUUCUGAAUCUAUUGAGACGAUACUACAGAAGUUGACUAAAGAUUGGCUUGGGCAGUUUGCUCGACAAGCGCAGAUCCAGGCCGAUCUGAUUGGGUGGAAGACGAUGAUGGUGAAGAUUAAUAAGGUGCUAGAUGAUGCCAUCGAGAAGCAGACGAAGGAGGAGCCAGUGAAGAUAUGGCUAGGCAAACUUCAGCACUUGGCUUGUGAUGUUGAUUACUUGUUGGAUGAGUUCCAAACGGAAGCUUUCCAGACGAUGUUGCUGCAAGAUGCUGAUGCGAUGUCUAAAGUAAAGGAGGUCAAUGCUCGAUUGCAAGAUAUUGCAUGGCAAAUAAACGUACUAGGUUU
Molecule: long non-coding RNA, 112036 nt
Filed under: Citrus x clementina
Lineage: Eukaryota; Viridiplantae; Streptophyta; Magnoliopsida; Sapindales; Rutaceae
Description: Citrus clementina (C. clementina) long non-coding RNA (CCLE_LNC004487)
Rfam family: Plant small nucleolar RNA R71 (bases 30632-30738)
Source: RNAcentral